RNAcentral lists this long non-coding RNA (143963 nucleotides) under Cucumis sativus (cucumber). RNAcentral describes it as "long non-coding RNA (CSAT_LNC000405)". The stretch from base 140219 to 140293 matches the Rfam family "Small nucleolar RNA R12". The record is from RNAcentral. Lineage: Eukaryota; Viridiplantae; Streptophyta; Magnoliopsida; Cucurbitales; Cucurbitaceae.
UCAGUGUAAGUAAAUGAUGGAGAGUCCGAAAAGUGUGAGAAAUUUAGAGCUUAUUUGGUAGAGAAUCUAGAUUUUAUGUUUUAAAAUUUAGAUUUUGUGAUCCAAAUAUUACAAAUUUUGAAUAUAAUUUUUUUUAUGUUUUAAUUGUAUAAAGAAUUUAAAUUUUAUAUUUUAAAAAACAAAAUUAUAUUAAAUACAUUUAAGAUACUCAUAAAUACAUUCUCUCAUGUUAUAAAUAUAAUAUGUAUUAUAAAUUAUAUAAUAAUAAUUAUAUAAAUUUAUAGAUUAAAUUACAAAUUAUAAAAUAUAGUAUAACUACACUUUAAUCUUUUUGGUUUGAUAAAAUGGUAACGUUUAUAGGGGUAUUUAUGAAAGUUGUCAAAUCAUAACGAUUAUAUAUGAAUUUUUUUUAUAUAAACUAAACUCAAACUUUCUAUAAACCGUUCGGACUAAAAUUACAAUUUAACCAAUUUUUUAAAUGAAACACAUUUAAACAUUUUUUAAAAACUAUAAUCCAAAAUUUGAAUAUGUCCGCAUACACGAAAACAUUUUUGUUUUCGGAUUCUCUACAAUUCAUGUCCUAAGUUUUGAAGGAAAAUUAAAAUAAAAAUAGUUUUUAAUUUCAGUUUAUUUGAUUCAAAUAUGUUAAUUAUGUUGGUGUAAUAUGAUAAAUAAUGUAGCUUUUAAAAUAGAUUUUAAAACUUAAUUCAAUGACACUUGUUCUUGUGGACGAAAGGUCUCACCUUCAAAUUUCCAUCAUAGCAUUUAUUCCAAUACCUUUGCAAAAAAAUUUUUGUAAGCUUUUAAAAUUAAAAUCUAAUAAAUAAAAAAAAGUGUAAGAAGGGAAAAAUAUAUGAGGAGAGAGAAUGUGAUAAUUUUAAUUUUGUAAAAGAAGAAAAAAAGAAAAAAAGAAAAAAAGAAAAAAGGCUUUUAGGCUGAGCCAGAGACUCUUCCCUUUCCACCAAUUGUAGAGAGAGAGAAAAUAGAAAAAGAAAAAAAAGAAAGGAAGGAAAUAUAGAGAGAGAGAAAGAAGAAAGAGCACUUGUCCAUUCUCUUCCUCAUCACACAGACUCAGAUUUUGCUUCAACCUCAUACUUGGCACUUCUCUUCUUCUUUCUUCAGCAACAAUACUUUCAUCAUCAUCAAAAUCAUCAUCAAAAUCAAUCAACAAAUUCCCCAAUGCAACUUCCUUCAAUCAAUCUCUCACUCACAACAACGCAUCAAUCUCUCUAACAAUCUUCCUUCUCCUCCUCUUCCUCUUCUUCUUCAUCUUCAUCUUCAUCUUCCUCCCCCUCCUCCUCCUCCUCCUCCAUGGCUUCCUUACCCGUCUCUUCCCCUUUCUGUACUUGGCUUGUAGCCGCUUGCAUGUCCGCUACUUGCUUCAAAGACCAUUCCCUCAAUGCUUCAUCCAUCCCUCAUUCUUCCUCCUCCUCCUCCUCCUCCUCUUCCAAGAGAUCGAUAUCCACCUCUAGACGGAAACACUCUUUCUCUAAAUGUUUUAGUAUUACUUCUCAAUUCAAUACUGGAUUGGUUUCCUCUUCACCUCGAUUCAAUAUUCACGACCUUCUCCUCGACGAUUACUACUCUAACUCUACUACUUAUCCUCUACAAUACAAUCCUUUCUCUUUACUUUUUCCACCUACCUCUCUUCCUCUUCACAGCCGCCGCCGGAGACGUACGAAUCGGGCUUUACGUUCAGGUGAUUCAUUCUGUUUUUUUGAAUCUGUUUCCGCCUUUUCGUUUUUACUUCGAAAUGGAACUGGAAAUGGAACAGAAUCUUUGAUUUAUUUAAUUGCUGUCUUGGAGGAGGGAGUGAUUGGAUUAAUUAAGGUAGUUCUUGGUGAGAAUCUUGCUUUUUGGUUUGAUUCAGAUUUAUUUUCUGCUUUCUUUUUUUCGAGUUCAUCGGGAGAUAAUGAGUGUGUUGAAUUAAGUUGCAUUUAUGUUUUUCCACCGCUGCUGAAUCUAUUAAUUACGUUGCUAUGGUGUAAUCUUUGUUAUUUUUGUUUCUGACUCAACUCUUCAUGCCCAUGCCCAUACCUAUUCCUUUUUAUUUAUUUAUUUUAUUUAUUCUUUUUAAAAAAAUGUUUUAUUUUGAGUCACACGAAGUGUUGUCUUUUGCAAUGUUUCAUUUUGGUGAUUGUCAUGCAGUGUUAUCUUUCUCUCUACCAUUUAGAGAUCUUGGUUUAUGCAAAUUUUCAUUUCUCAAAAACUGGCUUUAUUAUAUUUUUGAGUUGUUUCAACCCAAAAAACCUAUAUUCUUUUGGGUUGUGUGAACACAUGAUUAAUUUGUCCUCAACAUAAACAGUCUUGUUAAACUCAGCUUGGCCAUUAACUAAUUCUGGAGUUUGUAUAUGAUAUCUAUCAUCAAUGCGUUGAAGCCUGUGGUCGUUACUGCAAGUAUGAAGUUUCCAUGAUCUUUAAAAGUUGGUUUGAAUUCUGCACAUCGUUUAGAUAUGUUCUGUUGGGUUCUGAAUUCCUUGGACAUGAAAAAUUUUGUUUUGUAAAAACAGGGCAGUGUAAAAAACAGAAAGAACACUGAGCCUGGUUAUUGUUUUGUCAUUUUAUUUAAAACUCCAGGUGAGACUGUCGCUAUAGCUGUUCAUCCAGCUGAAGAGGUGGGAAGCAAAAAGAAACACCAUACAAAACAAAGAAGAGUAGUUGUCACUGGGAUGGGUGUGGUGACGCCUUUGGGGCAUGAUCUUGACGUCUUCUACAAGAAUUUGCUUGAGGGUGUCAGCGGAAUUAGUGAAAUAGAGGCGUUUGAUUGCUCACAGUUUCCCACAGUAAAUAUACCUUCUUGUAGCAAGUUCUUGAAACUGGUGUGAUCUGUUUGCAGUUCGUCUGUCUGAAUUCUAAUUUUUUUUUUUCUUCAGAGAAUUGCUGGAGAGAUUAAAACUUUCUCUACUGAUGGAUGGGUUGCACCAAAAUUCUCUAAGCGGAUGGAUAAAUUCAUGCUUUACAUGCUUAUUGCUGGCAAGAAAGCCCUAGAGGAUGGUGGAUUUACAAAAGAGCUUGCAGAAGAGUUGGAUAAAACUAAAUGUGGAGUACUGAUUGGUUCAGCAAUGGGAGGCAUGAAGGUAAUUCCUAUAUCGAUACCUGGGGAGUUGUUUGGAGAGUAAUAUUACCAAUCUGCGAUUUCUACCUCCCUCACAUUGGAAAAAAGAUUACUUGUAAAUUGUAACCUUAAAGUUUCAGUGUCUUGAUUCUUCUACUUAUGACUUCUACUAAUAUGCAUAACAAUCAGCAAAAUGAAACAUUUCCUUUUUUGUAUUAAUUUAUUGUUUCUUUUUAAUUGCCAAUGUGCUACUUUGAUUUUUUUUUUUUUUCAUUUAUCACUUUUAUUGUUAUUAUUUAUCAAAACUUCUUCCGAUUUUCUUAUAUUGAAUAGGUCUUUAAUGAUGCAAUUGAAGCGUUGCGAAUUUCAUACAAGAAGAUGAAUCCUUUUUGUGUUCCAUUUGCAACGACAAACAUGGGGUCUGCCAUGCUAGCUAUGGAUCUGGUUAGUGAAUCCUUUUAUGGACAUGGUAAAUUAGGAAAGAAAAAAGAAAAGAAAAAAGAGAAGAAACUCUUAUAAGGUGUUGGAGCUAUUGAUUCUUAACAUUACUGUGAAAUAGUUAUUUUGAAAAUGUAGGGAUGGAUGGGCCCAAACUAUUCAAUUUCUACUGCUUGUGCUACGAGCAACUUUUGCAUACUAAAUGCUGCUAAUCACAUAAUUAGAGGCGAAGCUGUAAGUAAUCACUUUCUUAGAAACUAAAGAGUGGAUUUAUCUAGUUUCCAUCCUUUUCUCUUUCUCUUCGUAUACAACUCACUUGAUUACUUGUGUUUUUACCGUAGUUUUUCCAGUAUCCCAACAAGGCUAUUACCUGAUUAAAGUGCUUUUCAAUAUAUGUAUUUUUUUUCUUGUGAAGUUUGACUAUAUAACGAAGUAUGUCUGAAAAUUUAAAAAACACUUUCAAGUGCCUUGGAGGAAGGUAGUUGAUAGGCUCUGAAGAGUAUUUGGAAAAUAUGGGAGAUUACAGAUUACUGCAUGCUUGAAGGGCUUCAAGCUCUACAAGCCAAGGUGUAGAGUAGAAACACUGUAGUCCUACCAAAUUUACAGCACACAGUUCUCCUCUCUUCCUUUCUUUCUCUACCUGCAUGCUGAAAACCUCUUGUUUGUUCUUUUUUAACUAUCUACAUAUAAUGUAGGCUAUCAUUUGUUCUUUUUUAACUAUCUACAUAUACAUUUGUUCUUUUUUAACUAUCUACAUAUAAUAUAGGCUAUCAUUCCCUUGUAUCCAAAACAGUCCUUACUUAGCAGAAUAUGACCUUUGCUAUUAUUCACUCUCCUACAUAAACAAGCAAAUGAGUAGCUGGCUUUCAUAUGCAAAUGAGUACUUCUUCCCCAAAAAAAGUGCUUACUAGACAAGUGUUUCAUGUUAGUACCCUAAACAGUUUUCCCAAGUCAACCAAAAUGUUCCAUGUGCUUAUUCUAUUCUUGUUGCAUGUAAGAAUAAUAUUCUGGUAGCUAUAUAUUUUAAUAAAGAAGUUUAAAUGGAGACACAAGCUUAGUUUUAGAAAAAAGUAAUAUAGAAAAGCAACAAUUUAAAUGUCAGAGUUGUUGCUAUAGUAUCUGAUUUGUUUUCAUAUGCAGGAUGUAAUGCUCUGCGGAGGAUCAGAUGCAGCAAUCAUACCCAUUGGUAUUUUUCUAUUUAUUAUGUUAAUCAAGUUCAACUCUUUUUGCCUGAGAUAUUUGAUGUGAAUCUAUUUAAUUUUACUGUUGCUAGGUUUGGGAGGUUUUGUUGCUUGCAAUACACUUUCUCAAAGAAACAGUGAUCCUACCAAAGCUUCACGGCCUUGGGAUAUUGUAAUGUCAGCUUCAUUUUUUUUUUAAUUUUUUACUCUGAUUAUCUGAAUCAUAGUUUUUCAGUUAACAAAAACUUUGCCUAUGAAUAAAUAAAAUAUCAGCAAUGAAGAUGGAAUAUCUUAAACCUGGGUUAAUUUUCUUAUCUAAAAAUCUUAAUUUUAACUUGCAAAAAGGUGGAAUAAGGAGUUACAGGACUUGGUAUUUUUUCGUCAUAGGAAAAUAUAAUAAUUUCUGUUUUUUGUGGUUCUAUAUGUUGUGUCUCUGAAGAAUGAACAAAACAGAAGUAGAAUGGUGUAUAUACUUUCUUGGAACAUUAGAACUUUCUUACAUAAAGCAUUGGUCAAAAGUCGCCCAUACUUGGUUUCUGAAAUCAUAAACCUGAUGUGCUUGUUAUUUCCAUUUUGAUGCUUAACAUCUUUGUUUUAUACAGAAUCGUGAUGGAUUUGUCAUGGGGGAGGGAGCUGGAGUUUUGCUUCUAGAAGAAUUGGAGCACGCGAAGGUAUGGUCAGUGUUAUUUUUGUAACUAUCAUAUAUCAUUUCAUAUGGAUCUUUUUCCCUCAGCCUCUAGUUUAAUGAAGAGCAACUCCACAUAUUUUACUGGAGCAUCCUCCUGUCCAAGGCUUUGCAGCACUAUUCAUCUUUGCCUCAUUUUAUUUUUUUCAACGUCAUCUCAUUCAUAAUGUUUCGUAAUAUUUGUGAACUUUAUGCCUCUUUUUGUGUAAAAUAUCUUAGAUAAUUUGUUAUUUCCUGAUUCCACAAUUGCAGCAACGAGGAGCCCAAAUCUAUGCAGAAUUUCUUGGUGGAAGCUUCACUUGCGAUGCAUAUCAUGUGACAGAACCACACCCUGAUGGUAAUCCUCUAUCAUUAAACAAUAAAUUGGUGGAUUCAUUUUUUUCAAUUUUUUGAAUAUUAUUUAUUUUUUAUUACUAUGUUUAGUUCGUCAACUAUGGGGUGGGGAAUAUAGACCGCUUCCUUAACUAGUUGAGCUUGCUUAAGUUGGCAAAAUUAAUUGGAAUAUUUUUACAGUUUUAAAUUAUGGAAUUCCACCACGUUGAAGGAUCCUUAUUAUUUUCCCCAAGCAGUUCACUUUUCUACGAUAUAAUAUGGUACUGGGCUCCAUGAUCUUCUAAAAAAAUUGUUAGAAUCUAUACAGGAGCAUGCGAGGAAGUCUUUUAUUAUUUGUAAUUGAAGGUAAUUUUCAAAUGAACUAUUAAGUUUGAGAGAAAAAAGAGUCCAUCAUUAAGGAUUUAAUUUUUAACUCCAUUGUUAAUCAACAUCAAUAUGAUAUGUAAAUCUUAAAUAAUAAUGAUAUUGAAAUCUUAUAAAUACGAUUAAGCAUUUUUUUUACUUGAGUAUGUAAAAUUUACUUCAACUUCAAUGGUAAAGAGAAUAAAAAUAUGUUUAAGAUACAUACAUCUUCUUGCUUUCUGAUAUAACUUUGGCAACUUUUUAAAUUAUGAUAGACAUUUUUUUUGAGUGAUUGGAUAUGGAGCAGAAUGCAUAGAAUUUAAACUAAAUUUUGGUGGUUAUAUGAGAAAUUUUCUGUACCACAUUUCGUGGGAGUAGAGUAUCAGACUAUUUAUUUAUUAUGGACUAGAGAGUUACCAUUGAGUUAUUGUGUUGUUUUUCCUUCUCGCAAAGAAUUUUUCUGUUCCUCUCAAACUUGAAGCCUAGAUCGAUGUUUGGGAUUGUAUGUGUAAACCAGCUGCGGUGGGAGUUAACUGGUCUUGAAAAGUUUGAUUGUUUUUUACCCUAAAUACUUUUCAUUGGAUUAAACAAAUAUCAAAUAACUGGAAUUGAGUUUCUUACUAAUAUCAUCAAAUCUCCAUCCAACAUGUUUCAUAAUGUUUUAAAAAAUAUUAGUCGAAUGAUGUGUUUUUCAAUUUUGGACACUACAACUUUUGGUCAAUGCUGAUACUACACUUUAUUGUACUUCUUAACUGCGUGGUGUUUGACAUUUUUUACCAAUUUUUUUUUAUCUUUUCCCAGAGUGAUCUCAGAUUUUACAUUUAAAAAAGAACUGUUCAAAGGUUGUAAAGGUUUGUAAAGCAUGUGGUCUGUUCUAAGGUCAUAAAGCUUUGUAAUGCAUGUGGUCUGUUCAAAGGUCAUAAAGGUUUUACUUGUAAUAGCAAUGACAUAGAUCUUUUCUACACAACACCAUUCUCAACGAAUAUCAUUAUUUUUCUUGAUAUUUCACAGUUAUGAUUCUUAUGAUAAAUGCAUUCUUCUUGAUUAAUGAAUUACGAGUUUAGUAGUGUGCAGAACCUUAACGGACUACUUAUUCUAGUAGAUUUAUUUAUGGUUUAAUGGAGUUUGUAAAUCAUGAAAACCAUUAAAGCUAACAUGCAAUUUCCUGAGAUCAAGUAUCCAAAUUAUUUUGUAAAGAGAGAUUUAUUCUUACCGAGAGAGAGACAAAGUAGAGAGCCAACUCUUAGGGUUUUGCCAUUGUCGUGGAGCCUUUUGCACACAUAUCUGAGGCAAAAUGUGAUGGUUGUUCUUACGCCAUUGAUCACAUUAGUCUGAUAAAGUCAUCUAUGCAAGGUGCACCAGAAGAGAGGUUCAUGCGAAGGUGGAAGUAAUAAGAUGAAGAGGUGGUGGAAGAGGAAGAUUGUUUUAAGUGACAGUAUGGUUGUUCAUACUAUGGUUGCAAUAGUGACAGGCAUAUAACGAAGGAUUGCUUUAAGUGCAUGUAGAUGGGCAUGGAGACGGGCUUACUUUAAGUGCAUGGAGACGGGCAUAUAAUGAAGGAUUGCUACCUGCAAGAUGGUGCAGAUACUAUGGUCGCAAUAGUGGACACUGCAUAAGUUGCAGUGAGUGCGGACACUUUGCCUGUGGGUCCAAAGAUUGGCUGUUUAUCUUGCAAAUUAGUGACUUGCAUCGACUUCUGUUGCUUCUUGGGCUGUCUUAAUCAGUUUCCUUCUCUUUUGGUCACAGUUUUUGCUGGAUAUGUAAAAUGAUCAUUAAUAGGACUGGGGGUAGCUUCUCAAUAGACUUAUCUAUAGUUUUCCUUCAUUGUUCUCUGGGUGUAUAUGUUUGAAAGAGAUUUUUAUCAGGGAUCAUUUAUAAAUAGAUGAUUAAGGAGGGAGAAAACUUCCUCCAUUCAUUGUUCUUAAUUGUCGAUCCAAGAAUUUUGAAUACGAUGCUGGAUUUGAAUGGGAAAAUGGGAGGGCAUAAGUGAGGGAGAGACCUCCAUGAUUGAGCAGAAGAGAGAAGCAAUCCGGUCCCUUUCUAUUUGUUCUUUUCUAGGUUUUCUUUGGUGUGGAUAAAUGGUCAUUUGUUUUCUUUAUGAUAAUUCUAUUGGAGCUGGAUCACUAGAAAAUAGAAAGUCUAUUACAGGCUCUACCAUUACAGAAAAAGUUUUAGGUGUGCAAAACGUGCUGGAGGCAGAGUUGAGUCAGACGAGGGGGGAGAUGCAACAGUUUGUGGUGAAUAACACAGGGAGUGUGAUGAAGAAAGUUGGAGGGAUUAGGAUAGUGUCGGAGCUGAUAAGUAACAUUGCAUAGUUGUGUAGGACAAAGAGAGUAUGAUGCAGGUUUAUGUCUUUCGAUCUUUUAGAGGAAGUGAGGAAUGGAAUAGAAGUUCGACAUUUGGGAAUGUGUAUCUUCCAUGGGGUAAAUCCAAUUAGGUGGCUAUGAAAGUUAAUUCACCACUAACAAGUUGACAGAGAAGGAACCACCAGAAGCCAACUAUAUGGAAGGAUCUCAUGGGUUGGUCCCAUUAGUGUUGCACUCAAUGCUAGUAUGAAAAGCCCAUGAUCUUCUAUAGCCAAACUAUGUAGGUUUGUCUUUUCAGAAGACAUCUUUUGCUGCUCAAUUCUCAAGACUCUGAUCAGCCCACUGGUAGCCAUGAUCUUUACGGUCUAAUAUAAGAAUUUGAUGGAAGUUAACUGAUGGCACCGAGAGGGUUGGUAAUUUCCAACCCUAUUCUUUGAUGCAGAUAAAAGAUGUCUUCUUAACAAGCCUCUGUGUGUUUCUUCAUUAAGUUCCUUUGUAGCUCUCUCAUUUGUGGACAGGCCAUUUCCCUAAUAUGCUUUGUUAUUUGAUUUGACAAUCCAAAUACUGUAAAAAACUUCAGGUUUCCUUUUGUUCACCAGGGGCCCUGUGCUCUCUUUGGGACCUUUGGUUGUAAAGAAUGAAAAAAGUUUCUGAAUAUUUUUCCAGAGCUGUAGCUUGAAAUUUAUGCUUGGUAACUUUAUAUUUCUCCCUCUUGCAGUAAAAAGAUUCUAAUUGUAUAUGUAAUUGCUACAUAGCUAACGCCCUGAUCACUUGGGGAGGCUUCUUGUAACUCUUUGGUCAAGUUCCUUGGCUUUGCCCUUUGGGUACAUUUCAUUCUAGUAUUAUCCAACGAAAUUUUGUCUCUAUCUUGGUUCAAAACCCAAGACUUCUUUCUUUCUUUCUUUAUUUAUUUAUGACUAAGAAACCUAGCUUCCAUUGAGAAAAAAGAAUUGACAAGGGCAUUCAAAAAACAAGUCCACAAAAGGAGUGUUCUACAGGAAAAUACUUCAAUCCAAAAGAAUAAAACCAAGGUGAUAAUUACAGAAAAGACGCAUUCGAUCUUAUAACCUAGACACAUUAGGUUCCAUAAAACCUUCCCACCUCCUUCAAAGACCUCUAAAAAAUCCUACACCCAAGUGAUGAAACAGUGGAAAGCAUUAUUUUCUUUGGGCUCCUUAAUUCUUGAGAAGUGCAUGUAUCCGCUCAAAAACUAUUUUGUUACCUUUGUGAGAAGGAAAGGGCAUCAAAUGAAUGUGUUUUUUAUUGUCUGAAACCAGGGAGACCUUGAGAAAGGCGAAGUGUCUAGCGAAGGGUGUCUUUAUUGCAAAGGUUGGUAACCACUUGACUUCGUGUGUUUGAUCCUCAGUUGAAUGAAUCCCUACAUGUGUUGGUUAAGAGGCCACAAAAUCUUCUUUACGAUUCUUUCUAGCCUAAGGUAUUCUGCUUGAGCAGUAAUGAGAUAGAAGGCAAGUAGGGCCUAGGUUGGUCUGUUGAUGUCGCACCAUGACUUUCUCUUGGGAGUGCAGGUGAGAUUUGAAAGAGAAAUUUUUUAAAGGACAGCUCUCACUAGUGUGUUUUCUGUUUUUGGAGGUGUCUAGCAUGUACAUUAAGUUUGUGUAACAUAUGUUUGUUAUACGUGUUCCUUAAUCUCAGGCAGAGGUUUGCUUAUCUCAUUUGCUUCAUGAAUUUAAAUCACUUUUUAUAUUAAAUAUGAACCUUUACAAAAUAUAAAUUAAAUCCUCACUUCACACAGAAAUACAAAUUAUUCAAACCUGGAUUUUAUUAUAUAUUCCUCACAUAAUCCAACACCAAGCAUUCAAACCUCAAGUUUAAUAAACCCAAAUUUAUUAAAAUCAUGAUCUGGAGUUCUAACAUCUUGUAUUAUGGUUUAAACAGGGGCUGGAGUUAUUCUCUGCAUGGAGAAGGCAUUAGCUCAGUCUGGAAUAUCUAAGGAAGAUGUGAAUUACGUAAAUGCACAUGCAACAUCUUCACUGGCUGAAGACGUCAAAGAAUAUCAAGCUCUUGUACAUUGUUUUGGCAAGAACCGUGGGGUAUUUAACCAUCACAGACAAUUCUUGCUUAUAUCUAACAUAUGAGUUUCUGCAUGCUCAACAUAGCAAUGAUUUUUGCAGUUAAGAGUGAACUCCACGAAGUCUAUGGUUGGCCACUUACUAGGGGCCGCUGGUGCUGUUGAGGCUGUUGCCACCAUACAGGUAAGAUUUAUCAAACAUGAUCAUUGAAAUUGAAUAACGGAAACUCGUCAAAUGUAGUUUCUUCUAACCAUCACAUUAUCCAUAUCAUGAACAAUACAUAUCUGAGCUAUGGAAUGAAAGAAGUCAGAAUUUUUCAUGAGUAUUCAUGCUGAAGUAUAGAGUGUUUCGAUUCAGCCCACUUACAGUCUUUAUCAUAGUGCUAUUUAUCUGAAUGCUUCAAGGGCCAUUCUUUCCAAGGCUUGAAUAGAAAUUGGGAGAGCCUAAUUGGUCCUUUUUAGUCUAUCUUGUUUUGUACCACUCAGGAAUUUUUUGACUUUUGAGACUAUUAUUAUGUUUUGUUUUGCAGAGCACUAGUCUCUUUUCAUUUCCAAGUUCAUUCAUGAUAUGCAUUCCUGAUUUUAUAAAUGAUUUUACCUUGUCAUCAUGAGUAUCAAAGAUAUUUUCACUACAUCAAUGAAAAAUUCUUGUUUCCAUUUCAAAAGAACAAAAUGAGUAUUAAAGAUAUCGUUUACAUUUACAUUUAAGUUGCUGAUGUUAGACUACUUGCUGGUACAGGCCAUAAGAACCGGCUGGAUCCAUCCAAAUGUUAACUUAGAAAACCCAGAUAAAGGAGUGGUAUGUUGCUUUGUUGUGAGGAUCGGUUUUUCAUAUUUUCAUGGUCUAUUGCAUGAUUAUGGAAUUUUUUUUUAUUUCCUUUACCUUCUUAACAUACUACUUCAAUCCCAACAAAAUGAACUACAGGACACAAGUAUACUUGUGGGUCCAAAGAAAGAAAGAUUGGAAAUCAAGGUCGCUCUGUCUAACUCCUUUGGCUUUGGCGGCCACAAUUCAUCUAUCCUAUUUGCCCCCUACAAGUGAGAAACACUUCAACUGAAAUGGGAGUCGUUCAGCCUUAUGUGUACAAGGUACCUUAUUUUCUUUCCCCUUCCCCCCUCCUUAUUUUCAUCUCAUUCUUUGAAAGAAAGAGUAUAUGCUUUUUUCCCCACAAGUGGGGGGAUUUGAACCUCUGAACUCAUGUUGAAAGUAUACCUCUAAACCACUUGAGGUAUGAGAAUGCAGGUUUGCAAUAAUGUUCAAAAUUGGUUAAUUUAGUGUUUUAAAAAGCCCUCCCGGGAGCGGUGAGGUUCAUUUAGGGUUUAGGGUUGCCUUCAAAGGGUGAGUCUCAUAAAAUAAGGCGCACAUCUUUUGUGAUGAUUAGGUUUUUCCUUCUUUAUUUCACUAAUAAAUAAAAAAUUUAUUAAGCCAAAAUGCAAAAUUUAUUGUGUUCAGGAUCCCCCCCAUAUUCUCACUUCAACUAUGUUUUCUAUUCUUGCAUUGUGCUUUAGAAAACACUAGGGCCAAAUCAACUUCGUUUUUCUUUUCUCCUUUUGUUCUUUUCCUUUUCAAUUGAGCUUUUCGUACACUGUCUGAAUGUUAUUGUUUUGCAGUUGCUGACUGUUGAGGGGAUAUUCGCCGUUGUCCAUUGAUCGUUUCAUAAGACACACAGCAACGCAAAUCGGUUGGCCAUUCAAUCGCUUGUGAUCGAGCAGGAUAAAGGCCAAUGAUCGUCGUCUGGGUAAACAUUAGAACAUUUUCCAAACCAGUUGUGUAGUACUAUGUUGAUUUUGACAAAUUAAGCUUAGCUUCUACAGCAUUGAUGAUAAACAAGACCCAAAAAAACAAAAAAACAAAAACAAAACCAAUCCCUUUUGAUCUGCAAUAGAUGGAACCGCUAAUUGAAGAGGUGUUUUGAUUGUCCUAAUCUUGCAUUAUAUAACAUCUUUGAGGCUAAAACAAUUCCCCUCCCCCUCCCCUCCCCCCCCCCCCCCCGGAGACCAACUCAGUUUCAUAUUAAGCCAUUAAAAGCUUCACCUCCCCAGCAGCACCAGUCCCUUACUCAGUUUGUUUGAGUUUGACAAUGGUCGUGAGAGGUGAGAAUCGACUCAUCAAACUUUUGAGCGUAUCUGAGCUCUUUAUUCAUUGAGCUAUGCUUGGAUUAGAUUAUCCUUGUCCUCGUUCUUAUUCAUAGGUCUACUUAUAAUUUGUGUUCUUUAGACAAGUACUUUUAAUUCUCUUCAUUAGGUGCUUGUUCUUUUAAGAAAAGAGUUGAUUUCGUGCUAUGUUAGUUGAGUUAUAUAUUCAUUUUAACAAGUUUCCUUUUUUUUUAUUAAACUACCUCAAAACAAUGUAUAAGUGGGGGAUUCAAAAAAAAAAAAAAAAGAAAAAAUUGGUCCCACAUGUCUUACAAUUUUAAUCUAAAACUUCCCUUAAACGUGUAUCUUUCAAUGUAGUAGAGUUUGGUUCACUUGUUUGGCCAACUCAUUGUGGCCUCCCAAUGUUAUUAACACCAUCCCUAACUAUACUUUCAACUUAUUAACACUGACUUCAACAACACCAUCUCUUUUGUGGGAUUCACUAAUUUUCUCAUUCUUCUUCUUCCUUCUCUCUCUUCAGUUUUUUUCUUUCUUUCUAAUUUUUCAAUGGUUAUUAUUAGGUAUUUGUACUAUUAGCUAUGUAUAAAAAAUGUUUUUGACAAAAACCUCUUGCUUCCUCUUGUUGUAACAUAGCAAAUAAGAUGCCCUUAGGAGUGAUUCUAACAUGAUUAAAAAACAUUGUGAAACGUGUUUCCAAUCCUUUAAAAUUAACUUUGUUGAUAUGAAAAUUACAUUUAAGUGUAAAAUUUAAUACUAAAUUAAUUUUGAGAUGUUAGAAACAUAUUCUUAGAGUAAUUGAAUGACAUCCGUGAUUUUAAUUAUUUUGAAAUCAUUUUAAUAAAUAAGUCUUCUAAAUACAUUGAUCAAAAAGUUUCAAAUAAAAAGAUUUUUAGAAGAAUAAUAUGUGAUAUUUUGUAAAUAUGACCGUUAACUCUUCCACCAAUGUUGAUUUUACACUUACUCUUGAGGAGCAAAAAAUGAAAUAUUUGUGUUUGAAGUUGAUUUCUAUCUAUUGGGUCUUUUGAAAGUCUCAGAAGUGAUAUUUUAUGAUAACAGUAAGGAAAAAUUAUCUUUUUAGACUUCACAUUUAGGUAAAUACGUGUGUUCGGUUCGUGAGUUUUUAAAAUGUAUCAUUUUUAAUCCCUAAGUUUAUAAGGAUAAGUCACUUAGAUUUGUGAGUUUUAAAAAUGUACCAUUUUAGUCAAAGGUCCCAAAGGUAUUUUUAUUUGAUUUUUUAAAAAUAAUGAUAUGGUAUUUAAAAUAAAAAAAUAGUUUGAGUGAAUAUGAUUUUUAGAAGUUAUUCUACUAAUUUAAAAUAUCAUGAUUAUUUAAAAUAAAAGUAUAAAGUUAUUUCAAGGCAUCUUAAACGUAUUUAAAAAUUUUAGGGACUAAAUUAUAUAUCUUUUAAAAUUCGAGAACUAAAUGGGUCCAUUUUUACAAACUUGAGAACUAAUAAAAAUACAUUUUUAAAGCUUAUGAAUCAAACACAUAUUUUCAUAACUUAAAGACUAAAAUGAUAAUUUUUUCUAAAAUUAACUAAAAAAACCAAUGUGGCAAUUAAUAGAUUGUUGAAAAUGAGAUAAUAUGAUUUUCCUGUUACUUUCGUUAACAACUAGAUAACACAAAAAACUUUGUUAACCCAGUUUGGUGAACCUACCUAUGUCUAAAGCGCUUUUAUACAAAUUUUAUUAAGAUUCAAAUGAGUUAUAAAUAUAAACUAUAAAUUAUCAAGCUCCCUUGUAGAAGUAUAACUGAUCCUAUAUCAAAUUACUAAGUCUUCUUUAAAUCUCUUAUCUCGGAUACAUCUUGAGUUGUCUAUGAAGAUAUCAAGCAAUCUUCAUAUAUAUAUAUAUAUAUAUAUAAUAUCUAAAAAGGUAAUAACUUAUCUUUGCAAAGAUUCUUCGCGAAUUGUAAUUUGGAAUAGAAAUACUCUCAAUGAAAAAUACCAUCUCCUUUUAUGAUUGAGAGAAAGAUAAAAAAGAAUGAAGCACUAUAAACUGACAGAAGAGAUGACCAAUAGAUUUGAAUUUUCUUUCUGAAAGAUAAAAGAUGUUUUAUAAAAGAUCUUAAAGAACAUCUAAAGAUAAAAGAUCUUUUAUCUUUUUUAGAUAAAAAGAAAAAAAUCACUCAGGAAGACUUUUUUUUUUUUUUAAUAAAGAGGUAUUUUAUCUUUUAUUUUUGUUAAAAAUGUGGGACUUUUGAAAGUAUUGUGUUCUAAUUGAUUUCCAUCACUCGGAAGCAUGUAACCUAACACAAUCUUUAUUAUUUAAUUAUUACAUUUAGAUUUAACUCUCACAUUACCUUUUUCUUUUAUUUAGACAAAUAACUGUGAAUCAAUAUAAUUUUAAUCAGUAAAGUAAUAACUUGGAGUACUAUAAUUAAGAUGAUUUCUAAUUGAUUAUGACUACAGACCAAUGAAAACUAAGAUGAUUUCUAAUUGAUUAUGAUUAUGAUUAUGAAGCCAAAUAACCGAUAAUGAAGUUGAGUUGUUGAUAUUGUGGUUGAAGAAAAAGUUUUAAGCACUAACAAUUAUGGUUGAAUAAGCCCAAACAAAUUUUCAACCCUCUUGUUAGGUGUUUGUGUUAUGCUUUAAGUGAUGCACCCAACAUCAUAGAUGUUUUCCCAUCGGUAGUUGAGUUCCUAAGAUGAUAUGAUCAUUCUAUGCAUAAACACUUAAUCUCAUAAAUCUCUUUUUCUAUUGAAUUCUUCUAUCCAUCAUCUUCUACCCUAUCGUCUUCAUCCACAACUUCAUGAAACCAAGCCUGUACCGUUGUCUUCAAUCUCUUAGUUACAACAUCAUCAAUCCAACCCAACCCAACCCGAUCUCUAAGUUCAAAUAAUUGAAAUUUUUAUGGUUUGAAUUUAUUCAAGGUUUCACCUAAAAUACUCAAACCAACUCCAACUUAUUUUUAAUGGACAUUUUCAAAAUUAACAAUAAAAAAAAAAUGAAACUAUUUAUCAAAUAUAAUAAAAUUUAUUAAAUUCUCCUUUUUAAAGUUUUUUUUCCAUUAUUUACAAAUAAUAUCAAUCAUUUUUUUUGCUUCAUUUUUUAACUUUUGCUAUCUUUAUUUUAAUUUCCAAUUUAUAAUUUUUUUUGGAUAACUUGUUUUGCAACUUCUAAAAAUAAUUUUUUAAAAUAAACAUUUCUACAUUUUAAAAUAUAGCAAAAAAAAAUUAAAACUAUAUACAAAAUAUAGAAAAAUCAAUCCCAUUCUCUCUAAUUCAUUUGAUUUUUUUUACUUUAAUCUUAACUAAUGUAAAUAAAAAUACUUUCAUAAUCUUUUACGCUUUUUAGAAAAAGAUAAAUAAAUAAACAAUUUGAGUAUCAUAGACAACUUAACCCAAAUUUUUAAUGAUGGGAUUACGUUGAUUAUUUAAUAAGAUUUAUUUGAAUUAAAAAAUUAGAAAAAUCCGAAGAAUUGAAUAAAUCAAAAGAAAUAUUCAACCCAACCAACCAACAUCACUCCUUACAUGUUUCCUCAAUGAACUAACAAAUUGAUAAUCCAAGAACCAUUUAAAAUUGUAUUUCUAACUUGAAAUACUAAGAUGUUAAUUUAAAACUUCCAACGAUCUACAUACAUCUCAUGUUAAAAUAAUGGAAAGGACUUUGUCAAAGCCAAUCCCUUUUUAUCUCUUUUAUGCCAUGUCCUUUUAUCUUUAUGUUUUUUAUAAAUUUUCAUUUUAUAUUUUAUCUAGUGGACUUGACUUUUCGAGUAAAAUCUUAGGUGUCUUCGUGCAUUUAUGUUGAUAGAAUGCAACUCUUUAAAAUAUGAUGUAUUUGUUCGAGGUAGAGAUGUGUUACAUCAAUAAAUUAGUUUUUUUAACGUUUAUGUGAAGUGAAUGUGUAAAAGAAAGACAAAAUAAAUUGCUACGGAUAAAAACAGUUUUAUCACAAUGAAUUACUAUUAUGGAUUAAAAAAAUGAGACGAUUUACAAAAUCUAGAAAAAGAAUUAUCAGAUAAAUUUAGUAAAUAGUUUUAAUAUCUUGGUGUUUUUAAAAACUAUUUAAUCAAAAACUUAGAGAAAAUAUAAAAAAGUAAAUCAAAUGAAAGUAAUAAUUAAUGCAAUCAAACACUACAUCAUUUCAAGUUUAAAAAUAUUAGAAUAAAACUUAUUACAUUAUACAAAUUACACAAACUUAUUACAUUAUACAAAUUACACAAACUUAUUACAUUAUACAAAUUACACUAGUGAAAUAUUUACAUAUUGAUUCGAUAAUUUAAUUACAAGAACAAGUGUUCUUACUUUAAGCUAGACAGUUUUUUUAUGAACGAUAAUAUAAAAACAUUAACAUAUUAUCUAACUUUUAAUCUUAUUUAUUAUAUAUUUGCACUAUAGCACACAUAUUUCUUGACCAAAUAUUCAAAAGUUACAAUAUUACUAUGCAUUUGACUAUAUAUUCAAAAGUUACAAUAUUACUGCUCUUCAUUGUAAAUCAUCCUCAAAGUAGAAAUACCUCAAAAUUUCAUAUAAAAUUAAGACGUACAACUACAACUAUGUAGCAGUUGAAUCGAAUGAAUAAAUUAAUCCACAAUAUAUCAUAUCAUAUAGUACACAAAGCUCCAAGCAAAACUGUGACCCAUCAAUGGAACCCUUCUUCUUCAUCAACCAAAACUUAAAAAAUAUACAGCAAACUCAUCUCAUUCUGUAAAGACAAAUUUAUAAAAAUGUGUAUUCUUCUCAACCAAUUUGUUUAGCCUUUGCCUUUCUUUCUACUUCGCCUUCUUCUUGCUACCUUUGUUGUGACCUUUCUUAAUCUUAGAUCCUUUACUUGACAAAAUACUUGACGCACUCUUGCCUUCAAGCUUCUUCGUCAUAUUUACCACACUAACCAUUCCUUUCCGAGCAGCGGCUCUAUGUUCCGGUCGACGGCUCAUCAUCUUCCGAUCAAGAGGCCAAUACGCGUAAGGCUCAAGUUUAUCCUUUCUCUUAACAUCGCCUCCAGCCUUCUUGCUAGCAUACUCGGUACCGGUGUAAGCCCAACCAGAGUCGGAUGUUCUUCUCCGCUUCUGAUUUUUCUUGGAGGAACCAACUGACAAGUGACUCCUAACUUCACUCCUUUCAUCUAAAUCUGGGUUGGAAGCUUUUCUUUUGAAAUUUGCCUCAUCAUCAUCCUCAAUUAUUAAGCGCCCUUCGUCAUCCAUCUUCAGCUCGCCAUCUGACAAAACUGUUUUCCGCUUGAGAUGCAAUGAUGAUUGAAGAGCAUGUCUCGUUUUUUGUUGAUCAAGCAAGUCAAGAGGCUCGUCUUCCAUUUGUCCAGGCAAGCGUUCAAGUAAGCUCAUGGUUGAUCGGCUCUUGGGACUGAAGGAGUUCAAAAAUUCAGAUUGCAAUAAACAGUCUAGACAAAUGAGACAUACAUCUCUACAUUAAACAAGGAAUGGAAAUGGAAAAGGAAACGGACCGUUUAGAUGUCUUUGAUCUGAGGUGUGAGGAAGCCUUUGAUGGUCGACUUUUUCUACCAUCCACAUAUUCUGAAUCACUUUCCCCCAAGUAUUCUCCACCACUAUCUUCAGUCUCAUCAUCACUCACCUCCGAAAAAAUUCGUGUAUGAUUCCAUUUACUCAUCCUGAAAGUAAACCAAUAGUCACAAGAAGAAAAAAGUUGUAAAAUGCGCAAAAUUUUUAGUGUGUUUAAAAACAAUCUGAGCAUUUGUGAAGAAACGCCAAUCGGAAUGCAGUACAUAAAAGCCAUCAAAUCGUAUAUCUUGUAACACACAAAAAUGUUCUCAGACCGCCACUCAUUCAUUUCCCCACCCCACCACCGCUUAAUAAAGGUUAAAAGAAACAAUAGGUUAUAGGAGGAAAAAGAAUUUGAUCUGAUCAAUCUCAUGAGUACGCUUGAAUGACUAGUAAUUUCCAGCCACAAUCAAUAUAUUUCUCGAUGUUAAAUUCCAAGUCCGGACUUCCAACAACUAUUCAUAUAUCAACAAGCACAUGCAAAAUGGAAAACAUAACCCAUUAGAUACCUGGAUGUUGUUGCUUUAGACGCAAUAGACCUAGGCCCCUCAGAUUUAAGUUUCUUUUCUUUCCGUUCUCUUAUCUGGCAUGCCAAAACUGUUCGUUAGUAAGAAUAAGAGCAUACGCAAUCUUUCUUUUUGUUCUGCAUAAGCCUUUAUGUUUGUCAAUCUAACACUAAGUUUACAACCGACCUUCCUGAUGUUGGUAAGAAGUUUCAUGUGUUCUUCAGGCAUCACACCCUUGAUUGCAUCCAAGCCACAUUUUCUAACAAGCAUUUCAAGUAACUGCUUAACCUGGAAAAUUAACAAAUGAAAAAUGUAGCUUUUGGACAGUCGGAAAGCAAGAGAACAAUUUCAGAAUUAAGUCAAAGAAUAACCUUAGCUUUGAAAUGGUUUUUGGGGCCAUCUUGCCACUUCAGCAAGCUUUCCACCAAACUCGUCAAGUGCAUAUGCAACACUUCAGCUUUUGAUUUGGCCACCAAAACCUUUAAGAAUCCCAGAUUGGCCUGCAGUAAAUGAGAGUAUAAGUAAACCUAAAGAGAAGAUCAAAAUAGAUAUAAACACAACGGAGGAAGGACGAGCUAACUUUGAUUAUUUCUCUAUUCUUUCUCUGGAGAAGUAAAUAAGUAGAUGGGAGCAAAUUGCAAGCUGCUGAAACUAGAUCAGAGAACUCGUAAGCCAAGCGAGCUAAGCCUUUCAUUGCAGCACUGAUCAUAUGAGGAGUCUCACCACCAAGACCUCCAGCUACCUGGAAAUAUUAAUAUUUAUUCUUUCUGGCCUUUAUAACAAUUGAUAUUGAGUCAAUUUAGCAAAAUGGACAGGGGGAGGAAGGGUCGUGGUGGGGAGGAUAACCCAUUAAUGUUGUUCAAAUGAGAAAUAACUAAACUAAUGACUCGGAAAAAAAAUUGAAGUACCAUGUUAAAAAGAUGAUACAGAUAUUCCAUCUUUCCACCUUUGUUAUCAUCCAAACAUGCAUGACCAAUCUGAACAAGAAUAUCAUAAGCUCUGUUUCUUGUUUUCUUAUUAACCUGAAAGACAUGCGUGAGAAUAUUAGCACUUUGAACAAAACAUUCAUGAAACAACAGUACAUGAGAGCUAAGAACAACCCGAGUAACAUGUUCCAGAUCUGUCAUUAUCCGUAAGUAUGAAGAAAAUAUCUGGACUACAAUGAUGUAGAAAGCAUACUGAAAGCUCAUACUCGUUUCAACUUAUGUGGCCCAGUACAAAUGGCUGUACUAAAGACAUUAACCAAUUUCAGAUGCCAUUUGGCUUCUUUUUGUCGGCUUUUGUUUGCCCUUGCAUUCUUUCAAUUUAUUCACAAUGAAAGCCAAGUUUUCUCAUCAAAAGAGUUUCAGACACCACACAACCACUAGAAUGAACUUAUAUGUUGAUAUAACAAUCUGAAGGCAAGCAAACAUUCCUUGAUAAUUUGUGCCACCAAGAAAUUUAUAAAGAAGCAUUACACGCAACUGAAUACAACAAAGAUAAUACAGUGUUUAGCCCAAGUUCAGGACCCCUGAAUCUUAUUUUCAGUUGCAAAAGAAAUUGAGUGGACAUGGUACAAACUAAGAAGCAGAAAACAAUUAGAAAGAAUAAUUAAAAUGCAUUGGGCAUUUUGUAUUUCAGUUUGUUUUGACGCAAAUGAAGCUUCCUACAACCUUACAAUGACCAUUUCAAUAAAGAACUACAAUUCUUUGAUAAAAUAAAGUCAUUAACAAAUUUUAAAAGGCAAGAAGUCUAUCAACGAAAAAAAUUAAUACAACUUGAGUAUGAAUUUUGUCUAUCUUUUCGAAAAGAAGAUAAAAGGAAUAUCUCGAAAAUGAUUAAUCACUAAAGUACUCCGACACAAUAGGUAAAACAAAAAAAAAUGCAAUCGAGUCUAAAAUCAUAGUCUUCAUGCAAUUGAGUCUAAAACCAUCAUGACUUGAUCUAGUUGUAAAAAAGGAAAACUCAGUCUAAAUAACUAACUAAGAGGUCAAGGGCUCAAUCCAUGGCGGCCACCUACCUAAAAAUUAAUUUCCUACUGGUUUCCUUGACACCCAAAUGUUGUAGGAUUAGAUGGGUUGAUCCAUGAAAUUAGUCGAUGUGCACGUAAGCUAUCUCAAACAUUCACAGAUAUUAAAAAAAAAUCAGUCUUUCAUUCAUUAACUUUAUCUUCAAGAAAGAUGACUCUGGCCGACCACAAAUGCCUUAAAAAUAAGUAAUGCCAAGUUUCACAAUUAACAAAUUAUUCCAUCUCUAGCUUCUACCAAUGCCCCUACAAAAUCCCUAGGUAGGUAAUUUUCAAUCUGGGAAGUGAAAAACAAUGGAGAAAAUAUGGGAAGAUGGGCAAUGUCAGCACUACUGACUCCCCAGCAUAUCGUUCAAGUUAAUUUUCAAUCUUCAGCACUCCAAACAAAAAAGUGAUUUUUAAAUUAAAUUUUAGACUUUCAGGUGAUCAUACAACAAGACCAGUCUAAAAGAAAACAACAAUUCCGUAUAUUAUUAAAGAAAACAAAGAAGUAUUUCCAAAAGAAGUGAAGGAAUCAAAUAUAUCAAAUUAGACUUGGUCUCAGAAAAAGAUAACCAUAGUGUGCACCACAGAUAUAAAUUUCCUAUUGACAUGGCAACUGCUCAUAUAUUUAAAUAGUUUAUAAACUCUUAGUCGUGAUAAAAUACCAACUCAAAUUAUUCUAACGCCAUCAAAUUGAAGAAAAAUACUAGAAAACGGCAGAACACAUACAAAACCAUAUAAUUCAAUUAAAAGUGAAAGCAAGGAAAUAUUAUAACAGGAAAGAAAAGAUAGAAUACCUCUUUGAGGGCAAGUAUUAUUUCUGUCAAAAACGAACUAAUGAUGUCAUGCCGCCUGGACCCUGAAUCCUCCUGAGGUAAUAAAAAGUAACAAAUUUGAAAUCACAACUGGUGGAGAAAUGUAUUAGCAGGCCAUAACGCAUACUCUUCUACAAGAAUAGAAUGUCUACUAUACUUACCUUUGCAACUUGGACAAUUAGAAAGUACAGACAAUCGAGUCUGUGACGUUUGGCAGAAAAGUGGCAUAAAGGUAACACUUCAAUCAUAAGUGUAAGCAAUUCAUCAAACUUUGUGGAAAGGAACUCAUCAGACGUCUGAUAAUACAAAUGAAAACCAUAGAGAUACAUCAAUUGCCAAUCCUAAAAUCAUUAAAAAAAUCGUUGAAUGUUACAUGAGACACCAUAUUCAUUAACCAAUACGGUCAACUAACCAAACAAGUUCCAAUAAAAUGCUAAGCUUGUAUGCAAUCCAGUAUAAAAAAUGCGAAAGUAAUUAUUUAUUCAAAAAUAAUUGAGAAAGUUGUAAUAGUAAGGGUUGUCAGCACAACAAAUACCUUGAGAAUAGCUGAGAGAACUUUAUAUGCCUUCUUCUGUAUCAAACCAUCACAAUCCUACAAUUCAGAGAUGUGUAAAAUAUGUAAGAAACUUUAUAAUAUAUAAGAACACUUAGACUUCUACCAAAAACAUUAUCGAAACAGAAAAGAGCCAGGAUUAUGGCGUUUGGUCUACUAAACUGCUCCCUAAUCAUGCAAAGAGAAAUCCCCAACAAGUGCUUGCUACCUUCGACUUGCCCUCUAUGCCUAAAGGACAGUGAGGAUUUAUUACAUCUAUUUAUAUUAUGCCCCUACUCCUUUUAUUGCUGGAGAAAUAUUUUCUCUAUCUUUAAAGUGGAUUGGGCAUUCCACGGAUCCUUAAGUUCCAAUGUUUUUUAGUUGUUGAAGAGCCCUUUGUUGCCAAAGAAACUAAAGCUAAUUUGGAUAAACAUGGGAAGAGUUCUAAUAAACUGUAUGGGUGUGUCCCCUAAUCCUAUGUUUCUAACUUUAUUUUUAGGCUUCUCUACUGUUCUCAUUGUAUAAUUCUCUUGUGCUAUGGGUUUUAUAUUAAUGAAGAAGCUUGUCUCUGUUUCAAAAAAAAGAAACAGUAAAGAGCCAACACCUGUUCUUUCAAUGCAGAUUUUACAGCAACGAAUAAAACGUCGAUCUCUUUAGAAUUCAGUCCAGGCAGAAAUGAUACGGCCAAGUCAUACAUUUGGGCCCUGCACUCGAGGUGAAAAACUUGUCAGGCACUUAAAGGUAGCAAAACUUCAAUCCAUUGAGCCUGUAAAAUAAGCAACCCCAACCCCCUCCCCCCAAAGAAAAAAUCCUCCAAAAGUUUGAAGGAAGCAUACCUCAUGAAAGAGGAUGAAUUUGCAUUCGUGGAAUCAUCAAUCUGCAUGGAAUUGGAAACUUUUGGUUCUACUUUUGCAGCCUGCUGAGUCAGUUUUAAAAGCUUCCUCAUUGUCUUCCCGAAGAGAUUUGACACGACACUUUUAUCUGAUAUUGAAGAAAUUUCACCAAUUGUGGACUGCAAAUAGUUCAAACAGAACUUAUAUUGAAAUAUAUAGAAUAUACAAAAUACCCUAGCCCAUAUGAAACAAAAGAAAUCCAAAGACAUAGAAGAAGCGGAAGUCCUUAAAAGACAUGGAUGAAGUGCAAACAUACACAAGACAACUAGCAGUAACUACCACAAUAUGCUUAUGAACCAACAACUGAAGUAACCUAACUGAUAACAAAGUCAACCUAUCACAAAAGCACAAGUUUUCAUUUUUCAACCAAUAGAGGCAUACCUGCAAAUAACCACCAUCUUUUGUAGACUUUAGAAAGAUGUCUGACAAAGCAGACAAUAACUCAGGAGAAGAGGACUUAAGAACAGUCAGGUUAGUUUCCGCCACCUUUUGAGUAUAACGAGACAUAGCAAGCUUUCUAGCCAUAUCCACUUCAAGAUCAGACUCAUCAUUCUUUCCUUCAAGCACUCUCUUAUUCUGUUGGAUAAGAAUCUGCAGACUUGAGCAUAUUAUGCCUCGAACAUCAGGCUCCUCGUUAAGCGCAAUGCAUAAAGCUUUUUGAAGAUCCUUAAAGCUUUCAGCAGUAUCCAAAGGAUAAUUGCAAAAUGAAGGCAGCAAAGACCAAAACGAGUAAACAAGCGAAUCCAUACUCCUCAAUGAAAAGAUCAUGCCCUGUUGCUCAAGCUGCAAGAGAUGAAAGAUAUGAGACUACAUUUCACAACUAAAAGGCUAAUUCCUUAGACAAGAAAAUUCUAUACCUUUUGUGACUUCUGCUUGAUUUCUCCUAUCAUACCCAAAAUGGUCUUCGUGAAAUAGCUCAAAUGAGCACCAACAGUAUAUUGCUUCAAUAUUGGAAGAAGCCAAAUAUUAAUCUGUGAUAGGUUUUCUGUAUCCAAAUUAAAAGGUAUAAGUUCCAAGAAACUUUGAGGUCCCAUCGCACCAAGAGCUGAUCCAAGGCAUUCAUGCAACUGAGUCAUGGAAGAUGCAUUAGUUAAGAGUAACAUAGAAGAAUGAAUAGAUAAAUAAAAUGCACAAAAGAAAUCCGUUCCCAGAAAGGCCAAACCAACAACUAAACACCCAGUAAAAUUACACUCCAAAAGGAGGCUGCAGACAACCACAGACAACAUAAUUAUGGCCUUCUACCACUGAUUAUUCUGAAAACUCUAUCAAUGAUUUGAGAUAAUCACCAAAAGUUCUCAUGGACAAAACUAGGAUUAUAGAAAACAUGGCACCAAAUGUCCGAACAACAUCAUUGUCACACCAACUGGAACAUCCUUUUUAAGCUCACUUGUUCAUUUGCGCAAGUUUUAUUGUUAUGGUAUUUGGCUUGACCUCUAUUUGUGAAAAUCCAUUAAACUUUCAUCUUCUUAAUGAGAGUUGGUUCUCAUUAAAAAUAAAAUAAAUAAAUAAAUAACAUACAUAAAAACUAGGAAGCACAUAUACCGACAUGUGACACGACGACUUGCCAUUUUUCAAAAAAAGUAAUACAGACACGUCGGACACAAUUGGUGAAAUUUCAAUUAUUGACAUCAUGGAUAUAAACAUAUUCUGAAAUAUUCCAAUUAAAAACAUCAAAAUAACAAGUUUAGAGCCAUAAGACAUAACAAGUUUUAGUAGUUUGUUCAACACAACAAAAGGCACAAAACUACAAAAUAAAAUCAGAAACUGGUGGUGAGAGGAUCGGCAGCGACCGAUGAGCAAGUCAGGGCAGAGAGGGUGGAGAGAAAUGUGUGAAAAAAGAUUUUAAUAGAUAAAAUAAAUAAAUAAAUAACCAAAUAAUGGUUGGGCCAGGGUAAUGGGCUAUUCUAACAUUUUCUUAGUUUUUUUCCAGCCGUGUCAGGGCCGUGUCCGUAACUAAAAAUAAUAAUAAAAUGGUGUGUUGGUGUUGGAAACGUGUGACACAGACACUUGGUCAUCUUAGGAGUGUCGGUGCUUCUUAGCAUAAAAUCUGUUUAUGAGUCUAGAGAAAGAGAAGAACAUAUCAAGGACGUAAUUCUCAAAUAAUCCAUUAAUAAUUCGAAUAUUUCAUAAACAUGAUGUAGCAAAUAGUAAAUUUAAAUAUUUGUGAACCGAUUAUCAUAUGAGUGGAUUGUGGUAAGCAGCAUAGAAUGUAGCAAAUAAAAGUACAAAUAAGGGAUACCUUUCCCCUUUUCAACAUAAGUGACACAUAGACUGAGGAAGAAAACAUGUAUUAAAACAAUACAGAUGGAAGUCAGACAUUGUGGCCACCAGACCCAUACCUACCCCCGCCCAAAAGAACCAGAAAAUAAGAUGGAAAAAAAAAAGAUAAAACUGGACCAAUACUCCCAUUUGGAUUCUAAACUAUGAAUGUUAAACAAUAAAAGCUACAAGAAUCUGUGACAAAAGCUAAUAGCCAAUAUGUAAUUCUUUGCCAUCCAAAAUCCAGAAAAGAAUACCUCUUUCCGGAAGGGGAAAUCUUCAUCUCGCAAUUUCUGCAUUUUUGCUAGGCUAAUAAGGGCUCCUUUAAGAAAGUGAGAGGAAUAUUUCCCUGAAUAAUAAUGAACCAAGACAACAAACCACACAAAUGAAAUGAUGAUAAUAAUCAUAACAUGUUCAAAUGUUAAGUGAAGAGGAAAUUAAAUUACAUCAAGUAGUUUAAGAAUACCUAGUUUAUCAAACAUGGCCGACACAACUUGAAAAGCCAAGUCAAAAACAGCAGUGUAAUGAUAAUCAAGUAAACUUUCAAUAAUAGCACAUAGUUUUUCUAUGACUGUUGGCCCAGGCCUCCUUGCCUCCAUAUUUCCCGUAGUCACACCCUCUCUGAUCAAGUCUUCAUUGAUGCAAGCACAUAUCAGAUUUUUCAUAGCAUCCUGGGCAGCACGGAUUGCCUCCUCAUGAUCACAUAGCAUAAUAUCUGUCAAUCCACGUUACAAAUUAAUUUCAUCUUUUUCCAUAGACAAUUAGUAUGAACUUGGGAAUGGGAGAAUCCAAGUGCAUCCAAAUUAACUUCCAAUCAGAACUAAACUUGAAAAGCAAAGAUCAAACCUUUGAGUGCAUUGAAAGUAACAGGGAGCUUAACUACACAAAUCUGCCUAUUAAUUUUGUAAACUUUUUCCAUCCCGACAUUAAGCAGACGAGCUGUGAAAGCCAGGCCAUCUGCAGAUGUUUCACUCGUAGAGAAAGAUACAGCCAUGGAGCACAACAAAUCAAGCAGCACUUCAGCAGAAACAUCAACAGUUGGGUGGAGACAGAGUGAGUUCAAACUAUCCGUAAUACGCCUAGUAACAACAGGUUGGUGCAGCUCCAAAAGAGUUUUAUAGUAUUUAAGUAUGUUAGUAAUAUACUUCAUUGACAUGAGAGGCAGACACUCCCUCAAAGCCUCCAAAAUAAAUAGAACCUCCUGAGCUCCUUUAGGUCCUUCAGGAGCCUUGGGGGUUGACCCACCAGCAAGCAAAAGAGAUUUCUCAAAAACAUUGGCGACCCCUUCACUAGCAGAUGGGAGCAAUGGUGUUCCCUGCAGUUUUAACAAGACAUCCCGAAGACAAAUGUGUGAUUGCCUUCUAACCUGUUCAACUACACGCAAUUAAUAGUUCGUUCAUAGAGAAAACAUUCAAAAUCCCAUUCUUAUACAUUGAAUAUCCAAAUUCAUACAUGGCCUAAAAUUAAAAUAGGUCAGAACUUCUAAAUUCGAUAUUAAAUAACUCAACUCCACCCCAUGUUCGUUAUAGAAGUUUGUGAAUUAUCAAUAAACUCCAUCUACCCCUCUUUUGCCCACUUACCAAAGAAACUCUAUCUUCCACCCCUUUGCACAUUUAUCGAUAAAAUCCAACUCAACACUGGAAACACAGACUUCUAACAAAUAUGCAACCCAAAUACAAUUUUUCUAACUCCAAUACUCAGACUAAAGAACUUAACUUAGCACCCGAAGCACCAUAUGGUAUUUGAAGUACAAACAUUUCAUUAAAAAAAAAAAAAGACUGGUGUUAGAAAUCACCUUAGGACGCGAAUCAAUGACGAACCCAAGAAUAAACCCGAACAAAUUAGAAACAUCCGACCAAUUGACAGCAUUCCUAACAAUCACCAAAUGCGAAACACACUUCAAUCCAAAAGUAGCGGCACCGGGGGUCAAGGAAGGGACACGAAGAACGCGAAUAAGGAGAUAAGAUAAAAAGUCCUUCUUCUUAUUCAAAAUGGGAGAGGAAAUUCGGGGGAGAAGCAGAGACAGAAUGGUGAGUAAAGCCUCGAGAAGGUGAGGGGAAGGCUCAGGCUCGGAAGAGAUGCGGUCAAGAGAAGAGCAGGUGGCACCGAAGUAGGCAAGUGGAGUGGAAGGAAGAGACUGGUCUCUGAGCUCCUGAGCCAUGGCGCCAAUGACGGCGCAAAGAUGCUGAUGUUCUUCGUUGGUGGAAUCGCUGAAGCGAAAGAGAAUGGAGUUGCAGAAGUCAUCGUUGGAUUCGAAAUCGAACGAAGCUUCCAUCUCAAGGCCUUCCAUGGCCAUGAUCGGUGGAUUGAAGGUGAAGAAGAUUAAACCCUAGGGUGCGGGCAAAGAAGACAAGGCAGUGCCAGCCAGGGUUUUAGGUGAAAAUUAUAGGAAAUCAAAGGAACCGGCGAACCGAAUCGGAUUUUUUCACUCGGGCCGGUUUAUGAAUAAUUUGUGGGUUUUUUCGAAAACGCAAGAAAUUCAAGGGUAGCUAAAUAGACAAUAGUUUUUUUUUCUCCAAAUGUUUUACAUUAUCUAAAUAACAAAUCACUAGUUACCAGUUCUUUUAAAACGUUCUAUUAUUUGAGAGAUCAUCCGUCAUAUAAUUGUUUUAAAUUUAAAUUAUGACUAUUUAAAAAUAGAUGUUUUUGUAGUUUUCAUAGUUAAAGACAUCUUGAAAUAAAACAAAUUUUUUUGUUUAAAAAAGAAGUUUAAAAUUAAGGGCAGUCAGAUUUCACCAAUCAUCGUCGUUUUAAAAAUAAGUUAUCUCUUUUAAAUUGAGAGUGUUCUGUAAACAUUUUCUUCUUUAGUUAGUCCAAACGUCUUAUAACUAGCUUUUAUUCUAAAUAUACAAUUAUCUAGUUCGUUGUUUUCCGUGAAAUAAAACAAUAUUUAAAAAUACAUUUUAAAAAACAAAAUUUUGUGGAAUAAUCCCCUGUGAUUAGACAUCAAUUAGCAGAUGACAACACACUCAAGUAUCUUUUUCUCAAUACGUUUUGUAUAUAUUUAGCCAACAAUACAUAUAGAAAAAAGAAACAGAUGCAUUACAUUCCAUUUAAUCAUAAUUUAUCGCACUUCAAACUCUUCUUAUAUUAUGGUCGUCGAGAUGCAUGAAUGAUGGUACCACAAACUCUACUCUACUGCCGUGAAACCUCCGCCAUUUGUCACUGUUACCGCCACCCCCAACAUCUUCCUUCCGGUGGGGUUUCCACCGUCGAGACGAUUAAUCAUAAACAGAGCAUUACUAGUAACUUUAGCCACUUUCAAAAUUCUCCUCUUCACAUCCAAUUUCACUUCCCCAUCCACUUCUUUAAACCCAUCAAGACAAGUUUCUUCAUUCGUUAACGCCGCACUAACCCACGUCUUCGCAUUCCCCAUCUCCAGCCGGAACUUCCGCCGGUCGUCGCCGCACGGGAGGUGCCGGAGAACUCCCAAUGUGUUGCUCAGUUCCUCUACAGAGUCCCCAAUCUGAUCCACGCAGUCAUCCACCGCCGCUCGCUGCUGCCUUGACGCCUGUCGGAGGCUGUCGGAGAGAUACUCGGAGAGGUUUUGGGCGAGGGAGAGGCUGACGGAGAUGGUGGCUUGAGCAAGGUCUCGUGGGGUUUUGACGGCGCCAGCGUAGGAGGAGAGGGUUCGGAUGCAGAGAGUUGGGUAACUUGCUUGAAGACAAGAAGAAUGGAUAAGAUCUUGGGAGAUGGCGCCUCGUCCGCCGUGUGCGGCGGAGAGAGAGAGUGAGAAGAGGAGGAGGAGGAGAGAGAGGACAGUCAUGGUGAAGUGUUGGAAAAAAUUGAAUUGAAAAAGUGGGAGAUCAAGAGGAGAAUUUCUAGGACUAUAGGUUAUGGAAAACAUUAAUAAAUGUGCCUAUCAUAAUUUGGUUGGCAGCUUCUAGUAAUCCAAUUAUACAUGUCUCUGAAAUAAACUCAGCAGUAAGAAUGGACGAGAGUAAUUUUAUUAUUAGAGAGAAAAAUAAAAUGACGGUAGACAUACUAAUACUACUUUUUUGCUUAUCCCAAUUCCAAUAAAUAACAAAACUUUGAAUUUCAACUCGUUGAUUGGACCAUCAAACUUUCAAUAUCAUUAGAUUAGAUGUUAACAUAGUUAAGAAAGUUUUGACAAAUGCCAAAAUGAACUUUAGUACGUACCAAGAAGUUAAUAUGUUUGUUAAUUAUAUUAUAUUUAAAUGGGUACUCUAACAUUAUAAGACUUCAUAUUUUUGUUAACUAUAUAAUAAAAAUAUUGAUAUAUGAGGAAAGAAAGAGACAUGAGGGGAGCAAUCUCUGAGUGACCCAUAACUCCAUAUGCUCCCACCAUAAUAAAUAAUGGCAUAUGCAUCCAUAUGUCAUAUGCCCCAUCCUCUCUUCAGUUUUCACUUUAUUCUCUCUCUUCUAAAUCUUUUUUCAAUUUUAGGUAUAAUCAUUUCAACAUCUUACACAUUUUUAGUUUCUAAUCCUAUAUUUCGAUUAGAGAUGGUUCCUAAUGCUUAGUCUCCUUUAUUAUGAUUUUCAAUCCACUCGUAUAUAUUAAUACGAACUUAAAUUUACGUGGAAAGUUAAUAAUGCAAAUUUAAAACGAUAGUGUUAAAAGUGAACUUAGCUAAAUGAUAAUUGACAUGAUUUUCAUAUUUAAAAGUCAUAAGUUCAAAUGAUUAUAUACCCUCGUAAUUGCCGUACUUCAGAAGGAAAAAAGUUAAAACAAUAGUAUUUAUAUUGAACUAACAUGAAGUGUUUUUUUAACUGUUUGAUGUGGUAGAUACAUAGGGGAGAAGAAAUUGUACCAUUUAUAAGAAGGUAUUUCAUAAGUUGCUUCAAACAAGAAAAGUAUGUUGAAUAUAUGCUUCUUGAUUUUAAUAUUCAAUUGUUCGACCUACUUCUGUCAUCUAUUGUAUAGCGCGUAAAAGGAACAUUGACAAAUAUAACAAUUAUGUCCAAAAUAUUAACAAAUAUAAUGUAACACCAAAAAUUUGUAAAUAUCAAAUUUUAGAUUUAGCUUCUAGAGUUUAUCAAAUCUAAAUCAUGUUACUAAUAGAAGUCUAUCGGUGAUAAAGUCUAUUUAAAUUAUAUAAUUAAGUCGAUCAAUCAUAGAGGAUAUCAGUACUAAUAAAUUUUGUUAUAUUUGUAAUUUUUUUAAAAUGUUCCUAAAUUCAAACUAAAUAAAAAAAAUGUAGUAUGUUACCUUAUUCACAUGACAUAUACACUAUAACGACUUUUUAAUCACUCACAAAAUCAAUUUCGAAAAAAAUGUGAGUUGUAAAAUAAAUUGGUUUAGGAUAAUGAGACUUGGAAUCAACUCGUAAAAAAUAUAUAUUUUAAGUGUUUACUAAUUUAUCUCUCAUUUGUAAGAUUCCUAAAGUUACAAAAACGUCCCAAAUGUCAUUACUAUACUUUCACGGUUGCAACUUCUCUUUGUCGACCACCUCUCACUACCACCUUUGUCGGCCAAUUUCGACUUUCUUCUCCUAUUAUCGUCACCAAUCAAUUUCAACAACCAUUAUUAUUUCAAAUCAUUAGUUUAAUAUAGUAUUUUAUAGUCAUUAUUUACGAUAUUUAAGGUUAAUAAAAUACUUUUAGUGUAUAACAAAUCAGAUAAGCUUGUAAAAAAAAUAUCUACGAGAAUAUAUAAGUGGUGAAAGACACAUGACUUUUCUUACUAUUGUUUCAAUUUUUUUUCUUUUUAAAGUGUUUAAGUGAAAAUAAUUUUUGAAGAAUAAUAUUUUUCUAUGUUAAUCGAAACAUACUCUUAGUUUGGCUACAUAAACAUUGUAAUCCGCUAUCACUAUUUUUAAUUAUUUGGUUUAUUUACCACAUGAUUCAUAUCAAAUAAUCAGCGAUCAGUUUGUUAACCAAAAGGCUUGAACUAGGAUAGAGUUUCAUUUAUCACGUUCGGUAACCAUUUAUAUAGUUGAUAGAAAGUUAUAUGCAACCGAUAUACCCAUGAUUUUAAUUGUCAUUGUGAAAGUUGUUUCUUUUAAUUCUAUUUUGAUAUAUAUGGAAUUGUUUUUAUUUGAUUUGUUGGAUUUUGAUGGUCUUAUUUGGAGUAUUAGCAUUAGUUUUCUUUUUUUUUUCAAAUAAUCUUGAUGUAUAUAUCUUUAAUUACAUUAAUUAUGUCUAACAAAUAUAAAUUCUAUACAAAAUUAAUUUAUUAUACUUCGAUCAAAUGUUGAUAUGAUUAUUUUUAAUAACAUGCAGUGAGUAACGUUAAUUUGGUAUAUCAAUAGCAGCAAGAGAUGAAAGAUAUGAGACUACAUUUAACAUAUGAGUAUACUGAUACAAUAGAUUUUUAUAAGGAGAAAAGAAGAUACGAAGUAUAUAUGUGUUGUUAAGAAUAAUGAUCGUUAAAGUUAAAUUAUAACAUUGAGAUUUUAAGUAUAUCGAUAUUAUAUAUCCAUAAUAUUUCAUCAUUAAUUUGUUUAAAAUGUUCUAAUUUACACUAAAAAUUGUUUAAGUAAAUCGAUGUAUUGAUAUUUUAAGUUGAAACUUUACAAUAAAAAUUAAUAUGACGCGAUAAGUUAACCAAACAUUCAAAUGUGGAUAGAUCGGGUAAUCGAGGCAAAGAAUUCAUCACAGUUUGGCCAUUUGGGGAGAAAACAUUAUUAUAUAUGGUUAAGUCCCAUGUGGACAAUUAUUGCAUCCAUUACUUAUAUUGUGAAAGGAACAAUAUCAUUCUAAGUAGAUAGUGGGUAUAUAUCCCAACUAUAUAUAUAUGCUUUACAAAAUAUAUUCUUUAUUAUUCUUCAUAUAUAUGGACACAAGUCCAUGUGCACUUAUUCUAAGGCUUUGCUUGUUGGAAUGAACAAAAUUAAAGUUGCAAGAAGAAAAAAAAAACCCUUUCACAUUUAGUUCAUGAGAACACGAAAACAUUAAUAAUUGAUCUUUCGGUAAAGUUAGGGUUUAAAGUGAUCACGAUCUAUCGAUGCCUAUCAUAUCACUAUAAAAUUUUGCUAAUGUAGUGGUGAAAAAUGAUAAAUUUAACUAGGAUUUGAUAGUUUUCAAAAACUUAUUUUUUCUUUUGAAAUUUGACAAAUAAUUCAACCAUUUGGCUUAAAAAUAUGCAAAACUAUUGUAACAAAUUGAUCAUUAAUGAAACAAAACUUGAUUUUCAAAACCUAUAAUUAAAAAUUAAAGUAUCUCAUUUGGUAACCAUUUGGUCUUUUGUUUUUGUUUUUGAAAAUUAAGUAUGUAUAGUUUAUCAAUGGUUGAUUUUAAAAAAUCAAGUCCAAUUUUAGCAAUUCUUAACAAAGAUAUUAUAGUCUCUCUUUUUUUUUUUUUAUGAUCAUGGUUUAUCGUUGGAAAUUAAAAUUUCUUAUUUAUUAAAACAAAUAAUCCUUGGUUUCUAAUUAUCCUCUUAGAGUACAAUAUCUAUAAUCAACCAUUCGAUUUCUUAGUGAAAAUGACUUGCAUCAUUAUGAGAGAAUUUUAUAAAGGAAAAACAACAUACAUGGAAGAUAUGAAGAAGUUGCCAUUCGAUUGAGUUUAUUAAAGAUAUGUGGUAAUGUCCAACACAUGGUUUUUCUAUUACAUAAAAUAUAUAGGUAGGUGACAAAUGUAAAUGUAGCUCAAUAGGUUCAUACAUAGUUCUAAGAUGAAUAGGUUCUAAUUCGUUUUACCCUUAUAUUAAUACACUUACAAUCACUUAUGUCAAUUUUUAUUAACUAAUUUGAAGUAUCAUGAGUUUCAAACGUGGUGAAAAAUAGUGAAAUUUUAAUUAAUUAUAAUUUGUUUAGUUCUACACUAACAUUGAAGACGAAAAAUAAGUAUUAAGUGAAAAUUUGAAAUUCAAAGUUGUGUAAAUAUUGAAAUUUAAUAACCAAAUUGAAAUAAAAUUAAUAGUAAAAUUAUAAUAUUUCACAACUUAGGGACCGAAUAAAAAUCAAACUCAAAACUUAAAUAAAAGCUAGAACGGAAAGCUCACCCAUCAAAAUAGAUGUUUUUUAUCUAAUUUUAAAUAGCCUCUAAUUAUAUUUUUGUUUGAAAAUUUGUUUAAGGAAAAGUUUGCCAAUGUACAUUCAAUAUAUAGACAAGUUGGGUAAUGGGGUUGUUCUCAUUUUACCAUUUAUGCCUCAAUCUAUUUAUUUAUUUUAUGAUUCAUUUAAGUUUUUUUUAGUACAGCGGUUUCACAUCAAUCUUAAACUUAGAACUUAGAAGUUUGAUUAUUCUACAUUUAGAAAAAAAAAUAUUCUCAUAUAAAGUUUAAUUUCUAUUAAAAUUAGCAAAUCAUUACCAAACUCUUAGAAUAGCUUUCUUUUCAAUAGCGGUUGAAUUAAAACAAUUAUAUUUAUAUAAAUUGGAGGUUUAAUUUGAAGAAAUCAUUCAGAGUGAAGCAAUUUGUCAAGUUUUAAAUUAAAGUAUAAGAGUAAAGUUUUGUUACUAGUUACUUAAUUAUUAUUUCUGAAAUAAAUUAUUGUGUGGAUUGUAAUUAUAUUUUAUUAUUUAAAAAAGGAAAAAAGAAAUUGGGCUAGAGAGAGGGAGAGGGCCCAUUAGGGUUAGUUAAUGGGUUGUUGUUGCAAUGUUUAUGAUUUCAAGAUAUAUCAACUACUACAAAAGGUUGGUGUACUUUAUCGAUACUAACAUUCAAUUUUUCAAUCACUCUAAAUUAAAAUAUUACAAUUUUUUCUUUCUAUAUCCCAUCCCUAAACUAUAUCCACUCCAUUAAUUCUACAUAAUUAUCGAUAAAAUGUCCAUGUGAUAGUACACAUAUUACAAAUUAUAUCUAAAUUAAUAAAAAAAAAAAUUAGAAUUUUAAAACACGUUAAAGUGUAUAUGUUGUCAUAAAUAUCUAUUCAUGAUCUGCAUAUUAUUGUAGAACUUUUGAAAAUGUGAAAAUAUAUAUCGAGAUGUUUUGACGAAAAAUUAAUAUCACAAUUUUAUCCUACAUAUGUAUCUGUACCUUUUUUUAAAAAAAAAUCAUAUACUAAUUUUCAUAAUUCUCCAAGAAUGUUUAUAAUUUUAACCACUUUUUGUAAUUGAAAUAAUAUGUAUAAGCUUGAUUAAAAAAACAAACGAAAAUCUAAAAUAAAAUUGAAUUAGUUAUGAAAAUUACUUAAUUAUUUUUUGACAGGGAAUUUUUUUUGAUUAAAUAGCUAAAACUUGUUAAACUAUAAAAUUACAAAUUAAUUAAAUAUAGUAGUAAGGAUUGCCAUAUUAAUUAAAUAUUCAAAUAUAGCAAGCCUCUCUAUGCUUUAUAGAUUAAAAAAAUUAAACUUCUAAAAGUAUAACAAUAUAUAUGAGAUAGAUUACCGUCUAUAUUUAUCAUGAAACAUAUAGACAGACACAGGUAACAAUGUCUAUGUUAACCUAUCGCGAUCCAUCAUAUAUAGACUAUGAUAUUCUUUUAUACUUUAUAAAUAUUUUGAUUCAUUUUACUAUAUUUGAAAAUAAUCUUCAUCUUAAUUAAUUAAGUUAGAGUAUAUACAUGAUACAAAAAUAGUAUAUUACUAAUUAAUGUAUUUUAAUAUUUUAAAGCAUUCUCUAUAUAUUUAUUUUAAUGAAAAAAUAUUUUUGGUCUCUCUAACCUAUAAUUAACCAUAAUAUUACUAUUCACUUUUUACUAUUUAUUACAAUAUUUAUUAUUUUCUACUCAUUUACUUUUUUUUUAUUUGUUGUAAUAUUUUUUAUCAUUAAUUACACGGACUACAAUAAUUUAAACGGCCUCAAACACAAAAUCUUAAGGGAACUACCGUAAAUAAGAUACCUACCCUAUGAUAAUCACUAACUAUGAUCCAAACGUCUCUAAAAUUAUCGUGGAAAUGUUUUGGUUUUUCUGAAGGUUUGGCGACCUAGUUCUUCUAACUAAAUUUGAAAAAUAUGACUAACCUACUCUAUCGGUACUAAAAAAAUUGUAAUUUUUUUAUUAAAUUAAAUGUUAAAGAAGUUUUAUUUACUUAAAAUUUCGUGGACUCAAUCCGUUUAAAUUUUGAUGGUUCAUAAAGUGUAUCAAUUUAAACCAUCACUUAAUUAUAUUCUAUAUUUGGAUGUACAUCGUCAAAAACUUAUAAUUUUAUCAAUUAAACCCUUAAAUUUUAAUUUUAUACAAAUUGUUAGUUUAUGUAUUAAUUCUAAUCAUCAAUUUUGUUGAUAUGAUAUUUGAAGAAGUAUCCAACCAUACAUUUAAGAACUAAAUACAUUAAUAAUUUUCAAAUAUAUUCGUAAUAAUAAAUUUCAAAUUGAUUCAUUUAUAUAAUACUUAAAAUUUAAAAACGGCUUAAUCGAACAAAAAAAACUAAAUAUUUUAUCACAAUAUUUUUACUAGUUUAAAUUGAAAUUCUUCCUUACGAGCAACACAACCAAAACUUUAAGGUAGUCUUCAAAAUCAAUAAUUCAACACAAUCAAAUUUUAUCUAUAUCGUAUAACUAUUUUAAAAUUUUACGUUAUGAUGUCACGUAUUACAAUCUUGAUCCCGCUACGACCCGAACCUAACUUUUUUUUCUUUUUUUCUUUUUUUGCCAAUUUACUACAAACACCACCACUCCCCAAAAAAGAACUACCCAUCCUCUCAACACCAAAAUUACCAAACACGUAUUGACUUUAAAUAAUGAUUUUAAAAAAUACGAAUUUCCCAUUUUACCCUUUUGUUCAUAAAGAACUACAAUAACGCCCUCUCUCUUCUCUUAUUUUAUCCCAACCCCAAAAAACCGAAACACAAGGAGAUUUUCGGGAGAGAAUGUUCCGGCCGACCGUUGCUUCAUCUUUUCCGGCGACGGUGGCGUUCGCAAUGGGGGUGAUGCUCCAACUCAUUAUACUAAUAAUUAUUCCGUCCACCGUCGUCGUUGAAGCUCACACAAAAACAAUUCCGGCAGAUUCAUCGAAGCUCGACGAAUGGAUCGGACACAACAUGAAAGAAUACAACGAUCGUAAGACGAACGAGACAGGAAUCAAGGCGCUGGACCGGCGGCUGGCGGAGGCGGAGGAUUGUGUUCAAUUAAUCACCGUUAGAAAAGACGGACGAGGAAAUUUCUCGACGAUCACUGAAGCGAUCGAUAGCAUUCCGUCAGGAAAUCGGCGGCGAGUGGUGGUGUGGAUCGGAGGUGGGGUUUAUAGAGAGAAAAUUACGAUCGAUGCUUCGAAGCCGUUUGUGACUUUGUAUGGACAGAAAGGAAAACGGCCAAUGAUAACGUUCGACGGUACAGCGUCGGAGUUUGGUACCGUUAAGAGCGCGACGGUGGCGGUGGAAUCGGAUUAUUUCGUUGCCGUCAAUCUUACGUUUGUGGUGAGUACUUCUUCUUCUUCUUCUCAAUUUUGUGGGGUACGUUUUGUAAAUAGUAAUAAUUAUGGGGCUAUAAGUUUUUGGUAACGUAGGAUGUGCACGAGUUUUCCAUUUUUCCUUUUUCAAAUUUAAAUUUUACUAAACAAACAAAUAUGACUCAUGCAAUUCACCCGUCAUCAAAAUUAUUCCAUAUCAUGCCAUUCCUCAUGCGUACAAAACAUGAUUUUCUUCACCUUCAAAUCUUGACUAUAUAUAUAUGUGAAAAUUAUUGUUUAAUAAGACUCUUACGCAAUAAAUGGUUUAAGGUGGACAAAAGUUUUACGUGAAGAUUAUUUUUAAAUAUAACAAAAUGAAUUAAAAUAUUUUCAAAUUUAAUAAAAUACAACGAUAUUUUAUUAUAAUGAUAAAUAAUUUUUGUAUAUAAUAAUUUCUACGAUAAAUAAAUUCAUGUGUUUGGUAUAUAAUUAGUUUGGGAUAGGGUAUGUUUAUUCAAAUAUGGGACGAAAUUUAUAAUUUGACAUUUUCGAUAGAGAUAAAGAGGAUUUAAACUACAUAUCUUUUUAUUUGCUAAUUAUGCAUAUUUGAUACAUACAUAUGUUAGAGCAUACUCAUUUUGUCUUUAAUUAUCAUAUCUAUUUUGUAGUCCAUAUGUAAAAAUGGUGCUGCUUUCCAUUUAAAAGAAUGUGCAAUGAGUUAAUUGAUCUGCACGACUUUAAUUUGUUUAGUAUUUACCAAAGUUCGUUUCUUAGAAUUGGAAAAGUGGAUGUGUAUAGAAAAGGUAAUUGAAAGAAGACUUUGUUGAAAAAUCCCUCAUGAUUAUUAGAAAAAUAUAAGAGCUAGUUGCAUUUUAAAAUUAAUUACGUUCCUUAUAAAUGCCUAGUUUAGAUGUUGCUUCUUUGGAGUCAAUUCACUAUUUCUAGGUAUGUUGAAUCUUAGUUUUUAGACCGAAAAUACAUUUGGACUUCUUGAACACAUUGAUAUACCAUAUUAGAUAAACGCUAGAUUUUUAUCUUAAAAAUGAUCAACUAACAAUAGAAGAAGUACCUUGUGUAUUUAUUAAAGAGAUUAUUAUGAAGUUGGCUUGAUCUUCAACAAUUAUAACAAGUUUGAAAAGGACACAUGAAAGAACCGAUAUCACAUUCGGAUAAGUAUAGUUAAAAAAAGAUGUCUAAAAGAACUAAAAUACAUGUACAAAAAAGUGAGCUUUUCUUUCGAGAGACCAAAUCAUAAGCAUUCCAAACUUAACCAUGUUUAAUUUUGGAGCAACUAUGUGUUUCAAGAUAAGUAAGGAUUACGUACUCAAGUCGCAAGGUAAAUACGAGAGUAAUUAGGUACUGAAUCUUGGCACGCACGAGUCAUUACACUAAUGAUCUUUUGUACUUUUUGAAAAAGAAAAAGGUGAGAAUUGGUAAGAAACCAUAUAUAUAACAUUAUAUUAGUAAAAAGUGAUAAUUUAUAUUGAUGAAGAAAUGAAGUUUGGUUGUAAAUUUGUUGUGCAGAAUUCAGCUCCAAUGCCAGAACUAGGAGGAACGGGAGGGCAAGCAGUAGCAAUGAGGAUAUCUGGUGAUAAGGCAGCAUUCCAUGGGUGUCAUUUCAUAGGCUUUCAAGACACUUUAUGUGAUGACAGAGGCAGACAUUUUUUCAAGGACUGUUACGUCCAAGGCACUGUGGACUUCAUCUUUGGAAAUGGCAAAUCUCUCUACUUGGUAUGUUAUACAACCGCUUUUUAUACUUUGAAAUAAAUUUUUUUAAAAAAUAACCCGGUAGAAUAUUCGUAAACUUACACCACAGGAUACUUAGUGAUCAACUAAAUAGAAAUUUGGACGAGGAAUUAAGUCAACUUUAGGAGAAGAAAACGUCCAAAUUGGUAACACUCUUGGGUUCACCAAACUUUAAGCCCAAUUGAUAAUCAUCUAGUUUUCUUAUUUUAUUUAAUUUUCAAAAUUAAAUCUAUUAAAGCACUUCCUUUCCCUUCUAAAUCUAUUAUCUAUUUUUUCUUUUAUCAAUUUUUAGAAAAACCGCACAAACACUUAAGUGACAAUUAUUUGUUCAUAAUUUUUUUUAAUGUAUGAGAAAGAAGCGUCUCAAAUUUAGAUCUAGUAAUUAAAAAAGGAUGUUGCUCCCAGAGAUUGAGAGAGAGUAAGAAUUGGUUCUUGUUCGCACCGUCUUAAAAGAGUUGGUGGGUCUCCCCACUAAAAACAUCAAUUUUAUACUUUAUUAAUUUUUUACCUCAUAAAUUUUAGAUGUUAGAAACUCUCCCACUUCAUAACACUAUGGAUUUCACAAUUCCAUUCCUUGUCCUUGUCCUAAAUAUUCGAGAGUAUGUCUCUGAAUCUACGUAAACCAUUGUGGGAGGCUACUUGAUUAAUUUAAUAAUUUAUCGUCCUAUAAUGAAUUAGGGAGGCGACUAGUUUGUCGUACGAAAGUUGAUAUAUAUCAAAACAUUAAAGACUAAAGCAUCCAUAUAUAUUUAGCUAUAUGAGUUUUGUGUCUGUUUGAAAGAAAAGUCAUUUCUUCAUCCGUACAGAAAACCACAAUAAACUCAGUAGCAGAAGGGACAGGAGUGAUAACAGCUCAAGCAAGGGAAGAUGCCACAGAUGAAAGUGGUUUCACAUUCGCAUAUUGCAACAUAACAGGAACAGGAGACACUUAUUUAGGAAGAGCUUGGAAAGAGAGAACUCGUGUUGUUUUUGCUUACACAUACAUGGGAACUCUCAUCAACACAGAAGGAUGGUCUGAUAAAAUGCAUGGAAGCCAACCUAGAAAGUGAGCAAUCUAACAGAAAAAAUCACACAAAUGAUCUUAUUUAUAGUAUAUAUUCGAACGAGCAAACUAAUUAUUAUUUUGAUCAAUGUUUAACUCCUUGAAUACAGGAGUAUGUACUACGGCGAGUACAAAUGCAAGGGACCUGGCGCGACUCCGUCUGGUCGAGUGAAGUAUGCUAGAAUACUCUCGGAUGUAGAAGCGAAGGCGUUUUUGAGUAUGACAUACAUUCAUGGAAACAAAUGGCUUCUACCACCCCCUGAUCUUUCUCUCUCCCCCUCUAAACCCAAUAUCUUCCAUUAAAAUUGAAUCAAAAUUACUUGAAUUGAAAAUGCUUAAUCAAAAUGGAAGUUAAAAUACUAUCCCAAACUGUGCUCAAAACCAUAAAGUAAUUGCUAUAGUGAUAAUUAGAAAUUAAAGGAAAGGCCAAGGUAGCAAGGCUGUGCUGUGCCUACAAAACUUUAUCCCCAUCAUAUUUCCCCAUUUAAAUGUCUCUCUCUUUAAUUCACAUAGAAUGAAUCCCCCCUUUUUUAGUUUGUCCAAAAGCUUUAGUUGAUUGUGGUAUUAAACUGAUCAACAAUGUUGCUGUUGUUUUUGUGUAAACUCUUUUUGCUUUCCAACACUAGUAGUUGUGGGUGGUGAAAUUUUUUGAAAUAUACAACCUAAUGUGGUUUUAAAUUCUUGUAUUAUCAUUGCAUUGAAAAAGGUUACUUAAAUAGAUCACUAUGCAUGCUUUGGUGCAUUGGGAUGGAGUGGAAACAAUCAAAUCUUCAACAACGACUAUGGGGAUAUUGUUCUAUUGAUUAACAUUUGGUUGCUACUUUGGUCGACACAAACUCUCCCUUUUUUGUUAAUUGUUCUUAUUCUUUUAUUGACCUUAAACUAGCACUUGUGCAAUGUAACUCAUUUGUUCGAUGGUAUGUAGUACUUUACAUACCUACUUAUUAUGAAGUAUAUUCUUUCAGAAGAAAAAAGAAUCAUCAAACUGAUCUUGCUUAACUACUCAUUAACUGGGAUGCUAGAUUAUUGGAUAUCUUUCUACAAAGUUUCUUAAAUUUGUGGUAUUGUUUGUUUCGUGAUACUCAUUUUUUUAAGUUGUAAUUAUAUUACCUUCGACAUUUUAUAAACAUUUCAAAAUUUAAAAACUUAUUAGAACGUUGGACAAAAAUAGUUUUAUCAUCCUUAUCAUAUUGAUGUUUUACUAUAAAUUCUUUAUACUUUUAAUAUAUAGUUUUAUUAUUUAAUUCUUUUUAGAAAGAAGCCCUAUCAAUUGAUAUAUGGUAUAUAGUCUAAAAGAAAAAGAACAAAAAAAAAAAAAAAAAUUAUAAUCCAAAUCAUAUAUAGUAGAGUGAUUUUUGUAGUGAAAGAUCUCAUGGAAGGGUGGAACACUAGAACUAUUAUAAUAGGUAGCAAAUUUAGAGAUAAUAAUGAAGUGUAUAAUAAUAUUUUUUUAAAAAAAUUGUACUGUUUUACAAUAUAAUCAAUCAUUAAAUAGUCUUCUAGAUAUCAUUGAUAGAUUUGGAUUAAAUUUGUUAUGUGUAUAAUUUUAUCAAAAUAUUGCUAUAUAUUAUGCUAAAAUAUACUUUGAAUCUAAUUAUUAUAUUUAUUCAGAGAAUCUAUCAAUUAAAAUAUGGAGGUGAUUCUAAACAAAGUUGUUAUAUUUUCAAUAGUUCAUCCUUUAAAAUCAUGAAAAGUAGUAAGAUUAUUAUUUUUAUUAUUAUAUUCCUAAGCAACAAUAAUUGAUACAUUAAUGUCAUAAUUGUUGGACAUAUUUGUGUAUGACCCUUUUAAAAAACCAAAACAUCAAGGAGUAAAAUUAAACAUAUUGCAUAAAGAUAUAUAUAUAUAUAUAUUUAGUGUUAAAACAAUAUGAUAGAUAGGUUUAAUUUAUUUUGUUGUUGGCAUUGUUGAUGUUGUUGUAGUCUUGACUUCCAUAAGGAGAGAAAGCUUCAGAAAACCAAGAGUUCUUCCUCCAUGGGUUCCAACCCAUUUCCUCACAAAUUUGGUCACUAUGAUUGAUACUAUAAGUUGAAAUGCAAUGCCUUUUGUAGAACCUUGUGCUUCUCUUCAUCACUUCCAUCUCUUUAUUUAUCUGUUCCACCAUUUUUUGUGUCUCCGGUAGCUUGAAUUUCUCGUCCACCAGUCGGGCCAGCCAUAUGCUCCGAAGCUCCGACGUGUGGAGGUUCGCUACGCUCUCUAGGUACCCCACGAAUGCCAUGUUUGGUAUCAUUGGAUUGAUCGUACCUCUGUCCAUAUAUGUCGUAAAGCAUAAAUGAUCAUAGAAUCAUAAUAUUUAAAGUUAAAAUUAUAAGAAAAAAUAUCUCACCGGUACAAGGGUAUCAUGCCGGAAGGGUACUGGAGAAAUGUACGGAAGGGCUGAGGGAAAAUGUCGGUCAGCUUUUUCUUGCCGUCGAAGCCGGUGGCCAUAAUAACGACGUCGAACUCCGAUCUAGAGCCGUCGUCGAACUCAAUCCCCCCAUUCCAAAACCACCACUUGGACGCCCUUUUUAUGACGAUCUUACCCUCGUCGGCUUGCCGGAAAAAGUUCUCCGGCAUAAUUGCCAUCUGGCAGGACGCAUAGUCCUCCAGAAAUGGAUGAUCUGGCUUUAACCCAUACUUUUCCAAUGGCAUUUUCCACGUCAGAUAUGAUUCUAUAAAUUUCGAAACUCCAUGUCUCUGCCAAAUUACAAUUUUAACCAACCACAAAUAUAAUUAACUUUUAUAUGUAUUUGUCUAAACUUUAAUUUUAUAUAAAAUCUAUUUUAGGGCAUUUUUAAAUAUAUUUAUAAACAUGGCAUAUAUUUAUAAAAUAUAGCAAAGUUUUAAUAAUUUCUUCUUUUUUUUUUUUCCUUAAUUGAGCUUCAUAACUUUAAUUUGUGUUAAAAUAAUUCUUCUAUUUUAGAAAUGUUCAGUAUGUCCUUUUUUUACCUACUGAUCCACUUCGUUUUUUUUUUUAAAAAAAAAUCUCUUUUAACUUUAAAUGACAUAUUCAAUUUUUUUUAUUAUUAUUUUAGACAUUAAUUCAACUAUUAAAUGUAAAGUUUCAACUUUACCUCAAAUGAGAUCACAAGUACUUUUUAAUAUUGAUGUGUGUUAUAGUAUAGAUUCAUCAAUUUUGCUUUUGAAAAAAAGUUGAAUAGGUGGAAAGAUGAAUUAAAAGCACCCAAUCAACCUCAUUAGAUAUAUUUAAAAGUUUAUGGAUCAAAUAAACAUAGCUCAAAAAUCAAAUCUCUAAUUUUAACUUUAGAAUAACAUAUUGUUAUUUUGUCAAAUGAAAAAAAAAAAUUAAACACACCCUUGCAACAUUUGACAUAGUACAUAAAUCACAUUGAUGGAUUUAAUAUAGACCGAGAAGUUUCAAACCUCGGUCAACAAAAUUUUUAAAUUGGCGAGCCUAUAGCUAACUAAGAUGAGAAUAAAAAUAUAUCUAAUCAUUAUUACUUUUAAUUACCUAAAAGUUAAGGUGGGACUAUAAUAAAAUAGAAAAAGAGAAUAUCGUUUCUGUGUCUCGAAUUUUUUAUUAAAAUUUAUAUAAUUUAACCAUAAUUGACAUGUAUUUUGUUUUAUAAAAUCAUACGUUUCGAUUUAUUACGUAUUUAUUGUACUUAAUUAGAAACCGAGUUAUAUAAAAAAAAAAGGGGAGAUGAGUGUAAUUAUAAAAUUUACCAUGGGAGAUAAGAAGAGGCCAAUAAGAGUCUUAAGGAAGGUCUGGUUAGGUCUUUCAUGGAGGAAUUGAGAAGAUCUCGUGGAGAAGAAGAAGAAGAAUGGCAAACCCCAAACCCAAUAGUGAGGCACUGUCCAGUGUAACCCUCUCACCACCAUUGUACAUCCCUUUCCUUCUUCACCUUCAAUUUUUCUCCCACACAAACACAUUAUAAAUAUAUACACUUUUUUCCAUAAUAAACCAUCCCUAACAAAUAUUUAAUUUGAUUCAAACUAUCUUAAUUAAUUCAUGAUGUGAAGUUGUAAAGUCAAUUAUAAAGAGAAUAUCAAAGUUUGGUCAAUUAGUCAAAGGGCCACCAAAGUGCUUUUAAUUAAACUGAUUUUCUGUUCUUUUUUUUUUUUUCUGGUUGAUAUUUUCAAUUUUCCAAUGGUUUUUUAUUUUAGUCUUUUUAUGUAUUUAGAAAAAGAGAACUAAGGGUUUUAUAAUAAUAAAUAAAAGAAAUGUUUGGUAUGACUUUUUGAAAGGAUUCAGAAAUGCUUUAAUUCAUUGAACUUUUUAUAUAAUUUGGUCAAAUCAUUUUCUUGAAAAAAUCACAAAAUAAUUAGUGGAUGUUUGUAAGUAUCUCAAUUAGGUUUAUAUCUGGUUAAAUAAUUUUAAAGUAAUGUAAAGUUAUUAUUUAUUAUUAGCACAUAUUCUAGAAUUACUUACUUUUAACUUUUCAAUUAAUCAUUUUAACACAACCAUAUUAAUGUAAUAACUAUUUUUAUGUUUUUAUAAUAUUGAGUUUUAAAAGAUAUGUCCAACAGGUUAUACGUGCUUCAUUUUAAAUAACAAUUAUCGAAACUAGUAAAAUUUUCAUUAAUAAAAAAAAUCAUUACACAUUUUUUUAAUAAAAAAGUAUUAUGAGUAGAAAAAAAUUUUAAAACUAUUUACAUAAUAUAAUAAAAAAGCUCCAAUAAAUUAGAGUUGGAUGGAUGACUUUUUUUAUAUUUUGUAAAUAGUUUUGAUAAUUUGUUAUUUUGAAAAAUGUUUCUUUUCCUUACGUUUUAGUUUUAUUAUAUAUUUAUUUUCUAGAAAUUGGACGGAAAUAAUUUUUUAGGAGUUUUGUAUUGGAAAAUAUUAAAAAAUUAAGAUAUGAAAUACAUUUGUUUAAAUAUUAAAAAAAUAGUCAAAAUAAAAAUAAAUAAUUGUUAAACUUUAGUAAGGAUGGAUUCGAGAUGAUUGAAAGAAAGAAUCAAAUAGUCACAUUUCUACGUGAAUUAUUUUAAGUCAAACAGUCAUAUUUUUAAAAUAAAUUAUUUUAAAUAAUAAACUUUAUAAAAAUAUUUAUGAAUAGAAGUAUUUUAAAAAAAAUAGUAAAAUAAAUUAAAAUAUUUACGACCUAUAACAAAAUUUUGGAUUAUAUCAACAAUAAAAAAUUAUAGAUUUAUAUCACUGUCUAUCAAGUCUAUUAAUGUCACUGAUUGAAGCAUAUCCGUCUCUAUCAAUGUCUAUUACCGAUAGAAUCUAAACAUUUUGUUAUUUGUUGUAAAUAUUUUGUCAAAUUUGUCACUUUUGACAAUAUUCCUUAGAGAUAUAGCAAAGUAUUACAAAUCUAUCUAAGAGAUAGAUCACGAUAGAACAAAGUAGACUAUAUAGGUUUUUAUGAUAUAGAGAUAGACACAUAUAAUAGUGUAUCUUGAUCAAUAAAUUAUAAAAUUUUGUCAUAUUUUUUAAAAUAGCCUAAAAAAAUAAAGGUGGAAAUAAAAUGACAAUCAAUUCUCUUUUUAACACUAUCAAAUAAAAGUAAUACUACCUUGAUUUGCUUGGGCACAUUCAACGGCCAAAUCAAUGGCUGAUUUCUUGUAGCCGAUGAUUGCAACUCUCUUACCCUUAAGCAACUCAUUUGUUUCUUCCUUCCCAAGUUUGCAAUAAUCUAGAGAAUGCAUCACCUUCCCCGCGAAUAUCUCUGGCCCUUUGCCGCUCGGGAACUCCGGUAGCUUUGGGAUAUCACCAUACUUUCCGAUGCACAUCACCACCAUCUCCACUUCAUACAACUGCAUGCAUCACAUUCAAAUAAGUGUUCUAUAACUUUUUUCUCCUUAUAUUCUUUAUUAUUUCAUACAUUUUAUGAGAGAUUUGAACCUAUUUCCUAAAUAAACAUUUUAUCUAUUGAUAUAUAAUGACCUUUGAUAGUGAAUCUUGUUAAUAUAGAAAAGAUAAAUUGUUUAGGGUUAUUAUUUCUUGAUUUUUUUUUCAACUUCUGAGAACAUUUGCAUUCAUAUAGUUAGAUUUUGAGAUGAGAGGGUAUAGUUAGUUUUAAACAAUAAAAAAAUAAAAGAAAUAAUAUGAUCAUGAAACAACGUAUAAAUUUUGAAAAGGUGAAUAAAAAAUUAUAUAUUAUUGUUAUUUUAUAAUGUAUGAGGUGAUUCUCAAAUAUAUAUACCUUAAAACAUUACAUUUUUUUAAAAAAAAUUAAGUUGAGCUAUAUGCUUAUAGAAAAGAAAGUUUAUGAAUAAAAUAUUGUUUCAAACAUUUUAUUGUUUUUAUAAGAAAAAUAACAAAAGAAAAAAAAUGCCAUAUUGCUCUUUUUAUUUUCUAAACAAAAGUGGAAAUAAGAGUUAGAAAACAGACUAAAGUUUCUAAAAACAACCAUAUAGUUUCCACAAUCAAAACACCAUGACUUUGAGAAAAACUCCCAAGUCUCUUUUAGCUCAUUCAAUGUUCUAAGUUUCUAAGACACCAAAUUUUAAAAACAAAGAUGUGUAUACAUUUAAUAAUGUACUUAAGUUCUUUUAUAUAUAAAAAAAAAUCCAACAAAAUUGAUAAAGAGAAUUAAGAAAUCUCAAGUUAUUCGUUACCUGAAUGGUUUCAGACAGAGUAUCCAUAACAGAAAUCUCCCAAGCUGGUCGACCGGAAAGCAAUGGUCCAAACUUGCCAGAGUUUCCAUUGCCGAUGAAUCGAACACCAACAACCUUCGAAUUGAAUUGAAUGAAGCGACGAAGAUCAAAAUGACGAGCAUAGGAAUUCAAAUACUCCAAAAUUUCGAGAUGAGAAGGAAAAUCAACUCUAUCUCUAUUUGGCCAGGGAAAAUCAGCAAAUUCAUAAUCCGAACGAAACGAUUGAAGUUUUGUAGAAUCAUAUGAACAAUGCUUCCAAACACCACCAAUGUAAUCGGAAGCCUCAAACACGAUUGGCUCAUGGUGAGCCAACUGCUUCGCAGCAGCAAUACCACUAACUCCAGCACCGACAAUGGCGAUUUUUGAGAGAAUUGGAGCCAUCGUUAGGGUUUUGAAUGAGUUUUGUUUGAAUAUGGGAUGUGAUUUGGAAAUGAAGACGAUGGAGUUUGUUUAUAUAGGCAUUUGGAGGCACGUGACAACCAUGUGAUAAUUUUCAAUACAUACAUUAUAUAUAUAUUAGUGAAGUAUAAAUUGGGAUUCAACCUUGAAGAACUUUCCUUAAUUUGAUUCAGUAUUUCAACUUUCCUUUUGGGCCUCAUUUCAUAUGAUCUGUAUUAAUUGAAUUUAUUUUCACAUUCACACACCAAUAUAUUUUUGAAUACAUAUAUACAUGUGUACACAUUGUGUAUGUAUGUGACAGUAUAAUUCAUAGCUCAAGAAUUAAUCAUAGGUCUUAUAUAUUUAUAAUAUUCAAUAGUUUAAAUGGUCAACACAUACAUAUUAAUUAGUAUGGAUUGGAGUCGUUGUUUCUAAUUUUGGUUUUAAUUAAUAUAUUUUUAAUAGUCAAAAUUAAAAAUAGGUUAAACUAUAAGUUUAGAUUUUUAACUUUCCAGUUGGAUUGUUAAGGUUUUUUUUUAUAAAAAAAACUCAUCCUCACCUAGCUCUAAAUUAUCUCUAAUUUAGUUGAAUAAUUUUUAUUCUAAAUUCCUUUUCUUAGCUUUGAGAAGAUCAUUCAAGUGUCUUAGUUGUUACUUGCCAUACUAAUUAAAUCUAUCUUUUUUUUAAAUUAUGACACCUUAAGAAAAGCCCUCAUAAAACUUUAAAAGUAUUUAAUAUCUACUCAAUUAUAUUAUUAUUCAACCUUUUGGAUACUUGAAUGAACGUUUAAUGUCGAAUAAUAGAUUCAAAUUUUGAUUUUGUGUCUUUUGUUAUAAUCAUCAAAAUUUUAGAACUUUGUCAAAAAGAAUUUAAUAAAUACAAAAUUGAAACAUUAUUGAAGAAUAAUUAUAAUUUAUUCAUAAUUUAAAGUUAAAAGAGAGAUGCAUGUGAUAACUAUAUGGUCAUGGAUAAAAUUUACUCUCUCUUAUUGAGGGGAAUUGAAGACUUUUACCACCUACACUAUUUUUCACUAUUUGGUCGAUAUAUGACUCUUAAGUUAAUACUAAGUUGGUUAAAGUAACAUGUAUUAUUAAGACUUUGGAAAUAGCUUUGGGAAUUUACUCAACAAACAUAAAUAAUCAAAUUCUAUUUUCUUUUGGUAAACACCAUAUUUUAUAAUGAUAAAAGGAUAGGGAUAGUCAGAAGUGAACAAAAAAAAAAAAAAAGAAGUUUAUAGGCAUGUCUAUAUUUGUUUUUUAGUAAAUAAAUGUACUUGUAAAUUCUUUUGAUUAAAGAGAACAUAUAAAUGCACAUUUCUGUGUACAAUGUAAGAUAUUAAGCAAAAAUAACAUAUAAUUAUAUAAAAAAAAUCCCUAUAAUAUGUGAUAUAGGUACGAAGAUUGUGUAGGGUGUUCAUGUUUGUAGUUUAUAGAGGGAAGAACGUUAAUUAGUAUAAUUUAAAUGAAUUUUUUAAUACGUGUAGUUUUGAUGAAUUAUUUACACAACCAUAUAUAGACUGCAUUAUAGAUUAAUAAAGUACAAGAAUUAAAUCGUUAUCAAUUAAAGUUAAGGAACUCCAAUGGUAAUUUUCAUGAAAAUUUACGAGAGAAGAGAUGCAUGAACCUAUGACCAAAAAUAAUUUAUAAAUGGAAACAAAAUGGCCUAAUUAAUGGAAAGAUAGGAACAUGUCUAGAAAUCUCUAGGAAAACAACUAUGAAUUUGAAUUGAAAUUUAAGAUCCCAAAAUUCCACGUGCUCUUCAAAACCCUAAAACCCUUUGGUAAAUUUGGUCCAAAUUUUUAAUUUAAUGCAAACCCUAAAUUCAUGCAUGGAAACCCUAAAAGAAUUGAACACUCCAUUGUGUUUUGAACCACUCUCUUAAAAGUUUGCUGAUGUGACCAAAAUAUGGCCAUAAAAAAUCUCAAUAUUAACUUAAAUUUGAAUUUAGAAAAUAUGUUAUGGUAAGUCGAAAUUUUAAGUUAUUUAGUAUGAAACUUAUUUUUAUCUUUUCUUACCCUUAUUCGAAUUCAUAAUCCACUUUGAAUUCAAAGGGUCUAGUCUGUUUUUGGAAUUUGGUCUAUAUUAUUUUCGGUCCAAAUCUAACCUCUAGCAAAAUUUAUUAUUAUUAAAGAUUUUCUAUUUUUUAUACUCUUUGAAGAGACUUGACUUGACUUGGUUGUUUGGUUAAUUUUAACGUUAGACUUAAUUUAGUUAAAUUAAACUUUAGAGUUUAAACAACUUAGGUAUUAUUAUUUAGUUAAUACUUUUUCAAAACUAACUUUAAAAAGAUCUAAUGGAUGAAUAAUUAAUAAAUUAAUCUUUCAACUUAAAAAACACUGAAAGAGAUGUGGAUGAAGUCAUUCCAAAUGCCCUAAGUAAUUCAUAAACUAAUCUAUGAAAGUACCAUAAAAAGCAAACAUCAAACAUGACCAAAGGAGAGAGUUUAUUUCCACAAAAGAACACUUUUCUCCAGGGGUGUGUUCAUAUUAUAACUUUUUAUGUUCAAUUUUGAAAAAUAUUCAAAGUAGCUUAAGUUAUUUUAAAUCAUUUUAAGGGUACACAGACUUCCAACCUUUUAGUUGAAAAUAAGUGGCCAUGAAUAACAUUUUGGGUUGAACUAUAAAUCUAGCAUUUGAAUCUUCAAGUUUAUAUAACUUUUAAAUCCAUGUGUUAGACCUAUAUAACAAAUUCAAACUUUUAAAAGUUAAUUAGUUUACUUGCUAAAAAGGUGGAUUUUGUACAUAAUAAAUUGAAUUUGAAAAUUAAUUAAGUCUUUCUUUAAUAUUUUACAACAAUUUACAUAUUUUUUUUUAAAAGUACAAGUGUUGAAUUAGUUAGAAAUAAAAAAAGAAAAAGUUUUUAAUAACUAUAUAGAUAUUUUCAAAAUAAAAAUAAAAAUAUAGAUGACAAAUUUAUAAAUGGAAGAAAGUAUUUAUGGACUAAAACUUUCAAAUCAAUCGAUAAUAAAAAGAAGAAGAAGAAAAAAACGACAUGGUUGAUUUUAAAUGAAGACUCAAUUAUCAAGUAAAAAAUAAAUGUUUUACUAAGUUAUCAAAUCUUUAAUCUCAAGCUCGUUAGUAUAAGUUAUCAAAUAUAUUCUUAAUCGUAAGGUAGUCGUUAGUAUAAGCUAUCUUGAAGAAGUUGAUAUUACAUUUUAUAUAAAACUAAGCAAUUAAAUUUGGUUGGAAAAUAUAAUAUUUAAAGAGCUGAAAAAAUAUUUUGGAAUGGGUUUGAAUGAACUCUUGAUUGAUUAUGUUCUAAGCUAAAAAUACGACCGUUGAUUUUACUUUUUUUUUUCUAAUUAUAAAUUGACAAUUUAAAAUUUACUCUAACUUAAAAUUCACGAAAUUGCACCUGAAUUAUUCAAUUUCCAUUUGACCUAAUUAAUUACUAUUAUUAUAACAAUAAUCCAAUCUAAUUUCGUACCAUAAUACCCAAAAUUUAAGUGUAUAUACCUUUUUCUCAAUUUUACCAUAAUUUUAAAAAAAAAGUAUUGACAGUUGUGAUGAGAAAUUGAACCACAAAUUUCUUAAUCAUUAACACGUAUUAUAUUGUUAGUUGAAUUAUACUCAUUUUUACACUUACUUAAAAUAGUUCAUCUUCUUUAAAGUUUGAUAUCCUAAAAUUUAAGAAGCUUUGAUAAUUUAUUUAAAUUUUGUAUGAAGAUCAUUUGAUCUUGAACUACAUUAUAUUGCUUAAAUUUUGACACGAUGUGAAUGAAAUGAGUACGUACAACUAGAGUAAAAAAUAAAACUUUUACUAUUGACUUAUUCAAACAUCAAAGAUACGAUUCUCCAAAUUGUAAAGAAAUGAACAUUUUAAAGAUUUCCACAAACUAACUUAAAAUAUUUUAAAAUUUAACUUGAAAUUUAUUUAGAUUGAACAAGUUUCAAUUUCAAUCCAGAGGUUUAUGAAACAUGUAGAUAAAUGAUUUAAGGUUAAAUUACAAGUUUAGAUCAUUUUAAUUUGUAUAUAAAAUAUCGACCCUUAAUCUUAUGAAGUGUCUUAAAAAAUAAUGACUAAAUUUACGACUUCGUGUCUACCUAAUUAGUUAGUGUUAUUGACAUUUUCAAAAGUUCCAAGAAUCAACUAGUAAAAAAGAUAUCAAGUUUGAUUUUAAUUUAUGUCUACAUAUAGUCUCACAUUUUCAAUCUUAUGUCUGACAUGUUUACGAAAUAAUUAAUUCUUUUCAUACGUCAACAAUAUUUAGACAUAAAAUUGAAAUUUAUACUAACCAUGUGAAUACAACACUAAAAUCAAUUUUUUUUUUUUUUUUUUUUUGUAGGAAAUGAAGAAACACAGCUGAAAAUUUCAAAACUAAACUUAUAAUUCAACCAAAUUUAAAAAUUAAAAUAAUAUUUUGAAGGUUCAAAAUAGAUGAUAGAAAGUUCAUAAGAGAUGAUUGUACAUUUUCUCAUGUCAAAUUUGGUGAGCUAUAAGAUGAUUAGAAAAAAGGUGACUUGAAAGGUAUGACAUUAAUGUGUAGUAUAUAUGGGACACCAACUAAAGAAGUUUAACAUGAACACGGUACGAUCGUGUUCGGUUUAAUUUCAAAAAUAAGACACUUUUACAAAAGAUAUAUAUAUUUGACAAUCAAUAAAAAUAGUUUAUAAACCAUUUUCAAACUGCACUCUUCGAGUGAUUUUUAUAUUCGAAAGAGUUUAAAUACAAAAUGUUUUAUUUCAAAAUCACUUGUUUUUUCUCUAGUAAGAAAAACAUGCCCAAAUUUAAUUAGAUUAAAAAACGAGGUCAUGAUAGCAAUAGAAAAUUCAUCAUUUUCCUCUCACGAAUCAUCAUUUUGUAUCAUUUUCUAAUAAAAUGUCGUCGAGAUUAAAAGUUUAGUUUGAAAUGGUUGGAUUUGAACAAGUUGUUUAUAGCAUUUCGUAAAUAAAUAUUAAAUUAUUGUAUUUUAAAUAUAAUAAUAAUAACUAAAAUAAGAAAUAAUAUUUUAAAUGACUGUUCGUACGAGGUUUUCAAAGAAACGUGUUUCGUAGAGUUGAACUUGUGUUGAUUAUAAUGUGAAGUGAUUCGUUCUUUAGUAUUUGAUCCUCUAAUUAUUCUCUCUCAGUUGGAGUCUUGGAAUUAGAAAGCUUAUAUUUACAUGUGAACUUAGUCUUCGCGAGAAUGGUUGACUUUAUAAGUUAGAGAGUUUUUUUAUUCUUAGGAGAAUUCUUUCUAGACCUCUAUUUAACAUUUGAAAUUUUUUAUCUCCUUUCAAAUGAAGAGAACUUCUUUAUUUAUAAAGUCAUGAUAUAGUAGGCUUUGUGGACUUGAAAUUUUUUAUUUCCAAAAUUUCUCGUUCAACAAUGACAAAACUGUUAAAAAUACUGACAAAUAUAACAAAAUUUCAUAGUCUAUAAAUGAUAAAUAAUGAAAGACAUAUAGAAACAUUUAUCAAUGUCUAUCGACAUCUGUCAAUAAUAAAUGAUGUAAUCUAUCAGUAUCUAUAAAUAUCUAUCAACGAUAUUAUGUUAUAUCUAUAAAUAUUUUAGUUCAUUUUAUUAUAUUUAAAAAUAGUCUAAAAAUAAAAGAUUUUUUUUUUAAAUAGUAGAUUUUACAAAAUAUUUACAACUUAUAGUAAAUUCCAUCACUGAUAGUCGUUAUAUGUGAUAGAAGAUAUAAAUAUUUUAACUUAUUUUGAUAUUUUAAUUUUACAAUAAUUAGGUCUUUCAAGAUCAAACCAAGGUUGGAUUUGUAUACCAAAAAUAGGACACUUUAAUUUCCACUUUCACAAUCUAUAUAUUAUCUUCCGUCAUUUUUCUUAAUUCUUAAAUAUAAAUUAGAGACAUGGACAUUAUUGAACCCAAAUUCUUUUAGUCCUUGAAUACAUACAAAUGUCAUUUGAGCUAAAACCUCGUUAAUUCCAUUUAAAAUGCAUCUUUAGUUUAUUACAAUCAUUAAUAUUAUAUUGGUAUGAAGUAGAAAUUUGUCUAUUUGUAUCAGAAUUAAACUUGUAAUUUGACCAAAAAAAAUUAUACGAAUAUUAUUAUAAUUUAGAAAAAUUAAAUUAAAUAAAGUUUAAAUACUACUAAAUUAGUUUGAAGGUUUAUUUCCUCAACUAUUAAACUUUUUUUAUUCCAUAUAUAUCGACAUGCAUAGGCUCGAGUUUUAUUUAUUUUACACUAUAGUUGUUUUUGCUUAUUAGUUAUUACUUCAUUUGGGUAUGGGAAGAAAGCAUACAGUGAAAAGUUAUAAUCAAUCCACUAAGAAUAUUUGAGUUCUUAUUAAUAUAAUAAUUAAGAUACAACAAUAUAUAUUUUGCUGAAUUGUUAGUGAUUUUCCAAGUAAUUUUCAUACUACUUUAUAUUUAUAAUUUCUUUUGUUCAUGUUAUGAAAACAUGUGUGCUCUAUAUUAAAGCAAGACUAGAAAUUACUUGGAAUUUCCUUGAAUUUAGUCAAUGUCACGUUUUAAAAAAGAGAACGCUAAAAUUAAUCGCUAUUUAAUUUGGUUUGUGAUAUGAAAAUUCGGUGGAACGAUAAAAUUUAGAAUACUAUUUUGGUUUUUGUACUUUGAAAUUUGUUUAAUUUUAGUCACUUAGUAAAUAGUAAAUCUUAAAUAUAGUCUUUCAAAAUUAAUUUUUAUUGAAAUUGAUUAAAUAAUCGCCGUAAUUUUCGUGCAAAGAUGAAUGUAUUUUUAACCGUUAUAGUAAAAAUUAAAUGUCGAUAAAAUAUAAGUAAUGAAAAAAAUCUACAAUGGAAUGAACUAAAUUUAAGAUUCAUGGCAAGUUUUGAAACUAAAUUAAAAUUGAACAUCGAAAAAACUCUAAAAGAUAAGAAAAAUGAUAUUUUUGGUUUAUUUUGCUAUAUUAAGAAUAGAUAUUUUUUUUCAUUUUUUAUUUUUUAUUUUUUAAAAAUAAGAAAGGGGGUCUAAGAAAAAUGGAAAAGAAAUCCAAUCAAAAUGAAAUAAUUCCAACGUGGUUAUUUAUAUGCAAGACACCAAAAUGAAAUAAUUCCACCAAAUUUCAAUAUUUUUCCACCUUUUAAUUUCUAUCAAUCAUUUUUUAUUUAUUUAUUUAAUAUUUGAGUUUUUUUUUAUGGUUAAAUUUACGGUGGGUAUAUAUUUGAACUCUAUUUAUAAGGUAUCUAGAGAACAAUCUUAGAAUUUUAUAAUUUGUCUAUUUAAAUUUUGGUAAUCUUCAACACUUUAAAAAUAAAACAAUUUUAUGGUGAUUUACAAAAAAUAGGUGAAACAAUAAAAUAAUAUCAUCCCGCUGUGACUAUGCAAGAAUAGCUAACAUAACAAAACGAACAACUAAUACAGAAGACUUUGAUAACUCAGUUCGACAAAUACGACAUAUAUUUGGAGAGUUUUUUUUUUGUUCAAAUAAGAAAUAUUAUUUAGAUUCAAAAUUCAUAACUUAUCACUAAAGUUACAUUAACAAGUUAUCACCAUAACUUAAAAUAAACUCAACUCCUCCUGAGGGUAAACUUGAAUCUCCUCGAAGACGAAUCUAGACUCUUCUGAAUUCAUUGACUGUAGUACAAUUAUCUCAACCUUCAUUUAUGUUUUUUAUCAAUCGAUACUCUGUCAAACCAAUCGAUAUUCUAUCAAAUCAUUUGACGAUUUUUAAUAAUUUGUCAUAAUGAAGAAGGUAACCAGUAUACCUUCGUAUAGAUUCUUCACAAAAAAAUAUAAAUUUAUGAACAUGAGCCGUGAAGAAUAAAUUUUAUGUUCAGAACUUCUGCAUUUUAAAGAACAAAGAAAGAAGAAGUUCUUUACGACAAAAUAUUCCUAAAUAUGAAGAACACUUAAAAAAGAUCUUUUAACUUCGCUAAUUUUAUAUUUAUCAAAUAAUCUAAAGAUUUAUAUUAUAAUAGUAGAGAUUUUUCCUUAAUUGUUUACCAGUUGUGAAUUGAUUAUAUUUAAAAUUUAAUUAUUAUGACUCAGUGAAUAAUUACUUUUGUAUAUUUAGGUUUAUUUCAAAAAUAAUAAUUUUGUAUGCUAUUAUUUAUUUUUGAUAAGAGAUAAAGAGAAAAUAGAAAAGCUGGAGAGGAAUAGAAAAAUACAUUAGCCAUCACAUGAGUAGGAAAAUUUUGAUGAAAGAAAAAAGUGAGAAAAUUUAAAGAGUCAAUAAAGCUAGCAAGAGACGUGUUAUAAAAAAAUAAGUAAAAUUCGAGAAAGAAAUCGACGUGAGUAUAUUUAGUUAGGUUAUAACACUAUACAUGUGUCUUAACAAUCAUAUUUCGUUCUCUAGCUUGUUGAAUUUUAAAACAAAAAAAUUAGAUUGAGAAAAUCUAUAACAAAAAAGUCUUGGAAGAAGAAAAGUUAGGAGAAAUAUGACAAAUUUAUAGUUAGCUAAUCUAAUCGAUCAUCUUAAUUAUUAAUGGAAAGAUUACUAACAUUACAAAACUUAAACAACUUUAAUCUAAGCAAUUCAAUCAAAACAAUAUAUUAUAAGAAUUGUAAGAUAAUUAAACUAUAUUUCAAUUAAGUAGGUUGGACGAUAUAUAUUUUUGUAGUUUUUCCUUUUAUAAGGUCAAUGAUCGAUCAAAAAGAGGUGUUUUUUUUCAAGAAAAUUGAUGAAAAUGUAAUAAUUAAUUGUGUAUAUACUAAAACCAUUGAUCAAGAGUGUCAUUAUUUGCUUAAUAAAAAUGUCAUUGCUUCUUUUAAAGUGAAAAAGUUCAACUUUGAUCGAUACGGUAUUUGAAACUGAAAUAUAACAAGAUAUUCAAGAGAAUACAUGAUUACGUAAAGUUGUGGAACGAGUACACACCAAGCAGUCAACGUUGGCUAAUGUUUUUUCGGUAGUCACAUUGUCAUCCAACUUCCAACGAACGGAGUUAUUACCUACCGACUAUCACCAUUUUUUAUCGAUUGUGGCCAACUACUCCCGACUACCGUCUCCAACAACUAUUUUAUGAUACCACCCAUGACGGCCAACUUUUAUAUAAAAACAAUUUUAAAAGCAAAUGAAAGAAAAUACAUUAUAUAACUAAUUAAUUAAAUAAAUUUUGAAAGUCAUUUCGUAAGUAUUUGAAAAUCGUUUUUAAAAGUUUGUAACCAAACAAAAAUUUGAUUGUUAAAAGAUCACUUUUACAAAGUCAAUUACAUAAAUCUCUUCUUCUAAAAAUCACUACUUCAACUAUCGCUCUCAAACAAGCUAAUCUAAUUUUUAGUACUACUUCCCCUACUUUAUAGGGUCGUGAUCGGGUAGGUUCUUGGAACAGGAGAGGGGGUUUUGUCUUUUAGUUGUUGUUAUUAUUAAGCUUGGACUAACAAUUUUUAAUAAUCAAAAUAAAGUUGGAGAAAACAAUCACAAAUUGUUCAAUUUGAGAUGUAAUUAAACCACUAACAUAUAGAAACAAAAAGGCAUGCAAAUUGACUAAUGACAAAUAUUACACUUCUUGCACCUUUCCUUUUUACCCCAACAACCACAUAAUUUACAAAACAAUUCAAAGCUCCCCUACAUUUUUAGCACAAUUAUUCAUUACCCUUUUUUUUAAUAACUAUUUUACGUUGUCAGACCCUAUCAAUAAUAAAUACUGAUAAACAAUUAUAAAAGUCUAUCAAAUCUAUUAUAAAUAUUUUUUAAAUCUUCUUCUUAGAUGAAUAUAUAUUUAAUCGUAAAUAUUGUUCAAUGAAAAACUAUAUUUAAAAAAGAAAAAAUUGUUCCUUACAUAAAUAUGUCUACAAUCUAUUGAUUUUUUUUCCUUUUUAAUGUAUUACAUUUAUAACUCUACAACAAAUGAUAUAUGGAGAAUCAUGUUUCUCCCCUUAGCCUCUUUAGAUGGUAUAGAUAUAUAUAUAUAUGUUGUUAUAAUGGAUGAGAAGAAGUACUUAUUUGUAGGAGCAUUAAUAUGAGAAUGUCGUGGAUGUCAAAAGAACAAUAUUCACAAUCAUCCAUAAUGUAUGGAUUUAGCUUUCAAAGUACUUUCUGUGAACUCAUCUGGAAUAAUUUAGAUCUACUCAUUAUAAAAUGGUAUUCUUCUUGAUUUAAGAUGAUGGUUCAAGUAGCCAAUGACAUCUACAAGAGUUCCUAUAUCUACUGUAUCGGCUAAAUUAGCCUUUAGUAUUGGAGGAUCGAACACGAAUGUUAGAUUCUUUUCAAAGUUCAUUAGCUCAUCAAUCUGUCGAGGCACUUAUUUGUACUCGAAAUUGACUUCAAUCUAAACUUUUGGAUGAUAUAAUUGAAGAAAUUGAUUAAUAUAAUGUUAUCGUAGUAUAGUAUAAGCAAUAUCAACAUUGAUAGUGAGAAGAAGUGUCCAUAAAUGUUUUCAUUAUAUAUUAUAUAUAUAUUGCUAUUCACGAGUGAUCUUCUGAUUACUCUUCGAUUACAAUCAUAUUUGCUAAAUUUGUAAUAUGAAAAAGAGGUAGUUUUUUCUUUAAAAAAAUUGUGUUAUCUAAUCCAAUUUUCUUAAACGUAAAUAAAAAAAAAAAAAUUGUUAAAGAAGUUAAGUGAAAACUUUGAAGAGUUUAAAGGUUGGGCUUGAAUGGCGACAUUUGUUAUUUUUUAUUUGUAAAAGGGUCCCAAAACAAUUUUUUUCUAAAAAUUGGACCCAUCUUGCAGAAUUGAAAAUUUAAGGGGCCUAUUUUUGUAAAUCAAUUACCAACCUCGAUCGAUCCAAGGAUACACAAAUCUACGUGAGAUUUUGUUAAUUGGCUUUGAGAUGAAACUUAAAUCAUAUAUGAUCAAUAUUUUUCUUGUAAUCUUCUGUUAAUAAAGUUAACACAUCGUUGAUAAUUCAUGUAAAUCUUAGAUAGCCCAAUUUUGAUUGUAUACGCUUUUCUUAUUUGUUUUCCUGAGAUGAAACUAUCAGUCAACAUAACUUGAUGCUAUAAUUUGUCUGAAUAGGUUCUAUUUAAAUAUAGCAAAAGAAAUGAAAAGAGAAUAAUACUCAAAUUGAUGAGGAGUUCAGAACACCCGAAUGUUACAACAACAUCAGAUAAUUCAAACCUUUCAAAAGAAAGCAAUGACAAAACAAUAAACUCUCAUUUGCAUUAUUCACAUUUGUAGCUAGGAAGCAUCAACAUAUCUCUUUUUUUAUUAACUUCUGUGGUGGAAAUCAGAGAACGACAAACUACUUCCUCUAUAAGUAAUUUACUGAUGCUCCCUUCUUUCAUUUCCCUUCCAACGUUUCUCACUCAUCCACAGCCGGUGGCACAGAAUCAGCCUACAAACAUUUCCACAUUAAUCAAUAUAAACUUCCAACUAUUCCAUUUUAGCUUAAAGAUUUUCUUAAGAUGUGUUCACUUACCAGCUUGCGGUACUUGAGGGCGUAAAACAUUUCCAGAUAACGGCGGCUCUCGAGGCGGUCGAGGUUGGAUACAUGCUUCCAGAAUCCGUAAACUCCAGUUAGUGUUAGCAGCCUCUCCGAAUAGAUCUGCCAUGUGUACCUGCAUUUGUACAGUUGAUGAACAUUGUAAGAAUUUCAUAAGAUCAAGUAAUUGAAGAUUGAUUCAGGUGGAAGUUUCAAGUGAUUACUUCUCGUAAAUACGCUUGAGGCCUGCUUGGGAGAUUUCAUCCCAAUGUGUUGGGUCUUCCUUGCUCUUCUCGAAGAAGUCGACAAGGAUUUCAGCAGCACGGUCACCACGGUAUGGAUCGAUGUGGAAGCCAGAUUUGCCGUCGACGAUAAUCUCUGCAGGGCCUCCAUUGCAAGUGGCAAAGGUAGGCAAUCCACAGGUCAUGGCCUCCACAACUGUCAAACCAAAAGCUUCGUAUACGGCAGGCUGCACGAAAGCUCCCUUUGUGUCUGCGAUGUAUCGGUAGAGUUCACCAUUUCUUACUCGGUUCAUCUGUGCAGAAAUCCAUCUAAAUUGGCCAUUCAGGUUGUAGGUCUUUAUUAGGUUAUACAUCUUUUCCAUCUCAGCCUUCUCUUCAUUGUCCUUGGACUCCUUCCUCCGGUCUCCAGCCACAACCACUAGGUUAACUAACUCCCUAAGACGAUCGUUUUUGCCGUACCACUCGACAAGUCCAGUUAUGUUCUUAACACGAUCCAAUCUCGCCAUUGUGAAUAUGAUUGGCUUGGACCGAUCUUUCAAUACACACAAGUGUUCCUCAUUCUCAACUUCACUAUAAAGAAGCUCCUCAAUUUCAGGGUGGAAGGCAGUUAGCCUUUUCUCGGUCUCUGUGUAGGGAAAGUAGAUGCUCAUGUCUGCUCCAGGUGAAACUAUGUUGAACUUGGGAUCAAAUACAUUGAUUCCAUGGACCACCCGGUAGAGCCCCGGAAGAGUGAAAGCUGUGUGACUCUCGUAUUGUCCAACUGUAUCUUUGCUGAGAACCAAAAGAAUUUACGUGUAAGAUAACAAACACAAACCAUCCACAUAUGAUUACCAUGAAAAACAAGCUAAAACGUCUUACCUGCCGGCAAUCUCUUGGAAGGUACUCGUGAUAAUGAAAUCGGUAUGGUUCAUGGCAAUAAGAUCGGCUGUGAAUUGGCUUGAGAAGUGAUACUUAUCAUCAAAUGUCUUCCAAUAAAUAUCUGAAUCAGGAUAUUUGGUUUUUUCCAAGGCGUGAGCGAUAGUACACUGCAGAAGAAAAAAGAGACAAACAAACAAGAUCAUGAGCCUUUACCAAAAACAUCAUGAAAAAAUGAGACUACAGAUAUGUCACAAACCUGUGUAACUCCCAGUUUGUGUGCCAGUAAUGAUGCAACAAUAUUACCGUCGCUGUAGUUUCCAAUGAUCAGGUCUGGCUUUCCCUGCAACUCUUUGGUAAGUUCCUGUGCAACAUCCUGACAAAAACAAGGACAGUUUACUUCAGUAUACAAUCGAUGAGGCGUGCACAAGGGAUAUCCAAUAAAUGACAACAGGAGCGACGGAUCACCUCAGUGUAAGUCUCUAGGUAAGGCCAGACUUCAAAUCUUGAGAUCCACUUUCGGACUAUUCCUUUCUCAUUUCUGAAUGGAACUCGAAGAAUGUGAGAGUGUUCUGUCCCAAAUACUUUUUCGAGACGCUGGGUGCAGGUGGUUCCUACUGCAUCUGGAAGGAGUCUGGUGAUCUGGUUAUGAACAGAAACAAAAACAAACUUUCAAACAUCGGAUCGACAGCAAGAUAUUUAUUGUGGGAAAAAAACGAAAUCUUGACAUUACAAUGAGAAUUCGAGGAGUUAUGUCCAAUCCCUGCUGCUUUAUACGUUGAAGCAUCUCAUGCUCCAAAGCACGAACUUGAUCCAAGAUGUAAACCACCUUCAUCAAAGGAGAUAAACAAACACGUCAAUUUAGAUCAACAAAGAAUAGACAACAUUUUCCCUUUGUCUGAACAAAGCUAACCUGGCCACCGGUGUCAGGGUAACCCAAGACAUUAUCUUGUGCGAAGUAACCGUGGGGUGAAAGGAUGACAACAUUAAAGACCAUGGGGAUUCUACCAAGGAAUUUCUCGAAGGUGCAAGGAUCGGGGGCCUCAAGGAGAUCCAAAAGAAGUUGGAUCAUUUCGAGAACACGCUCGGCAGUGUCACCCCACCCUCUCUCUAGGCCAAUCUCCUGGAACUUGUUUGCAAACUCGGAGUAGGGUGUUUCGGGUGCAAGUGUUACAAGAUACUCUUCCGCCUUCCUUAGCACAUGUUGGAAGGCAUCCAGAGUCUGAAUUCUAUCAUUCAACAUCAUUGUCUGCAUUAAAACACACACACAUACCCAUGUCAUUGCUGGAAAUAGUUUAAGGCUGAAUCAAUAGAUAAAGAAUGUGAAGUGAAUUACCUUUCCCUUGUAGCAGUGAACUCUAAGGAAGUCCAGCAAUGGCUGCAUGCUCUCUUUACCAUGGAAUAGCUUUGCAGAGAGAUGACGGUUGAGGAACUCAACACCAUUGCCAAUGGAUUUAGAGAGAGUGGGCCGAGGAAAGGAAGCAUUAAAUGGCUCAAAAUCAAGCUCAAGAACAAAGUUGCCGUUCGAACUGGCAUUACAAUGGUCAAAAAGUGAUAAGAUAUCAGAACCCAACCAGCUUUUUUGCAACCCAAAAGAACAUAAACUUUUGUUAACUUUACCUUCCAUCUACAAGUUCUUCUUUGAAGCGCAAAUAUUCAGAAGCUUGAAGCUCUUCGACAACCAGUGCGUGGACAUUGACUUUAAUGUAUUCCCAAACACCUGGCCUUGGACGGACAGCAAGAGCAACCCAUGGGGGCAAAACUAUGGAUUCCUGCACCAUGCAACAAAAUUCAAACUUGGGAAGAUAACACAGAGGUGAAGUUUCACAUCACUGCAGAAAAAAGUAAAGCUUAAUAUAGUUUCAAAAGAGAUUAUUCUUAUCACCUGAGUUGAUCUCAGGACUUCCCCAAAUGCCCCAUCAGCUAGUUUCCUUCGGUUCUCUUCAGGAAUUGUUUCAAACUCAGCGAUCAGUUCAUGAUGUUGCAGGAUGCCUUUUCCUUUUGCUUCAAUCCUAAAAACAAAUCAAAGUUAUUUAGUGUUCAAUGAUCUUAACUCUCUAGUUUUAUCUGCCAUUUUAACACUUGGCAGACCAUGAUCCAGAAAAAAUAUAUAUAAAAGCAGAGGAUCUAAAUAAAAUACUUUGAGAGGAGACCAAGGAUUUCGUUUCUUUGAGCAAUUAAAGUUUCAUCCAAGCGCUCCCGGAGGCUAUGAAUACGGUUGAGAACUCGUUCUGCCAUGGCUAUCUUCUUGGAGGGUGCACAGAGUUUUCAGAAAAAUCUUAGUUAGCUUCAGCUGCAAGAGAGUAUAUUAAAAUAUGUAAACAAUCCGUCCAUUUUAUCCAAAUCAAACUUUACCCAAAAAUGCAAUUGGAUUAAUUACACAAACUAAUUGUCAAAACAUCUACAACUAAUAUCUGGAUUAAAAAUUCCUAAAACCACCCAACUGGACCCUACCAAACACUGACAAAAUUUUCAAAAUUUGUGUCUUGAUUUAGCAGGAAGGCAAAUGGAAGAGAGAGUUCCACAGUCUUAAAUUGGAAAUACAGAAAUGAGAAUAAAAUCACUAAAGGACCAUGGAAGCUCAGACACUGUUUUGAAAAGUUGCAUGCUCUGUUUAUACUUUUUCUCCCUCCUCCUUUACACACAAUUGAAAAGUCAAUAAUCUGGACCAACCCAUAUUUUAGAAUUCCAAAUCAGAAAAAAGAAGGUAGAAAAUGGACAAAACAUUUCAAGUCAUCACUGUGCAUGACAUUAAUGGGGAGAAAACGGAGAUAAGAAAGACAAAGAGAUCAAACUAUUUGACCGUAUGGAACAAAUCCCAGUUUGAAUUCUCCUCUCUAUUGAAUAAAAUUAGAUGAUGAUCUAUGUUUGGUAAAGUAGAUUUGAAAAUGGGAACAAUUGUCAAACGUUUCAAAACAGAGCAAGAAGAACAAGAGAAACACAUGGAGCUCACAAAUUACAAGUGGAAUGAGACACAAUAAAUACAAGGAGAGACAGAGGAAGCAUUUGUCAAUCUCUUUAAAGUCUACAAAACUUUUAACAUCUGACCCACAAAAAUUAGAGUGAUUAAGCAAAAUCAUCAUCAGGGUAUGCAAAGUUAACACUCACUCAUCAUCUACAUUUGAACGUAGAUUAAAUACAAAGAAUUAACUUCUAACCCACAAAAAUUAGAGUGAGUAUCAGCAAAAUCAUCAUCAGGGUAUGCUAGAUUAACAUCCAAUCAUCACCCACAUUUGAACAUAGAUUAAAUACAAAGAAUCAAACAAGAGAAAUAAAAACUGGGAUCGACUACAAAAAAAAGCCCUGGGAUCAUUCUCGAUUGGAAAAUGGGGGAAAAAGAGGAUCGUAUGGAGAAUGGAUGAAAAGGAAAAAAGAGGGGAAAGAGAGUGGACGGACCUUAGGAGGAAAUGUAUAGGGGGAAUGAAGAAUGGAAUGAUGAGAAGAGAGGAAGAGGAGAGGGAAUUUAUAUUGAGAAUGGAAGAAAGAGUUUGGGGAUUGUUGCUGAAUGAUGAUGAUCACCAUGGAUGCGGUGGGUAAAGGAAAUGGGUGCUUGAAUUUCCGUGAAAAUGCUAUUAUUACUGCCAUUACCUUCCUGUGGUUUUCUUCUUCCUGUCGCAAAACCGCUUUUGUUCUUCCUACAUUCUUUAUUUCCACUCUCCUCUUCUUCCUCUUGUCAUCUAGCUUUGGAUAUAUUUUUUUUUUAGAAUCCAACUUCUGAUAUCGAAAUUAAUUAUUUAGGCUUUGUUUACUCUCGUUCAUCUUAAAUUUUCAGGUUAAUGAAAUAAUGUUAGUUGUUCUAGUCAAAAUUUAUUAAUAAACAAGUUAAAUGUUUAUAUCGUCCAUUCAAAUUUUAGUUAAAUGUUUAUAUCGUCUAUUGAAAUUUUAGUCGAUGUAAAAUUAAGACCAUCCUUACAAUAAUAUUCUCGUACACGACCUUCUUUCUCCCUCUAAUCGCAUUCAAUUAAUUCAAUAAGCAAUCUUACAUAUUAGGAUUUUCCUUUUAUAUCAAUCUUCUCUGUGUUUGCACUCGAAAGUAUCUCUCUUACGUCUGUUGCUCUAAACUUUCAAUCAAAUCGAUCACAAAUUCUUGGUCUCUGUCAUUUGGUUCCACUUCGAUUGACAUAUCAAGUUAGAAUUUCCUAGAAGAAGAUAAUUUAAAGUGUCAUCGAGUUUGAGCACAAAACCAUGAAAGUGCCACCUGAGUUGAUAAUUUAAAGUACGUUGAUCAAGCUUUCGGAAGAACAGAAUACGCGAUCAAACAUUUAUUAUUAACUACACCGAGCAGAGGACUAAUUUUCUUCUCGACGUCUUCUUUUCCGUUUACUAAUUCGAAUCUUAUUAGCUAGUUGACAAUCUUGAAAAUUCAUUAAUUUCAACCUAUCUCAGAUUCACUGUCGUACGAUGAAACUCAUUAAUGAUGUUGAUAACGUUUUAAGAGAAUAUAUAGUAUAGAUACGUUAUUUUAAAUAACUUUUUCUUCCUAAUAAAAUGACAGUGCAUUUCUUGAAAAAUGGGUUUUGAAGAAAAUAAAAGAAUAGAGUAAGAGAGAUUUAAUAGUAAAAAAAAAAAAGGGAAAGAUGUUAUCUAAACAAUGUGUUGAAUAGAAUAAAAUGAAAAAGAGCAUUGGUUUGGGGUUUAGUAGGUGGGACUCUCUAAUAUAGUAUUGUACGUUAAAGUGAGUGGUUUUUUGGCCCGAGUUUCGUCAACCGGAAAACCUGUUAGCGCCCGCCACGUUCCCACCUAAAACCGCCUUUUCCUUUCUACCACUUUUAUUAUUAUUAUUUCUUUUUCAUAUAUUGAUUUCAAAUUAAACUUGCCAUCUAUAGUAUUAUAUAUAGUGCAAUACUUUUAAUUCAAGAUAAACUCAUUUUGGUUAAUCACACUCCAAAUUUUCAAAUACAUGAAAAUUACUAAAUUCUUUAUCAAUCACAUUAGUAGAAACCAUAAUUAGUAUAAAUUUAAAAUUUUAUCAUUUUUAAAAAUAUUUUCAAUAAUUUUAUUAUUUAUUCUAAAAUUUUAAAUUAUAUUUAUAAUCAUAAUUUUAAAAUUUUAAAAAACAUUGUUUAGGGUUUAUUUAUUGUAUUAUGUGUUGUUUGAAAUGUCUUUCAAUUUAGUUUUAUAAAAAUUGGUAUGUAUAGACAAUAAAUAAAAUUAUUUAUAAACUAUAGUGAAAAAAACUUAAAUUGACCAAAAAGUUUGAUUGAUUUUGCUAUUUUUAAAAAUGUCUCUUUAAUUUUUGUAAGUAUUUUAGCUAAAAUUACCCGUUUGAUCUCUAUAACUUUGAAGAAAAAAAAAGGACAAUUAUAGUUUAAUAAUACCUCAACAAAAGCUUGUUAAGUUCUUAUAAUUCAAAUAAUUCACUCUCAAUAUCGACCAAAUGUAUGGUUUAGCUUUUCUUUUAGCAAUUUGCAAAAUCCACUUAUAAGCAUCAAUUACACCAUGGUACUUUUCUUAACCAUCAUUGAACCCUCUAAACGUUGAAAUGUGCUAAAAUUGGCUUACAAGUUUACAAUUGAACCCACCAAUGAUAAAUAUUGAAACAAAAAAUUUAUAUAAUAGAUACAAUUUAUAGAAUUGGUUAAGUUUAAGAGUCGAAUUUGAAGAUUUUGAUAAGUUUAAAUUUUUUGUUACCGAAGUUAAAAUUUGGAGAGAGAAAUGCAAUUUAAUGCACCUGACCGGCCACCAAAGACGGUGGUUUCGUCGGGAACUGCAAGCCAAUCAAACUCCUCGAUUUUCCGGUAACUGACGUGGCAUCCUAGAUUUGGGAAAAAGUUAUGAAAUUGAUGAAUCAUUUUGCUCCCUCUUCUUUGCUUUGCACACUCAGCAUAUGUGGGUCCAUUUCUAUCUUUUGUUCAUGAAAAGUAUUUCAUUAUUGCUUUUAUUCUAAUCAAAUAUUGCGAUUUCGAAUUCAUUUGUUUUUUAAAUGUAUAUAUGAAUAUUCAAAUUAUAUACUCAAUUAACAUUUUAUUGAUUAAUUAUAUGUCGUUCUCACACAUUACAAAUUCUUUUUGGAAAUCCUUUUUGGAAAGAUUAAGAUGUAAUUAAUUUGAGGUGCUUUUUUCAAAAUAAUGAAAUAAAAUAAAUAACUUGAGACGUGGGGCCUCGGAACGAAAGUUUGAAAAAUGGAGGGAUUAAAAAAACAUAUCUUUAGCGAUGAUGGAUUAAUUAGUCAUUUGUUGCUUUUUAUAAUAAUUUCCUUUUUAAUUAAGUACUUAUUCACAUUUUUUUUAAUAAUGAUAAUAAUGUUGUGAAAAGAGGGUUCAAUCAAAAUGUAGAAAUUAUAAUAAUAUAAUAUAAUAUAAUAUAAAUAAAUAGUAAGAAAAUUAAAUAUUUAUAAACCAUAAAUGUAUUAGACUACCUGACAAGUAAGAGGUGGAUUACAUGACCACUAAAAGACCAUGGUUGCCUGUGAACAUUAAUCGAUAUAAAGUUUUCUUGACAUCUGCUACGACUAAUAAACACACAAUAAUGAACAUUUAUAUACAUAUUAAUAUUAUUUAUAAUAAAUAAUAAAUACUUCCAAUUUUCAUAGUUUUUAUAACCUAACCUUAACUUUUAAAAUAUUUUUGUUUUAUAAUAUAUAUAAAUUAAACUAAAAUAUUUACAAAAUAUAACAAAAGUAACAUCGAUUACGUAUCCUAUCAGGAUAGACUAAUUGGUUUAGGACGAUUUAUCACGAACAAAAUUGUAAUUUUUUGUUAUUUUUAUAUAUUUUUUCAUAAGCCUUUUCAUUUAUUUCAAAUAAUUUCGAAAAAAAUUUGGCAAUUAUAAAAUGAAGUUAGCCACUUAGCUAUAUUAUUUUAUAGGUCAAAGCACCUUCAUCUUAAGCUAUAUUGUAUUUUACCAAAAACAAAUAUUUCUAAAUGAUAUUCACUUUGUAUUUCAACCACACAUUUCAUAUAAUAUUACACUCUUUUAAUUCAUUUAUACAAUAUCCUUUAGUCGUUUAUCAUUUGUAUAUCACAUUAAUUAUUCGUUUAUCAUUUUGAUUCUAGUAUCACCCGUUUGAGGUUAAUAUCUAUUAAAUAUUUUAAACUAAUAAUUAUAUUAUUUUAAUUUAAAAUAUUAAAAAAUGAACAAUCAAUAAUUUCAUUAUUUAUUGAGAUUAAAAUAGCAUUAAUUUAUUAAAAUGUGUGAAAUAUAGUUUUUUUUUUUACCUUGUUUAUGGUUACCUCUUAAUUAAAGAUUGCUUAAAUUAGUAUUUUAAUUCCUAUAUAUUGGAUUUGCUUCAAUUUUCAAUUAUUUAAUAUGGUAUUAAAUUCGUCUACCAUUACUAAUUUAUGGUUUAUGUAUUAAAAUUGUUGAAAAUUUAACGACUAAAAUGGAAAAUAAUGAAAAGAUUUAUGAGGGUGAGUUGUUAAUGGGACAUAGUUGGUCCAAAAUCCAGUGGCUAACCCUGUGGUUUUGAGAGAAUAACCCUAAAUCUUUUUAAUUGAUUAAAAAGUAAGAAUUAAACUUUAUAUUAAUUAAAGUCAAAACAAUAUUGAAUCAUUUCAAACUAAUUUUCUUGAGCAACACGUUUGGUUUUUCAUGGGAUAAUAAUUAAUAAUAAUCCUCACUUUCCCUCAAUGCUGUGGGCUACAAUUUUCCAAUUUUCCACUUCCUUUAGCGGCUCUUUGCACCAUUCUACCCUCCUUAUUAUUUAAUUUUCUUAACUACUAAUUAUAUCUAUCCGAUCCAAGCCAUCUCCAAUACCUUGUCGUGUAUUUAUAUUGUUUGUAUUAAACUCUACCCGUUGUUAUGUGAAAAUUACCUCAUAAUUAGUCGUUCUUUAUUUUCUAACUAUGAAUUUUUUUUCCAUUUUCUGUUUUAGAGUGAUUAUUGGAGUUGUAUUUUAUUUAAUUUUCGAGGUUAGUAUAGUCUCGAGGGAAUUUAUUUUAAAUUUGUCAUUUUUUUUUUUGUUAAUUUCUCAAUUGUUUUCUAUUUAUUCUUGAGGGAAUUUUCCAACACAUAGAACUUCACAUGUCUCACACAUCAAUUCAUCUUCACUAUAGCUUAAUUAUCUCAAUACCAUUGUGGGCAAAGAUAAUGGAAUUUUCAUAUGUGACAAAAAAAAAAGAAACAGUUUCUUAUAUAUGAACCUUUUAACAUGAAAAACUCUCCUUUUUUUUCCAAGUGAUAAAGGUAGAAGACUUGAAUUAUUUGUAAAUAUAAAAAUAAUAUCAUUAUUAUUUAUCAACGAUAGAUUAUAAUUAUAUACAAAUAGACGUCUUUUGUUGUCUAUUUACAUAUACAUCAAAAUUUCAUUGUUUGUUUUGUUAGUCUUCUACUGCUCAUACAUAGCGAUGAUAUUGGACAACAAAAUUGCUCAAACUUAAAUAUUAUAUUGUCAUAUAUGUAAGUUUUCAAAAGGCAAAGAAAAGGCCCAUUUGCUUUUUUUUUUUUUCUAUUAAAAGAAGUAUUGGUUAUUUAUAUUUUAAUUGCUUUUAUCGUAGCAACGUGUACUUUUUGAUGUGUACUCACACAAACAAAAAUGAAUAAAUAAAAUAAAAUAAAAUACUUAAUAAUAUAUACUAUUAAUUUGAAAGACUAAAUUAAAUAAAACUUCCAUGCUUUUACCAAUUAAAUCAAGCCAACAAAUAGGGAGAAGACUAAGAGUAGAUGAGCUGGAAUAAUUAAUCAAUAACAAUAUCAAGAAGACUCAUGCUAUCAAAAGGAUGAGAGAAAAAUGGAUUGAUAUGUUGUUUGAUAGAAAGACUCCAAGUGAUGAAUACUUGUAUUUGAUUUACCUAUUUUAUAUGUUUGAAUUUAAAUUAAACCAGUUCUUAAUCAAAUUUAAGAGAGAUUAAUGCAAAGAAAAUUUAGUAUUAUUUGGUAUAGUGCUCGAUUAAUUAUCUAAUUGAUUUUAUUUUAGGUAUAGCUUUUUUAUAUAUAUUAUAUAUAAAAAUUGGAAAGAGUUUAUCAUAUAGAAUAUAAAAAUAGAAAAACAAUUAGGUGAUUGCCAUAUAUAUUUUAUGUUUGUGGCAUUUCCAACAAAGCAGAAAAUGGGAGAAACGGUGCGUUGGGAUCGAGAAAAUGGUGGAAUAGAGGUGGGUCGGAGAUUAAGGAAAUAAUACUUCCAAACGGUUCGUUUUACCGUAAAAAGGUUAGUCACGUGGUAAGUUUGGUGGUAACUCUUUUCCCUUACCACUGCCAGUGCAUGUUCCCACAAAAUCCAAAUUCUAAAUAUAACAAAAUAACAAAAUAACAACACAACCAAAAAAAACACUCUAUUAUUAUUAGCUUAGUUAAUUAUAAAACUAUUUUUUCAUUUUUCAUUUUGUAAUUCUCUUCGAUAAUAACACUACACUAAUAUUCGAUAAUUUUAAAUAAAUAUCAUGUAAAAAAUGAAAAAUGUCAUCGCUAGUUGACACCACUUUUGAAAAUAUAACGAGGACGAUGUUCAAAUCCAAUUUCUUUCCACAAUCAUAUGCAAAUAUGAAUAGCUUGCAAUAUUAUAAUUUAUAUACUUUUGUGGUGUGAAGAAUGUUUUUUAAUGAACACGUGCUUUUGUCUAUCAAUUAUAGCAUUAAUGAAGGUUUGUAGCUCGUUUUAGAAGUUUGUGGAAAGAUCGAAUGAGUAAUCUAUCUUUAUUUAUAAACGACAAGGCCACGAUUUUAUGGUUAAGAAAAUAUCUUUAAAUGAUAUCAACGGUUCAACUAAUUUUAUUGUGUUCUAAUGAUUUGAUAAAAAAAUAAAAUAUCUCAACUACGAACUAUUCUGUCACCUCUUAAUGUGAUAUCUUUUAUUAGGUAAUAGAUUUAUUAAAAGAUAUCACUCACGUCACGUAAGAUGCAACCUACCAUAUAAUAAUUACCGUAUAUUAAUAACUUUUGGAAAAUUACAUUAGAUGACAAAAAAUAUCGAAAAAACAACUUAUAACACAUUCUUUUACGUAUUGUAAAUUUGACAAAUACGAUGAUAAUCAGACGGUAAUAGAUGAUAAUCUGCUUUUAAAUUUUCUAUUUUUACAAUUUUGAAAAUGUAAGUGACACGAACUCAAUUAUCAUAAUUUUCUUUUAUUACUUUUGCAAACUUCCCCUAGUUUUUUUUUAAAAUUUUAAAGUUAUACAGCAUCUAUUUCAAUUUUGGUUAUUAUAAUUAUUUCAUCAUUAUAAUAUUUUUAUUAUAAAGUUUAUUCUAUAUUUUAAUUUGGGAUAGUUGCAAAUAUAACAACGAGAUUUAAAAUAACUAAGUAUAUAAUAGCAUUUUUAAAAAAUUGCAAAAAAAAAAAGAUCGGUUAAAAUCUAUCAAUGAUAAGAGCUUAUAUUUAUAAUUUUUUAAAAUGUUGAUAUACACUUCAUUGCAAUUCACAAAAUUGCUACUCAUUAUAAUUACCUCCUAAUUUUAGUUAUUAUUCCCAUUUUUCUAAUCAAAAUAAAAAACCUGUCAUUACUACUUUUACAAUAGAAAACAUCAAAGGAAUAAUUUUUUAAUAUAUAAUUUAAAUAUAAAUUAGCUCAAUAUUAUAUUCGGUCAUAGGUUUUUUCUAACUCUCGGGUUAGAAAUGAAAGGUUUGAAUCUUCUAACCCAACCGUUGUAUUAAAACAAUUAUAAAAGUUUUAAAUUGAACUUUAUCUAUCUAGAUUGUUGAUCUUUCAUUAUUACCCAUUAAAAAAGUUCGGACCAAUCAAAAGUAAGAUAAGAUAAGUUUAAAUACUGAUUUGAUCGUCAAGACAACAUAAUUAAUCUUUAAACGUGUUUGAAAUGCUCAAAUUCCCUUAUCAACGAUUGUAUUAAAAUAAAAUAUUAUUUUAAUCUCCACUUUUUUUACUUUUAAAUUUUAAAUUGCAGCACUCAUUCAAAUUUAAGUUAAAAUUUGAGUAUAGUUGGAUGAAGUUGAAAGUUUAGAGUAAAAAAUUAAUGAUAAAUUUUGAUAUUUUAACAAUUAUAAUCGGUGUUUUCUUUUAUAAAAAUAUUUAGGCAAAUAAUUGGUAGAAAGAUGUUUAUGUUGAGUUCAACUUUAAUGGGCCUGGGCCAUCAUCUUUCAUGGGUUUACCAUUUGGGCUCAUAACCAAUGCAAACUUGAUCGGUACUAUGCAUGAACCUAAACUACUACCACCUUCAUUUACUCAUUUAUAAUCAAAGAUUACCAUUUUUUUAGUACAACCACACAAUAUAUAUAAAAUCUAAGAUAUUGACAAAUAAUAAGGCAAGAUAGAAUUUUCCACGCAUAAUGGUCUUCGAGUUAAAUUUUAUAACGUUCAAGAUAAUGGGCAUGAGAAGCUAUGGUAUGAACAACGACUGUUAAUAAAAAGAAAGCCUUGAAUCGAGCAACCUUUAUUUAAGUUUGUAUUCAACUCUAGAGCAUUUUUCCUAUGAAAUUUUUUUUAGUGUAACUCUUAUUCUACCAAAUUAAAAAUUAUCAUCCAAUAAUACAUAUAUGAAUGAAGAGUAUGAAACUUAGGUUGGAUCUAAGUAUUACUCUCUUCUCAUAUUUAUCUCACAAAAGUGUAGGUGAGAUGUCAUUUAUAGUGAUUAUAAGCCAACGGUCACAUCAAAAUCCUACUUCCUUUGUAGAUUAAAAUAUAUUGUAGAGAUUUGAUUUGUUGAACAAUAUGAAAGUUUCAAAUCAUAUUUACCCUAAAGAAAACUAUAACUCAAACCUUGAGCUUCAAGGAGGUAAAACAUUGUGAAAAGUAUAUGAUUUGUUCUUUAUUUUUUUGUUCUUUAACCAUUCUAAUUUGCAACCCAAUCUAAAUGAAGAUGAAAUAUUAAACUACAAUAAUACCCCUCCAAAGUUUAAAGAGACUUCAAUACCAUGCAUUUUGAUCUUAGGAUAAAUGUGUCAUUCUAACAAUACCAACUCUACUUCUAUUAGGAAAACAACGAAACAAGUAUAUAAGUCCUAGUGAAUUUUCCAUAUAGUUUUAUGGAAGGAUAUGCACGAAGGUAGCACCCCAUGAAAUAAUUAAAUUUUCAUUAACAUCUUCAUAUUUUGAUUGAUAUUUUUAAAUUUUCACAUGUUAAAUAUCCAGGUAAAAAUUCAAUUAACUUUUCUAUUAUAAUAGUAAAUUUACAAAAUAUGAUAAUAUAACUAAUAUCGUAUAAUAAUAAAUACGUUAACUAGUUUAAAAAUCCUAAAACGUGCAUUUGUUAAUUUAAAUAUAGAUUUAUAAAUUUAAUUUUAAUAAUUUUACACAAGAAUAUCCGAGUAGAUAAGAGGUUAUUGUCCCCCAACCUAGCCCAAAUGUUGUAUAAGCUAGGGUUAGGCACUCACGGAUAUAAAAGAAAAAAGUUGUUCCAUAAAAUUAGUCAGAUGUGCACAACCAAACCUAAACACUCACUAAUAUACAAAAAAAGUUCAUAACAUUUUUCGUAAAAUUAUUUUAAAUGAUAAAGUCCAUGAAAUUCAAAAUAUCAGAAUCUAUAUAUAUCAUAAUAUAGAUAGAUCAUGGUCCCGAUUGGAUUGACAGUUUGUUUUUUUUAAAAAAAAAUAUUUUAAUCUCUCCAUAAGUUAUCUUGACAAUGUGACAUACAUGUAUGUAUGUAUAUAAAUAUAAUUGAGUUGAGUCGGGUCAAUACGAUCUCUUACUUGCACAAUAUAGCAAUACAACUCAAAUUUUUUCCUCCAAUUUUCUAACCCAACGCAACCUAACACAAAAUUCAAUUCAACCCAACACUUAUAGUUUAGGUUGAUAAUUGGAUUGGUCGGGUUACUGAUUUUUUUUUUAACACCCUUAAUAUUUUGUAAAAUAGCCUUUUUUUUUUUUUUUUUUGUUUAAAAUUAAGACCCUAACAUUGGGGUUAGGGCAAAAUUAAAGUAACGAAAUAUUAUAUUUUCUUAAACUUAAGCAAUUGGAGAAUUUUGGACGAAACCCUAAAAAUAGAAGAUUCAUCGUCAUCCCCAAUCGAGGGUUUCAAGUGUGAAGAACCAUUAGCACGAAGCUUUAUCAUCAUCAUCUCAUUCAGUUCUCUAAAACCCUGUUUUCAAUUUAGCAGUAUAUUCUGCAACCAAGUUGAAAGCCUAUUCCUUUACCUAAUCGACGGCGGAAUCCGGUGGAAUGGGGAGAGAACUCCAAAAGCAACCUCAGCAAGAGAUGGCCUCCGCCGUGGAGCAAUUGCUCGCCGUGAAUCCUUACAAUCCCGACAUUCUCCCCGAUCUCGAAAACUACGUAAACGAGCAGGUCACUUUCCCAUCUCUUCCCUCUAUUUUUCAGCUUAAUUUUUGUUAGUUGUUACCAUCUCCUUGGUAAUUGUAUUUCUGAAUUGAGAGAACUCUUAUCUUAUUUUAGCUGGGAUAAAUGUUUGUGUUCCAGGUCUCGUCAGAAACGUACAGUUUAGAUGCCAAUCUAUGCCUUCUUCGUCUCUACCAGGUAGCUACCCUACUACAAUACUAGCUGUAAAUAGAUAUAGCAUGUAUUUUAGUAAAUUCUUCUGGCAAAAAGAAGUCAGGUUCCAAAUUCCUCCCGUGUGGUUGUUGCUGGAUGGUUUUGUCAUAAUAAUCCUUAAGUUUUAAUUGUUGUUGUGUUUAUAUUUUUAGUUAACUGUCAUUACUUUAAGAUAAAUUAGGAUUUAGAAUGUAUUUUGGUGCUGCCCAUUUAGCGCAUUGGACUUGGACCUUAAGCGUUUUGAAUGUUUAAUCUCUGUGUUUCCCUCAUUCAUAUGGUUUGUCUUCUAGAGAAUUGAUUAUUGUUUGAUUUACAGUUUGAGCCAGAGAGAAUGAGCACCCAAAUUGUGGCUCGCAUUCUGGUCAAGGUAUAUUUUCCUCUUUAUUUUUUUUUGUCACCGCUUAUUGUGAAGAAUUCAAUUCCUAUAUCUUCUUCACUCAGCAUAACUGAAGUUUAUGUCCGAUUUGUGGAUAGGCUCUGAUGGCAAUGCCAGCUCCGGAUUUCAGCCUGUGUCUCUUUUUAAUUCCAGAACGUGUGGUAUGCAUUAAAUCUUUCAUAGUUCAUCAACCCCUUGUUUUAAGAUGUCUGCCAUUUUGAUUCUAGAACAAGUGGUAUACAUUAAUUUUUAUUGUAGUUUACCAUCCCUUAAGUUUUUUUUUCAUUUCUAAUUUUGUUCUUAUAUCUUGUGGUCUUUGUAAAUUUUUUUAUCUGUAAAGUGAGCAAUUAGGUUGCUCAUUUAUUCCUCAAGAGAUCAAAAUGUCCUAUGUAUCCUUUAUUGAGACUUGGGGGGCAAACCACAUUAAACUUAAAGGCCUCAAUCAUUAAUUAUCAUUAAAAUGGGAAUGCUCUGAAACGAAUAGAGGAGGUAACCCAAAGGAAAAUAUUAAAGUAAGCAGAGCAUUUAACCAUCAAUUUUCAAUUUCAUUCUAAGCUAAAACAUUGUUGCCAAACAUUUUCACAUUUUCCGCUUGUUAUUUCUUGUGCUUUCUAUUCCAUCCCCUUAAUGACACAUUUUUAAUGUAUUAAUAUCAGCAAAUGGAGGAUCAAUUCAAGACUUUGAUUAUACUUUCCCACUAUUUGGAGGUAUGCAGGUUCAUUUUUGUUUUUCUUCUUUUAUUCCCUUAACUUGAUCUUUUAGCAGCCAAUUUUAUGUCUUUUUUUUAAAAAAAUUAUUCAUGUCUAGACUGGAAAGUUCCGUCAAUUCUGGGAUGAAGCUGCCAAGAACCGUCACAUAGUUGAAGCUGUGCCAGGUACUUAGGAAUUAUAAGGAACUUGUUCUUUUAUGCAGUAUUUGCUACUACCUUUAUAGGUCUCUAGGAUGCAUCCAUUAGUGUGUAACGUGUGAGUGGCAUAUUCUCUCAAGAGAAUGAAUUUGACUGACCUGAAGAAGAAUUGAGAUGUUUGAAGGAAAGUUUCCCCAUGUGUCCUGAGUUUGAACCUCCGCAUGAAAAACCAUACGAGUAUAUAACUUUUUUUUUUCACUUAUUGUGUUUUCUAUGGUCGGCUGUAUGGUGCAAGAAGUCUUACUUGAGUAGUUGAAUGUGCCACAAUAAAUCUUUAAAAAAAUGUAUAUUUUUAGCUUGCAGAACUAUUUUGUUUGUAUAUAGACCAAGGCGUGUUUUGACUAUUCCUGAUAUGAAAAUACGAUGCAGGUUUUGAGCAAGCAAUUCAAGCUUAUGCUGUCCAUGUUCUUUCCUUAACUUAUCAAAAGGUUCCUAGAUCUGUGCUUGCGGAGGUAUGGAUUUAUAAAGCAUCUAUCUGCCAUUUUAAUAAUCUUGGAGUUGAUUCUUCAACUGUUAUCAUUGUCUUUUUUCAUUGGUGUUUCGAAGUAGAUGUGGCUUGACACGCUACCCUGCUAAUAAUGUUACGGUCCAAAUAUCCUUGUAUUGUUUAUUCUCUUUCUGACAUGCUAUAGAGGAUGUCAACCGAUCAACCCCAACUCAUCUCUUUUUGGAAUUUUUGCUUCAAUCAAUACGUUUCAAUGCAACAUGUUCAAUCUUCUGUGUGUAUUCUAAAUCCUUAUGUGGGAUGUUACAGGCAAUCAAUAUCGAGGGCCUGUCAUUGGACAAAUUUCUCGAGCACCAAGUUGCAAACUCUGGCUGGACUCUUGAGAAAGGUGGGAAGGGCCAACUUAUUGUUAUACCACCCAACGAAUUCAACCAUCCUGAACUGAAGAAGAAAUCCUCUGAUAGCAUUCCCUUGGAUCACAUUACUCGCAUCUUUCCAAUUCUUGGCUAACUAACCCGAUCACCGUAACUAAUGUUGUUACAUCUAUACAUUUCGUAUUUGUUCUCGUUCCUUUCUUUUUGGGACUACUGUGAGGCUGCUGCUAUAUUAUUGUCCAAUUUUCCAUCUAUGCCAUAGAAUGAAGAGAUUACCUCUUUAGGGCAGUCAGUCUGAUGUUUAUAUUUUGUACUUCAAUCAUACCAUUUUAUGAUGGUCAUAAGGUCAUGAAAGGCACACUGAGGUGAUGAGACGAGUCGCUCUGUAUCGUAUCAUGUGGCUCUCCUAAUUUUGAGAAGUGUUUUUGCGUCAAAUUAUUAUCGAUCGUUCUUUUGGGUAUUGCAGACUUGAGUUCCUUUUGGACCAUAAGCUUUUUUAUUUUUUGGGUAGACAUUAGUAAACAUUUUGUUUUAAAAUCAAUUUUUAAGGAAAAAGUUUGUAGGCUAAUGUAGUUUAAGAAUUUCUGAUGUCAGAUUAAAAGGCACUUCAAAGGGAUUUUGGAUGAAAUAUUCACGUUGGUUUUCUUUCAAAAAGUUAUUGUUUCUUCUAAAACAGACUAGGCAUCUUAAAAGUCACCCUUCUACGCCACAACCAUAGUAUUAAAUUCACUUCCACAUGAUAUUUUUGUUUUCAUGGGUUUAUAUUGAUAUAGGUUGAAUUGCUAUUUCUAUUACAUUUUUUAAAAAUAUAUAAAAACACGAAGAAACACAUUGAAAUGUACAUUAGGACAAGGUUCAAGCUCAUAUUCCUUACCCCAUUUUCUACUCAAAAAUUGUUUCAAGCUUUAAAUUACUUUUAACCUUUAUUUUUCAUUAAAUAUUAGCUUUCAAGUUAACGUUAAUGUUAACAAAAUUAUAGUUAAUUAAAAGUAAAAUUAUAAUAUUAUAAAACUUAAAACUAAAUUGAAAACGCUAACCAAAAUGAAAAGAUUAAAAAUAUAAGGUGUAACAUGGAAAGUUUAUGAAUCAAAUAAAAACUAGAUUAAAAAACUUAAGAUUCCUUUUCCACCUAAAAAAGAAAUUUGGAAAAUCGUCCGAAACCAACCUUAAUAGAUAAAGAUUUUGUCUAGUAAAACUAGCAUCCUAUUUAUCUCUUUCUUUCCUAAAACAUUAAAAAAAUUCAUCUUUUCUAAAUUUUAUAUAACUAUUUUUUUUCUCUAAUCUUUUCCAAUCUUAGCUAAUUUUAAAUUAUUUUUAUACAAUUUCUCAAAUCUUAUGUGUUCAUACAUAAGUUAAUAAGAUUAGAAUAGAAAUCUUAUUCACAGACACGACCAUAAUAGAAAAUUUGACAAGACUUAGCUGGUAAAAUAUUUGGUUGAGAUCUCGAUUCAUCUUGGAUAAAAAUGUAUCAAGAAAGUUCAAAUUUUCCAUUUUUUAGAAUUUCUUGAUACAAUUUUGGUUUACACCCAAUUUUUAAUAUUUGAUAGAGAGAUUUGAAAAGACUAGACAUGAAUUGAGAAAAUCCAAACCCAAAACAACCAAAAUAAUUUCACAAAAAAAAAUGGUGAAACUUUUCAGUAGACAAAACCUUUGAAAGCCAUUUCUUACAAUUUUCCAAAAAAAAAAAUAUUUUAAAUAAAAAAAUUUAUUUAAAAUAUUUAUAAACAAAUUGAUUUUAGUUUAUUUAUUUAAAUAAAUAAAAAUAUUGUUUUUUAAAGAAACUGAAAAAUAUAAAAACCAAACCGAGAAAAUCGAAAAGGAAAAAACAAAACGAAACAAAAGAUUGAUUGAAUCCUCGAAAGAGAUUCAUCGGUUCUUUCCCAUUUCAUCCCGCCAUCGUCGUUUAGUUUUCAUCGAUUUCCCUCAACCUCAAACCCUAAACCUAACAAUUCAUUUCCUUCACCUCAAUUCUUCUUCUCACAAAGGUACGCCAAUUCUCUCUGUCUUCCCUUUCGCUUCCCUUUCAGAUUUCUAGCUUCCUAUGCGGUUUUUUUGUUCUCUUUUAUACCGACGACAAAAUUAAAUAAAAAACCCCCUGAAUUUCGAAUUUAGCUGCAUAGACGACUCCGAUAUGUGUAAUUUUUUUGAAAUUCCAAUCCACCCCAUUUUGUCUUUGAUGAUUUUUCUCCCAACAUUUGUAUAUAGGAGUCGAAAGUGAGGAUUCUUUUUUUAAUUCCCUUGAAAGAGAACUUGAAGUUGUUGUUUUUUGUAAUCGGUUUUUGUAAUUUUUUUUACUGACAGUUGGUUUUGAUGUUAGUUAUUGUAGAUCAUGGCUACUUUAAACGGGAAAGUUACAUAUUCUUCGCUUUCUAAUGUUGGGAAGGUGAAUAGAGUUCAUAAUGAUGAUGAAGAUUGUGAUUCUCCAUGGGCCAUGCCUAAUGGUAGUGUGCCCUUUCAGAACUCGAAGUUUUCUGCUGAAUCUGAAGAUUUUAUUGAGGAUGAGUAUGAUUCAAGUGAUGAGUUUGAUAUUCCUAAGCAAAAUAGUAAGCGUCCUGAGGUGAAUUUAAAGAAUGUUUUAAAUGGAAUGUUUGCUAUAUUGACUGGUGUGAAUAAACCUUCGGAUGUGUCGUCAGAUAAACAAAUUCCCAGUUCAAAUAUUUCGUUUCUUGGUUCUGAAAAGAAUGGCGAUACCUAUUUGCACUCCUCAGUGUACAUUCCUAGUGCCCCACCUCUUCUCGAGCCGAAUACGGUUAAUUAUACUGCUUAUAAAGAUGUUUUGGAGGCUGAGCCUCCAGAGUGGCUUCCAGAUAGUUCUUCUUCGAUUUGUAUGCAAUGUACUGCUCCUUUUACUGCAAUCACUCGUGGUAGGCAUCAUUGUCGAUUUUGUGGAGGGAUUUUCUGCCGAGCCUGUUCGAAAGGGAGAUGUUUGAUGCCCGUUAAAUUCAGAGAGAGAAAUCCACAGAGAGUAUGUGAUGCUUGCUAUGACAGGCUUGAUCCUUUACAGGGUGUACUUAUUAACAGCAUUAGCAAUGCUGUGCAAAGGGCGAAGCAUGAUGUGAUGGACUGGACCUGUUCAAGAGGGUGGUUGAAUCUCCCUAUUGGUCUGUCCAUGGAACAUGAGAUAUACAAAGCAUCCCAAACGCUAAGAGGAUACUUCCAGGUGCGCUUACUAUGCAACUUAGUUGUUAAAUCAAAUGAAGUUGGUAUAAUUUGAACUGCUAUAUAUAUUAUUAUACUCUGGCAUCGAUCAUUAUACUGUGAUCUAUUGGACGGUGAUUUGGAUAUUCUUUUGUGACAUGCUAUUUCCUGGCUGUUGAAUUGUACAGGUCUCUAGAUUGAAUCCUGAAAGGUCUAUACCUUUGUCUGUACUGAAGGGGGCCAAAGGUCUUGCCAUUUUGACAGUCGCUAAAGGCGGCGUGUUGGUUGCUUACAAAUUUGGCACUGGUUUGGUAAUUGCCCGAAGGUCGGAUGGUUCAUGGUCUGCUCCUUCAGCUUUAAUGUCUGUUGGAUUAGGAUGGGGUGCCCAGGUAUGACUUCUAAUUCAAAGUUCUUUUACAAUUGUAGAAUUUCUGGAAGAAUUUUCGAUCUUCAGAAAUGGUUAAGCUCAGUUGUAGGAUAGCUUGGCCGUAACUUUUGGGGUUUUGUCUAUUUUAUGAGAUGUAGAGCAAGGCCUUUUGACUCAAAUCACAAGAAUCUUGUGUGCAUAUCGAGUUCUGAAUUACUUAUAUUUUUGUUUACUUUAGAUUGGUGGUGAGCUCAUGGAUUUCAUAAUCGUACUUCAUAAUUCAAAAGCUGUUAAGACAUUCUGUAGCCGAAUGCACUUUUCUCUUGGUGCUGGGUGUAGUGUCGCUGCUGGACCUGUUGGUAGAGUGUUGGAAGCAGAUCUUCGAGCAGGAGAUAGGGGUUCUGGCAUGUGCUAUACAUAUAGCUGUAGCAAAGGUAUCCCGAUUAGAUUGUGCAUUUUCUGUUUUACUUAGAAGGCUUUUGGCAGCUAUGUUAUACCAAAGCCUAAGUAGAUCUCCAUGAAGAUAGAAUUUCAGAUCAUUGAAAUGGCCGCUGCCCACAAACUUUUAGCUUUUUCAAAGUCAAAGGAUUUCGUGGAUCAUGCAGGAUUUAGUCCUUAAACGGCUUGUUCUGGUGCUUAAAAUAUUUCCUUUAUUAUGUAUAUUACAAGUACAAAUGUCUUGAUUUGGGUCGUGGUAGUCAAUAUCAUUACAUCUUCGACUCUUAAUUUGUCUUUAGAGGUGUGUGCUUGGUUGUGGCUUGUGGUCUUCCAGGAUGUGAGCUUUGUUGGGAGUGAAAGGAACAAUAGAGUGAUAGAAAUUUUUGUGUGAUUCCAUGUUUCUCUUUGGGCUUCGCUAUCGAAGUUUUUCUAUAAUUAUUCUCUAGGUAACAUCCUACUUAGCUGAAAACCUUUUCUCUAAUGAAAUUUAUUUUGUUGUAUGCCCUUGAAUUCUUUAAUUUUUUCUAUCACUCGUUUUGACUUCAUAUACCCCCUGAGUAGACCUGGAUUUGUUCUAUAAGUUGUCUUGAAUUCUGAAGAACAGUGUUACCUUUAUUUAACGAUUAUUUCACACUGACAUGCUGGAGAUAGUAACUGAUGCAUUCUCUUAUUUACCGACAGGCGCAUUUGUGGGAGUUUCAUUGGAAGGAAACAUUGUAGCAACAAGGAUGAGCACAAAUCUAUGCUUUUAUGGCGAUCCAUAUCUAACCACCUCUGACAUUCUGUUGGGGACAGUUGAGAGACCAAGAGCUGCAGAGCCAUUGUACUCUGCUCUUGAUGACUUCUACUCCGUUCUGCAAUGACCAAACUCUCCUUGAUGUACAGCAGAUAUCUCCAUGGAAGCUCUGAUCCAAACCUUAUACUUUCAUAGAUUGUAAAUGAACAUACAUCCACAAGUAGAAGCAUUAUUAUUCUUUUCUACUCUCCACCUUACCCAAUAAGAAUUGUAAUGUUGUAUAAAAUUGGCUUGAUUUAUUCUCGUGUAAAUAUAUAUUUUAUUGCAACUGAGUUUGAUUGAAAUGGUUAAAAUCACUUGGUUUUGCAUCAUAAAGGAUUGUGUUCUCCGUGAAGGUGUCUAUCCUAAUACUCACUUGUUACAUUGAAUACUAUUUUGUAUUUUUUACUAGCUACCAUCAAUUGUACUUUAAAAUCUUCGGUGGUUAAAAUAUUUACAAUUUAUUACCGUUUUUACUACCUUACCUUUAUAAUUUUGUUUUUUUAUUUUUUGAUAUUGUGUUUGCUAUUUUAUUCUCAAACUAAAAUAGUUUAAACCUUGAAUAUAUAUUAUUAUAAUUUUAACUAAAAUAAUCUAGGUUCAAAUACAAACUAUUAUAACUUAAUAACUUACGUUGCAAAUAGAUAUUUAUUAAGGAUGAACGUUAUUUAUCCUCUAGGUUAUGCACAUUAUUUAUCCUUUAGGUUUGUUGCUAGUUCUUCUAAAAGAUUACAAUGCAUCAGCGCGUACAUGCUAUGCUUAUUACACACUUUUUUAACCAUGUUCAUAAUACGGACAAAUCAUAAAAUUAUAAUUUUAAAAUAGAAGUGUCAACUAUAAUUUAUUCUCAUAAACUUUAGGAUUUAAGAUUUUAUUUAAACCAUCAACUUUAUUAACUUUUGCAAAUGUAUCAUUUUACCUCUCCGUUAUGUUAUCCAUUUACUCUAUUUGUCUAUUUUGUAAAAUUAAUAUUUGAACAAGUCAAUACAAAUUUAAAACCAAAAUCCAAACUUCUAAUUUGAAUUCUUUUUUAGAAUCAUCUAUUCAUUUACUCUAUUUGUCAAUUUUGAAAAAUCGAUAUUUAAAAAAGUCCACACAUAAAAAAACAUAUGUAAUAAGGUAUAUAUCGAUUGGUUUAUAAAAACUUAGAAGUUUAGAUUAUUUAAAUUAUAAAUUUCACAAAACAAUGGUCGUACAGAAGUGGAGAAUAUAAGUUGAUAUAGUCAUCAAUCCAUAAAUUUAAUUCAUAAAACCAAAGUUGUGAUAUUUGUCAAUAUAUAUAUAUGUACACAUACACAUGACAUACAUAACAAACUAAAUUAUAAUGACAUAAAAAAUAUACGAGUUAAGGAUUUAACAAGAGAUUUGCCUUAACCUACAUUGCAAUGGACACAAUGAUUGAUGAGAAAGGGAAACAAAAGCCAUUUCCUUGCACAUUAAUUGCUUGGGGCAAACAUGUUUGCAAUGAACAAAGCCCCCAAAUGAGCUUUAUACACAUAGAAGCCCAUGUCAAAAAAGGAAAAAUUACACAUCGUCAAUCUUUGACAUCAGUGACCCCUUCAGCUGAAAUUUGGAACCGUGCUUCAGCCUCAGCUAAACAUGGAGAACUUAUCACCUUACAAAUUCUCUCCUCCCCUCGUCCUUUCCGUAGCGCAAGCCUGCAAUAGAAACAUAGUUGGUCGAGGGUAACCACAUUUCGAGUUCAUAAACAUCUAAGGUGAGGAUUCAAUCCUCUAACCUCUAAGUAAAAGGUAUCACUUUUAAGUAGUUGAGUUAUUUAAAAUAUUACUUUUAAAUACUUUUGAUUAAAGAAAAAGAGUAUUUAGUGAAAACUCAAAGUCGAAAGUGGUAAAACAUGAAAGUUAGGGACCAAAUUGAAACAUAACUCAAAUCUCUUGUGUGUAAACAUUUUGAGACCAAGAAACUAAAUUGAAAUCAAACUCAGAACUUAAUGACAAAUCAGUAGCAACUUAGAGACCAAAUAAAAACAAGAUCCAAAACUUAGAGAACAAGAAGGUAUUUUUUGCACAACUUUAUUACAGUGUGACAAACCUUGUUGUAGAGGCAUGUGCCAUGAUGUUUCCACCAAUUGGCUUAAUUUGAGGACCUGCAAAGAUUGCUGAACCAUCUACCUGCGCAACCACUUGAUUUGUAAUGACCACAGCCACACCAAACUACAACCACAACACAUCAGGAGAUAUUACUCUUGUGAAUGGUAAGAACAAUACAAAAUGUAUCAUUCUCGUACUUCAUCUUUUGGCCCUAUAGAGGAAAAGUGUAUUUACCUCAUCUGCCAACUUUUGGAGACUUCUUAAGAACUUUGCUAGAUGCAUUUGCCGGGCUGAAAGUUCUCCUCUUCCUGAGAAAUCUGUUCUGUAGAGAGCAGUAGCGCUAUCGACUAUCAUGAGAGCAAACCUAAAUAUAAUGUGAAUGGAUCUCAAUAAUUUAUUUCAAUCAAGACAAUCAUUGGCAUUAAGUUUAAAAAACAAUAUAUUAGUGUUAAGUUCAAUUAAAUAUAUAUCCUCAUACAAAUGUUAACUACCUUGUUUCCACCAUCAUUGAAGCAGCUUCCAGCAAAAGCCUUGAUUGAUGAUCCGUGUUAUAAGCUCUAGCAUAGGCCACAUUCUCCAAGACAUCUGCACCAUUGAGUCCAAAUCUGUAACAACCAAUAUCACACCAUAAGCUAUUUUGAUAACACACACAGAACAAAGUGACACCUAAUCUCAAAUGUAUCCACAUCGUACCUAUCUGCAAUCUGUAAGAGCCUCUGCGGUCUAAACGUUCCCUCAGCAUCAAUAUACAUCGCCUUUCCCUCUCCACCACCUUGAUCCAAUGGGAGCUGAUCAUCAAGUCAAAAUUCCUCAGAAGUCAGAAACAUGUCCAUUGAUAGAAAUAAACUAAAAGAAUCCAUGGCCAAAAAUAGUUCUAUGAUACAUGUUUAAGCUGAACUCGAUAGCAAACGACAUUUACAGAAAUGGAAUGAGCGACUCACUUGGCAGGUAACGCAAAGUGUGUGACAAAGCUGUGUUUUCCCAGAACGGAACUCCCCAUAGAUUUCAGUUAUGGAUCCUGUCUCGAUUCCCCCUGAAAAAACAGUGUAAAAUCUAAACUAAGAAAACCAUAAAUGGCAAUACAAUGGCAAAGGAAGCUUCAAUCAAACUCAAAAGCUCUACGAGAAAGCAACCUUCCAGAAUCUUGUCAAGUUCCCUUGACCCAGAUGUUAAUUGAAUGAUCUCUAGCCUCUGAGCAUGAAGUUGGCCAGCGCUUGUGAAACCCAAUGGCACAAUCUUGGAAGCUAUUGAGAAUGAAUCAAGUCAAAUAAAGAGGCAGACAAAACAAGCAAAUGGAAAAAUGGAAAAUUAUGAACAGACGAAACAAACAGAACAAAUUACAUGCCUGCUUCAAUAAUUUUAUCAACUUUAGCUUCACUUAUGCCUUUGAUUUGAAGCAGUUCUUUUCUGGGAGAGUAUGCAACAGACUCAACAGUACACAAACCAGCAUCUUUAAGCUUCUUUACGUCCAUUGCAGCAAUUCCCGAUGCCUUUAAUACAUAAAAAAUGCUUAAAACUCUAAAAUCGUUACUGGGAAAUGAUAAAUCCCAAAUCAAAACACGACCCAUGUAACUAAAUUCGAGGACAAAUAACUUAAUCCUACAAUUAGAAACGAAAUCUUGAAUUCAAAAUUCAUUGAACAUUUGGGAACCGAUGAAUACAACAAAAAGAAAAGAAAAUAAACCCUAAUUUUCGUGAUGCAGUAGCAUAAUGGGUACCUGAAGCUGCUCAACGGGAAAAGGGCCGUGCUGAAUUUCAUCGGCUUCCUCUUGUUCUUCAGAGGGCUUCUGGUUUCUUUGGCGCUCCAUGAUCAGAUACUGAGGAAUCGUCCGACAAAUGAAAGAAUCUGUUCAGUACAAUUCCGACCCACUACCCAGAACCAAAAGAACAAUGGAAAUUGUACAGUGGAAGUGAGUUGAAGCAAAAAUGGUGGAGGGAAUUUGGGAAAUUUGAAGAUCUGUAGGGGCGCCAAAAAGAGUGGAGAGUAGAGAAGUGGCUUACCCGGGAAGUUUCGCGAGGAGAGUGAUCAAAAAUUGGGCCGAGACUUGGACUGAAUGGUCCAAUGACUAUUGCUAUUUGAGCCAAUCUUGGAAAACCCAAGAGCCCAAAUAUUACGGCCCGUUUGGUAAUGAUUCGGCUUGAUUAGAUGAUUGUGAAGAAAGUAAAAACAAAAGAUAUUCUUUUGGUUUAAUUAUAUUUGAUCUUUGUAGUUUGAUCAAAGUUAGAGUUUAUUCCUUAUCAUUUUUAAUGUAGAAUUUCGUAUUUGUUGAUUCGUUUGUUUGAUAAUGUUUUCAUUUUCGUUCUCCGUUUUUUGUUUUUUAUCUUUUAAUAACUAAAAAUAUGAAUAAAUUACCUUAUAAUUAUUUUUAAUUAUAAUAAAAAAAAUAUACUUUGAGAACUUUUUAACCUAUUCAUUUGGAGACUAAAAAACUACAUUUUUAAGACUCAAUCCAAGAUGUACCUCUUAAAAUUUUGAUGACUAAAAAGCUAUAUUUUAAAUUUUCAUUGAUCAAAGUCGCAUAGUUUUCAAAAUCCAAAUGGCCAAAAAAUAAUUAUCUCUUUUAGUGAUUUUUUAGUACAACAAAUGUAGGAUGGGGAAGAAUAAAAUUUUGAUCUCUUUAAGGACAAAAAUUAUGUCAAUUACUACUGAAUUAAAAUUCAAUUACUCUUUUAGUGAAUUGAGUAACAAGCAUGAUAUAUAUUUAUUUUUUCAAAGGUAUUGAAAUGUUAAAAUGAGAGAGACAUCACUGUCGAUAUCGAAAUACAAGCAAACCGCAAAAAAUACCACAAAACAAGAAAACAAACAAGUAAAGUAACUUGAUACAUAAGGAGAAAAGUUGGUUGGGCAUAUGUGAUUUCGGGAGGUAGGGACCAUAUAUGACUCAUGUAGACUUGGCUACGAGAUUGAGCAUGUUGAUGGACCAAAAAUGGUUGUUUGGCUAUUUGCUACAUAAACCCAAAUCACACCAUUACUAUUAAAGGUUUUGUCUAAUAUACUCAUUUUACAUGUCAGUUAUCUAGAUUAAUUAAAAGUAUAUUCACUUAAAAAUUUAUGUAGGGAAGAUUUUGAGCAACGUUCAAUACACGUAUUCUCAGGUUAGUUCAUCUUAAAGGAGAAACCAAUGAAAAAUAAUGGUGUGGUUGUUUCAAAAUACUUCAAAAGUUAAAAGGUUUAUAGUAAAAAAGUUUAAACAAUAAAUAUAUAAAUGAGAACUAAGAAUAUAGUUGAAACUUAUUAAUCUUCUUCAUUUUGUACCACCAUUUGAAACAAAGUCAGCUAGGUAACACAACUAAUUUAGUCACGGUAAGUUUAGUUUAAGUUCAAUUUGAUCACAAUGAUAUACAGAUGGUUAGAUCUCUUAAUCAUUCUUAGUGUUGCAUUUUUUUAUAAGUUCAUCAAUAUGUGGAUGAGGAUUCGAACUUAUAGUUUCUUGAUCGAUAAUAUAUACUUAAUGUUGCAAUUGUUACCUUUAUCAAAUACUUGAAUAACUCGUUUGUUAAUUAUGGACAGUAAACUAACAUCUUCACUUUUGCUAUUGGUUAUUGUUAUAGGUAAGAGAAAUAUUGCUUAGUAUUUGGCCUUACUGGGAUGGUCUAAUAAUAGGUUAUUUUCAAAGAGAAAUGAGUUGUUUUGCUAAGUAUGAAUGUGCACCAAUGGACGACCAUGAAGGAGCUAAAAAAACCCCACUUCAUAAGAUCAACAAGAAUCACGAAGAUUAAUAGGGUAGUCGGACGUACUUACUGUAUGUAUAUGUAUGUGUUUGGUCGGCCAUGGAUCUUGAAGAGGUGACAAUCAUUCGAUAAAAUUAUAUCUAAGCCAUUGGUAUACUUGACUCCGCUAGUAAAAUAAUCUGAAUGAUUCAUAAUAGUUUGAUUAAUGAUCUCAAAAUUAAUUAAAGAAUGACGGAUAUGAAACCAUAUUUCUACAUAAUCAAUAAGGAUUCUGCAUUUGAGAUAAAUUGAGAGUACUUUAACUUCUCAAUUUUAUUAGUUAUCUAAUUUAUUAAUUCUCCGUACUAUUAUAAAUUUAUGGUUGAUAUCAAAUUUUAAUAUCAAUAAUUAUAUUAAUUUUUAAAUCGAUAACAAACUUAUACAUAACAUUUUUUUUGAAUCAAAUUAGAAGAAAUCUAAAAUUUACAUUUCAAAUUUGCUAGGAUGAAAAACUUUUACCCUUUUUGUGACUAACUUAUUACCACAUCACAUAUUUUUAUUUAUUAAAUUCCCCUGUACAAAUAAAUUUAAAGUUCAUACUUUCACAUUUUCUACUAAAACUUUUAUCGUUUUUUGUGGCCAACUUAUUGCCACAUCACAUAUUUUCAUUUAUUAGAUUCGUCUCUACAAAGAGUAUGAAAAUGCAUUUCCAUAUUAAGAAUCUAAUGAAAAAAAAAAAGUAGACAAUGCAUUUCCAUGUUAAGAAUCUAAUAAAAAAUACUUUUUGAAAUAAUUUCAAAAGUUAAGUUGAGAAUAAAACUUUUAAAACAAUGAAUACGUAAUUGAAGUCUAUCGUAAACUUUAAGGAUAUAAUUGAAAUCAAUCAAAGUUGUGUGUACUACAAUUUUACAAGUGAUUGCUACGUUAUAUUUUAAUACAAAAUUCAAUAUUUUAUGUUUUAUAAUUUUAUUGAUAAAACUAAUAAUCAAUUCAUUAAAUGUAAAACAAAAGGUUCAUGUAAUUACUUAUUGUUAUCUAAUAUAUGGUUUAAUUAAUUCAUUGACUCAAACAAAUGAAAUAAAUAUAUGUUUACCUUAGUCGUUAAUUAAUUUAAAAUAAUAUCCAUAAUUAAACAAUUGGUGUUUGAGGUACACAACAGUUAAAUUUGAGUUUAAAAAUUAUAUUUAAGAUAUAGAGUUGUUCGUAUAUCAUUUUUAUUUUUUUAUUUUAUAAUAUAUACUAUGUAGUUAGAAAUUAAAAAAAAAAAAGUAGUAAAAGUAGGUCUGAUGGCUAGAAAUUUGAUUAAACCGUCAAAAUUAAUAUAAGAUGGAAUAUGAAUUUAACUCAUUUUGUUAAUUUGAAAUGAACCUAAGUCCAUGUGGAUCCAUUUGGAUUGCAUUUUAAGAAAAAUAUUUUUUAAAAAAUACAUUUUCUAAAAAACUUGAUUUUGUAAAAUGAGUUUAGAAUAUAAAACUUACAUGUUUGCUUUGACCUAUUUAUAAAUGUUUACGGGCAAAAUUGUGUUUGGUUUGUCCUAUACUAAUAAUGUUAUAUAUAUAUAUAUUAAAUUACUAUAAAAGACUAUUAGAUAUUAUCAAUUAAUUUCAUAACGAAAUACACACAUUUAAAAAAAAAAAUCAAAAAUACUUUUAAAAAUUAAUCGUAAAUUAUUAAUUUUUUAAAUACUUGAAACUAAAUAUUAAUUUUAUUAUUAUUAUUAUUAUUUUGGACAAUUCAAUUUUAAAAGAAGUGUAAAUACAUAACUACAUAAAAAAAUUUAAUUGAUUUCCAACAACAAAAUAAAAAUAAGAUAAAUAACAUUCUUAAUUCAUUUUCAUUUCACUAACCGAACGAACAUAUUCUUUAUUAACGUCUUCAUAAUUUCUUUCACAUAUGUUAAAGCGAAGUAUAUUUGGUUGAAAGAGAAGCAUUUGUAAAUCUCUAUAUCUAAAUGUAUACGAACACAUUGAAAAAAUAUGUAAAUUAUUUAAAAAAGAAAAAAAAAACAACCGAGUGAAAAAUAAAUAGUAAAAAGAAUAGAAAAAAUGGAUUAUUUUAAAAAUUAAACACUUAAAAAAUCAAUCCAAUACUUAAAUUUGAAUUUUUCAUUUUUUUAAAAUUUGUUGGGAUAAAUCUUAAAAUAUGUACAAAUUUAAUUAUAGGUAAAAUUCAUAUUAUGUCCAACAUUUAAAUUUGAAAUAUAAUUAUAAAAUAGACUUUGUAAAAUGUGAAAUUUGAUUUGGGAUGAAACUUUGGUCGUACCAAUUUCACAUCGAUUCAAAUUGAAUGGAAUUUUAUCUAGCUUUUUGUUUGGUUUAAUUUCAUAGAGCAUAAAAGAACCAAACUUAUUUGGAAAGAUUUUAAAUUAGAAAGUCUGUCAAAAGAAUAAUUUAGUACUUUUAUCGAAAAUGAGAGAUAUAGCAACGUUUUUAGGAAUUAUUUUGAAAAAUGGCAAAACCAUUUUUUCUUUUGAAUUUUAGUAAAGAAUAUUUUUUUGCACUGUGCAUGAUAUUUUAUAAAAUACCAAAGUACCCAUCAUUCAACUGUAAUUAUUUCGUUUAUACGUUGUAAUUAAUUUUGUCAUGCAUUUAGCAACUCAUAUACAACUUUCUUUUCUUCAAAUAACAUUCAUUCAAUCACAAAAACAACUAAAUUAUUAUUUUGAAUUAAAAUAUUCUCAGGCUCUUUUUAGUUAAGUGAUAACUUGCUUAUUAGUUUGUUUUUCCAUGUUUUUUAUUAAAUUCUAAUUAACUUAUUCUAAAAAUAUAGAAUUAUAUAUAUAUAUAUAUAUAAUUACUUCAAUAUGAUUCAUUUAUACCACGGUCGAAAUGAAUUAAAAUUAGAAAACAAUUAUAUUAAUUGUGUUCAAAAUAACUUUUAAACAAAAACACUGUUCAUUUAACUUAAUAACAUUAAUUAAAUUAAUUUGUAUAUCAACGUUGGUUUAAAAAUGUAGUUGAUGUAAUUAUUUCAAUAUAUUCUGUUAUUAUCAAAAGUGUUGAUUGUGUCAUUAAUUUGUGAUAUACAAUUAUGAAUUUAUCAAGUCUUUCCAAUAUAAUUAAUUUGUGAUAUGCUGUAAGUAUAUAAUUAACUUUGACGUGUUAAUAAGGUAGAAACCCCUAUAACUUCUUCGGGAUUUAAAAGAUAUCAACUUUAUUCAUUUUUUAUUUCAAAAUAAUAAUAUUAUUAAUUUUUAUUGGCUAAAUCUCUAAUUUUUUUUUAAUUUCAAAAUACUAACCUUUUCGUCACCCUUUUUUAUUUCAAAAUAACAUAUUAGAUCUUAAUUUAUUUUUAAAUUUUGAAUUUUGUAUUUGAAAAUCAAAAUUAGUUUUAUAUUAAGAUCUCAACCUUUUUAUUUUUAUUAUAAUUUCAACCAUUUUAUUUCAAAAUAAGUUAGAAUCUUUAAACCUUUAAUAAUUUAGAAAUUAAAAUUAGUUUUCAUAUUAUAUCUUAAUUUAUUUUUUAAUAUUGAUUUUUCCCCAAUAAAAUAGGCUAUGAUAUUGUAUUUUUGGAUAAAAUCUCCAAAAUUUCAUAUACAUUUUAUUAAAUAAAUAAUAUUAAUUUAAAAAAUAAGUUAAAAUUUCCCAAUAGACAAGGAAGAUAAAUUUUGUAUUUUUUUUUAUUUGAGUGAAUGUUUUUAUUUUUCCACCCAAGCUUUACCGGUUGUAAACUUGAAAAUCAAGGAUGGAAGAUGGAAAAAUGAAAAGAUAGUGUUUGCGUGUUUCAAAUGUUUAUAUUAUUCUUCUUGAAAAUACAUGAUGAAGUUGAAGAUGAAAUUUAAACUUCAAAUGGAUGAUGGUGGAGAUCGGAUUCUGCUCCCUCGAAGAAGAUGAGAUAAAAAAAAAGAGAAAUGGAAAGUGGAGACGAAAGAAGAUGAAACUAAAACUUUAAAUGGAAGAGGAUGGAGAUUGGGUUUGCUCGAAGAUGAGAUAAAAAAAGAAAAAUGAAAAGCGGAGACAGAUGAAGGAAGAUGAGAAACAAAAAACAAAAAAGAAAAAUUGUUGCAGCGGGUUAUAACUUUAACUUGACUAGUAUGUAUUAAAUAUUUAUUAAAAUGUAUUUAUUAUAUUUUAGCUCCAAUAAAGUAAUCUACACUUAUUUUGGGUUUUUCAAAUUCUUAUUUACAAUUUUUUUUUUUUCAUGUUACCAUUUCUUUUUAAAAAAAGUGGUUUUGCUGUUUUUCAAAAUGGCAACUUUAAAGUUGCUAUUGUUCUAGUUGACCCUUAUUUUUAAUAUUAAUAUUCUCUAAUUUGUGAAAUUAUUAAAAUAAAAAAUACUAGAGGAUGAAGGUAAAAAAAGAAAUAUAAACUCAUCCAACAUGGUGUAAAGUGAACUAAACAUGAUUCAACUCAAAUUAGUGGAUCAAAUAACAUAUUUUAAAUAAAAAUUUAUAUAAUUACAUUUAUAUUUACCUCCAUUAAAUAUUAUACACAUCAUUUUAUUUAAGAGGUUCAAUCUUCAUUACAUAUUUAUACGAUAAUUUUUGAAAAAUUGUCCGAAAUAAUCUAAAAAAGUUUCCAUUCACAAUAAGUACACUUUUGAACAACCCAUUAAAAGUAAGUUUUUUCUAAUAGAAUAUCGGAAGAACAAUAAAAACUACUUUAAUGAAUUUUUAAAAAGAUUGGAUGAAAAUGUUUGACAUUUAUUUAUUUUUUGACUAUUUUUUAAAUAUAGCAAAAUAAACUAAAAUACUUAUAAAAUAUGUAUAUUUUUUAAAAUAACAAAAUAAAUUAAAAUAUUUAUAUGUUAUAACAAAAUAUUUGGAUUCUAUCAAUGUCACCAAUAGAAAGAUACACUAACUAACAAAAUGUUUGUUAUUGUAAAAUUUCAAUUUUUGCUAUAGUUGAUAAAUAUUCAAUCAAAAUUACUAUUUUUUUUUUAUCAUUCUACUACAAAAUAUCACCAUAAGUUUACAGUAGACUACCGUCUAUAUUGUUGUAUUAAAAAUAGAUUAAGAUAUGGUUAUAAUUAUAAAUAUUUUGAAGAUAUUUGUAAUUUAAAAUAAUUUAUUUAUUACUUUUACCAUUUCCGAAGAAUUUUCAUCGUAGUAGAUAAUUUUUUAUUUCUAAAGACUAGAGUUAAAUGAGUUGGCAAAGCACGUGAUAAAUUUAGUUACAAAACACGCGAUAGGUCGUUUCUAUAUUAAUAUAUACAGACGUGGACAAAUAGAUCACGUAAGCAAGCAAGUGACCUGUCAGCAAAAUCCAAAACCCAAAAGGAAAUAAACAAACAAAAAAGCUUUAAAAUUUGAAUAUUUUAAACAAUACGUUAUUAGCUGGCGGGCUCCACCCACCAACCUCCACGUGUCCAAAAGGCUGAUUUUGCUCAAUUUAUCCUCAUCCAACUUCUUUUGUCCUAUUAAAUUAGAAAGUUUUUUAUACUAACACGUUAAUAAUAAUAUCCGAUUUUAGUCGGUAUAGUUUUUUCAUAAAAUUAGAUCGACUCUAUCUCACUUGUUCCAUGUAAAAAUAUCGCGUGUGGCUUCAAAAAUUAAACGAGCAACAACUACCAACAAACAAACAUAAAUAUCACAUUCGUUUCAUUCUUUCUAUUUCAAAAUAUAUAUUACAUAGUUCAACAACAAAACAUCAUAAGUCAUAGCGAAAAAAGCAUAGAGACAUAAUAGUCCCAAAUUCGAGGUUAACAUUUUAUUUGUGAGCGAAAAGCUUAAAAGAAUAUUAUGAUCCCACUCAUUUUGAUGGUUGAGUGCUUAAAGACAUAGCUUGUGUUGAAUGCUAUAAAAGGCAAGAUUCAACUUUUUUAUAAACUUUUUGUCGUUAAUUAUCGUUUUUUCGAAUAUUGUAUUUUAUCACUUGCAAAUUAUUAUUAAACUUUUUAAAUGAAAAAGGAUAAACUUAAGAUUUAUUGAAAUUAAAAAUAAUUUUAUGGCACGAACACUAACUUUAAAUAUUGAAAAACCAAAACAUAUUUUAAUCAUAUAUAUAUAUUUAUAUUAGCCAUUAGGGAACCAUUCUCUGUGUUUUGCUUACGUGGAAAACGGUAAGUAGAUCAUAGCACUAUGGAGCUUCAAGAUAAUCUGACACGUGGCAAAUUUGAAUCGUACGUGUGCAUAGCCACCUAAUUAUUUCUUAUUUCUUUUAAAUUAAUCACAUCUUCAUUGUUCAUACACAAAAAGAAAUCAAAGUCGCAAAACUCUUCUUUUUCUUCCAUAGCGGACGCAUCCACAAGCGAUUGAAACAUCCGUGCACUGCAAGUAAUCUUCUCCCAACGCAUUUGUCUCAUCACGAAGCCUUAUCUCUCGUCAGUUUCUGAAAUCUCUUCACUCAGCAUUAUUGAAUAUUCAUUUCAUUUCGUUUCGUUUCGUUUCGUUUCGUUUCAUGUGGUUUUCUCUAUGCGAUGCGGUUCUGAUUAUUUACUGUACAGCUCUUUAGAGAUUCAAACGCGAAAAUCUGAUCUGGAUUUGUUGAUUUCGGUGCUUCGAGUUUUGCGCUGUGGAUAGGAUACGAUUGAUUUUACUCAUUUGGUAAUGUGAGCUGUGUUUGUGUUUGUUUGUAUUUUUCUUUCUCCUCUUUUUGUACGUUUUUUUUAUUUUUCGAGGAUAAAGUGGAGUAGGAGACGAAUCGUUUAUUAAGUUUUCAGGAGUUUUGUUUUUCGUUUGCUUAAUUGUGGGAAAAAGUGGUCCGGUUGCUAUGCAUGUAUAUGUGUUUGAAGGGGGGAGUGCAUGUGGAAGAUAGCGUGUUGAAUGUUGUGCAUACUUUUGAAUCGGAAUGAAAAUGACUUUUGGUAAAGUAUUGCAAAGUAAAUUUAAACGUGCAAUGGCAUUAAUUGUAAGAGAAUCUUGAUAAAGAAGAUGAAAAGGAAUUUAUGAGGUUUUUGAUAAGCUGCUAUUUUUGAGCUUUACUUGGUAGCAGUUCAUUAGUAUUGGUGGAAUGUAUAUGAAAGUGAUGAUUGUUGUUUGAUUAUGCCUACUGUAGUUGAUGCCAUGCUCGGGAACGGAGUUGUUGGGAUUCUAUCUGAGUCUUGUAACAAGUGGGAAAGAAGGGUGCCUCUAGCACCGGAACACUGUGCUCGACUUCUGCAUGGAGGAAAGCAGAAAACUGGAAUAUCUCGUAUAAUUAUUCAGCCAUCAACCAAACGCAUCUAUCAUGAUGCACAAUACGAGGAUGUAGGCUGUGAAAUUUCAGAGGAUUUAUCGGAAUGCGGUCUCAUUCUGGGUGUCAAACAACCCAAGGUGUGAUAAGUUCAUUUUAUUUACCUUUGCCCAUUUUGUUGAUUUAUAUUUCGAAGAACAGAUGAUUGAUUCAGGUUUUUUUGGCAGCUGGAGAUGAUUCUUCCUGACAGAGCAUAUGGCUUCUUCUCCCACACUCACAAAGCGCAAAAGGAAAACAUGCCUUUACUAGAUAAGGUACCACACCUGUUGGAUUUUUACUUGACAACUAUGCAUUCCUUUCGACAAAUAGUUGUUGGAUUUUUACUUGACAACUGUGCAUUCCUUUCGACAAAUAGUUGUUGGAUUUUUACUUGACAACUGUGCAUUCCUUUCGAUAAAUAGUUUUCUUCUAAUCUUCUAUUUGGCAUUCAGAUAUUAACAGAAAAGGCAUCAUUAUAUGAUUACGAGCUUAUAGUUGGAGAUCACGGAAAAAGGUUACUUGCAUUUGGAAAAUUUGCUGGCAGAGCUGGAUUUAUAGACAUUUUGCAUGGAUUAGGACAGAGUAUGCUUCAUUUCUGGAAUACUUUUUUAACGUUUGAUUUGUGAUAUUUUCCUGUCUAGUCAAUUCAAUUGAAAUAUACUUAGGGGUGAAGAGGGGAGGGGGUUUGUGAUUUUGAGUAGGCCGAGCCAAUAAAUUUAACUUAAUUCAUAUAUCUAGGCUUUGUUAUCAGUGAAAUUUGUCUUAUAGAAACCACAAGAAUCUAUCUAUGCUUCAAAUUCUCUUCAAUAAUUUGAUUCUGUAUUAGAGUGGUCAUCAACCAAAACUCAAUUUGUUUCUGCAUUUUAUGUCUUCUUCUUGCCCACUUCAAAUCUUUUAAAUUGAGUUUGAUUUUUUCCCUUUUACAUGCAAAACAUGGAGACAGUUGAAUGCUCUGUUAUAAUAAAUAAUGAUAAUAUCCCAAAAAAUGGUUAUCUGUGCAGGAUAUUUGAGCCUUGGAAUUUCCACUCCUUUCCUGUCGCUGGGUAUGUCAUACAUGUAUACAUCCCUGGCUGCUGCAAAGGCUGCAGUGAUAUCUGUGGGUGAGGAGAUUGCAACACAGGGCUUGCCACCGGAGAUUUGUCCAUUGGUCAUUGUGUUUACUGGUUCAGGAAAUGGUAUUAUAUAUUUUAAUUGAUUGACCUUUUCAAAAUUCAUAGUAUUUAGAGCUACAAAUCCACAAGCUGCUCAUGAUUGUUUUCUCCCUAUAAUCCCAACCCAAACUUUUAUGCACGACUAUUCAUAUUGGUUGAUUUUUUUGGUUAUAGAAAUAGAAAUUGUAUUAAUUCAUAAAACGUUUUGAGAAAAAUAAAAAUAUUAGAAAAUCAAGCAUUUAGAGUACUAAGAUAUAAGAAUGGUUCCAAAAUUUAAAUUUUUAUAGUUUUGGUUAAACAAAAAGUGAGAAAUAAAAUUCGUUUCUAGAUAAUUUAUCACUAUGCUUUUUCAUCAUAUGAUAUACAAACCUUCAUUUUCACCCAAAACCAGAGGAAGGGCUGACACUGCCCACAUGAAGAAUAUCCCACCUCCUGCAAACGUUGAGAAUUGAACUACCUCAAAAUCAACCACAGGAAUUAAACUUCGCCAUGUUAAAAUUUUAUCCAUUUUAUAAAACCCCCUUUUCACUGACUGAUACAAACAAAACGAAGUAGACUUACGAGAAUAUCUCCCUAGCCACAGCCAAUACACCUGAUAUAUUCACAUUAAAUAAUGGGAUUACCAUUACCCAGGCACCUUAACUAUUUUGAUUUUAAUACAAUUUUCCAAUCAAAGAAGCUAACUUUGGUGUAUUUUAUAAUCCAUUUUAAUAUUUUAAGACACUUUUCCAAUCAAAGAACUUUUUUGUUUGUUUGUUUGUGGAGAAUCAAAUAAUUGACCUUUGGGCUAGUAAUUGAUGCCUCAUCCACUAAGCUAUACUCAAUUAGCUUUAUAAGAAUAACCUUGUGAUCUUACAUACCAAAGAAGUUAAAAAGAGCAACAGACUGAAAGAAGACAGAUCCCAAAAAGUUUGUUACAGCUUUUUUGGGAAGUUGUAAACUUGUGCUUCAAUGAAAUUACCUUAUAUGGACAACCUGAAAAUAGGUCAAUUAGUUUUGGCAUAUACUAUCGACUGAUGUGAACUCCAAAAAGAAAAGCAAUAUCCUAAUAUGCAAAUACAUUUGUUUUCAAACUAUUGAAUUACUGACAGAUCAACUUUCAAGUUUCUCAUGCAAUUAUCUCAUAAAGAAAGUGACCGUUACAUUGGCUUGAAUAAGUCCUCUAUAUGUUUUUUGAAUUACUGAAUCACAGUUGAUUGACUUUCAAGUUUUUCAUGUAUCAAUUAUGUUAUAAAGAUAGUGACCGUUGCAUUGGUUCGCAUACAUCCUCCACGAAUUUGAUCUCCCUUUGAUUCCUGUGCAGUUUCUCAUGGAGCACAAGAAAUUUUCAAGCUUCUUCCUCACACUUUUGUGGACCCGAGUAAACUUCCAGAAAUUUGUGGGAAGGUGGGUUCCAGGUACCCCUUCAUAUAUCCUAUUCACAAAUAAUUUAACAUAGUUGUCUGUCAUUGAACCAAUUGAUUGUUGUCAAGCAAGUUGAAAAUUCAAAGUUGGUGAUAGGUAAGCCAGCAUCAUUAGAUGAAGGUGUUGGCAGUAUUAUGGGUUCUCCUCCUCAGUCAUAUGCCUAUUAGAAACAUUGGUUACCCAACAUGUUGACUUUUCUUUAAUGGAACUGGGGAAUGCUGUGACUUGAUAAUGUAUUAUAACUUUUCUUAAAAAUCCAUAAUUCACAGUUCUUUCCUUUCUUUACUUGUCUUCACUCUUCCCCAUGCUUGUUGCUUCAUUGUCUAGUAUCUAUAUAAUUUUUCCCUCACAAAUUUUACCCCCAUGAGAAAUAGAUACAAUGAAUAAAUUCUUAAAUAAAAUUGAAAUCAGUUUUAAAAAGACUUGUCAUCUAUUUGUUUGACACGCAUUUGUAGUUCUUAGAAACCUUAAGCUACUUAAAAUUGAAGUUACAUAAAUCAUUGAAAAAAAUGUGAAAUUUGAAUUUCUUAGGACGACAACACCUUAUUUUUAGUGUCUUAAAGAAUUGAACAUCAAAUAUUUAAGAAUUUUAAUUGAUCAUAAUUACUUACUAUAAUUUUUUUGAUAAUUGGAGUAAAUGGCCUAGCUUUACUUUUCAUUAUUAUGUCAUUGGCUAUUUUGACAUAUUGGUUGCAAAAUGAAAAAUAAGGAAUUGAAAUCUACAACUUUUCCAUGUACAUAAUAUGUCUAUAAUCUCCUCUAUGAAUUCAGAUUUGUUUCAGUCUUUGUGGCUAUUCGUUCAUGACGUUAGAUGCUCUCUAUUAUGUUAAACAUCAUAUACCUUCUGCUACAUAGAUGCUUAUUUUCUGAUAUUGACUUUAAUACACUGAUUGGUAAAAUUAGCAUGUAGUGUUUUUAAUGUUUUUAUAAUUUUAUCGAAAAAUAUUCAUCAUUGGAACUUUGAUUUUCUUAGAAAAUAUCUAUCAUCAUUGUCCUCUUCAUUUUAAGGACGUUGAUCAUUUCACCUUUGGCAGUGACACAUUCAGGGAUAAUUUGAAUCAAGCAAGAUUCAAACUGACUUGUGGUUUAUUGCACUGUAUUCCAUGCUAAAGAAAUUUUCAAUGUCACACAAUGUUCAAGCAAUGCUUCUUCAAACUCACUAGCACUUUAACACGUUCUUGUUCUAUCUGGAGGAUGAUUUAUUUUUUUUGAGCUACUUUUAAAUACUUAAUGCUCAACAGUUUUUCUCCUGCUGUUCUUAGAAUGUGGAACUUUGCCAACAUGGAGCAACAAAAAAGAGGGUCUUCCAAGUAUUUGGUUGUGUUGUGAGUUGCCAACACAUGGUUGAGCACAAAGAUUCCACAAAAAAAUAUGAUAGAGUAAGUUUUUGUUCACCUUUUCUUUUGCUUGAGUCAAUUUGUGAUUGGGAUUUUGGAUCUUGAAAUUUUACUAUUUUCUUUUCAAAAUAUAAAAUAUACAAAAUAUCAGUCGCUUUUGCAUGGUAAAAUCAAUUGAUUAGAAAGUGGAUGGAUUGAUCAAAGAAGGGUCAUGUAGUUUCCGGACAAAUUUGCAACACAAAAAUCGUGUACAUACUAUGUAGAAACCACAGGGAUACAGCCACAUCAUUCUUCAAACAUUAGAACAUAAGUGUGGUAUAAUAAAGAAAAUAUGGAAUCGGUUUGUGAAAGUUAUUCAUGAUAUGAUAUGACUCCCCAAUGAUACAUCUGUUACACUUGUUGUAGUUAUAGGCUCUGAUGCUGUGGUAUUAUCAAAAUACCUCUGUUUGAAUCAGAAAGAUGCAAAGUGAGAAGUUUUAUGCCAUGAAUCUACUUUCAGUUGUGGAAAAUUAAUUCUUACGGGUUUUAUGUAGUCUCAUGAUAUAUUGCCAUUUAAAGCCUUUUGGCAUGUCCUUUCCCCAGAUGACUACAUUGCUUUAAGUUCUUACUUCCUGUAUCUAAGUUCAUUUGUGAACAUUCGGGUUUCCUACAAAGUCCCUUGUCUACAAUUGAGUGUUUCAAUGUCUUUGCAUGCCUUUUUCUUUGUAUGGGGUUUUGUGGGAGAAAAUGAACCUAAAUUUCAGUUCUUAUCUUGUUUUUCAGGUUGAUUACUAUGCUCAUCCAGACCAAUAUAGACCUAUAUUCCAUGAAAAGAUAGCUCCGUAUGCUUCUGUUAUUGGUAUGCUUUCUUUUCCUUAUUUCCUUGUUAACUUCAACUGAGACACAUUUACUCACAUCUUUUUGUUUUAACUGUCAUAGUGGAAGUCAGAUAUCUUUACCUUUUCUCAUUUUUUACUUUCUUUUCCAGCUUUCUGGAUCUUACUUGAAUAUAUAACCAUUCACUAUUAAUCUUUAUUCAAGAGACGAUCGGUUAUUUCGUAGCUACAAGCCUGCUGCUUAACUGAAAUUGAAAGGGGUGCAUUUUGCAUUUGCAUUUGCAUUUGCGGGCAACAUCUUUCAUUUCUUUUGUCCUAUAAUAUUUCUAGUCUUGAUGUGGCGUUUGUUUGAAUAUGUGUAUGUGCCCAGGCAUGUAUGCAUGUGAUUUUAUUAUUCCCAUAUCAAGUGUAGGUCGUCCAUUCAUUGUGCAGCCCUAGGUAUAAAAUUUGACGUUAUAUGAUGCAAAUAUUCUCACUUAUAUAAUGAAAAUAAACUUUCAGUGAACAAUUAUAUAAUGCUUCAUUACUGGAUGCUUGUACUGGAAUGAGGCAGGUUUCUGUUGGUUGGAUACAACAGCGCAUACUUAUCUUGCUACAUUUUGCCAAUUUCUUCGCUGUUUUGUAGUAAAUUGCAUGUACUGGGAGGGAAGAUUUCCACGGUUGCUGACCACCGUGCAGUUUCAAGAUCUAAUGAGAAGUGGAUGCCCUCUUGUUGGAAUUUCAGAUAUAACUUGUGAUGUAGGGGGUUCAAUAGAAUUCAUUAAUCAGACAACGUCAAUUGACUCUCCUUUCUUCCGGUACCUAAGAUUAUUAUCCAUGGAUGCAGAGUCUUUAGACAAUCACUCCCUCUCUAUCCCCUCUUAUUGUUAUCGUUAAUUUUAUUUAAUAAAUUCCAUAUUGCUUGAGGGUCCUAGAAAUUUGGUUGGCUUUCUGUUGUGGAUACUUCAGCGUCAUCGUUUUAUGUGCUUGAACGUGUAAAAAAAUGUGCACCUUUCAGAUAUGAUCAUAUUAGUGAUUUGUACCACCAUGAUUUGGAAGGCAAUGGUGUGAUAUGUUCAGCUGUUGACAUUCUUCCAACAGAGUUUGCCAAAGAGGUGAAUGGAACAUUUCUCUUUUCUGGGUAUUUAUUCCAUUGAGUUUUUUGUUUUUGUUUUUUUUGUGGUGGGGUUGGAGGGUGGGGGGAAGUAAAACAUGAAUACUUAAUUUAAUUGAUAAACUACUUUUAGUGUCUGUAACAAAUAUCAUAAUGUGCUCCCCCUCACCCUCUCCUCCUAUCCCCCAAGAGUUAUACCAUUUUAACUCAACUUUUAGAUUUUAACAUACAUAGUAUGUGACUGCAAAGAGGGAUAUUUUACUUUUUUUAUGAAUUUUUAAUACUCUUUGUUUAACAAUUUCUUUUAUUUUUGAAAGGCCUCCCAGCAUUUUGGAGACAUCCUAUCGACAUUUGUUGGCAGUCUUGCCUCUGUGGUUGACAUUUUAGAGUUACCCAUGCAUUUGAGGAGAGCCUGUAUAGCUCAUAGAGGGGCACUAACCUCCUUGUUUGAGUAUAUUCCACGUAUGCGGAAGUCUGAAUCUGAGUAUGCUUCUGUAUUCACCACCUUGCUAUUUCAUUUUGAGUUUUGUGUGUGCUCAUCUUCAGUUCACUCUAUAGUUGUGUGGUUCCUAGAUGACCAUGUGGAUUCUCUUGAAGUUGAUGUUGAAACUCAGUAUUUAAUGAACUUGACCAUACACAUGUCUAGAAAAAUUGUCCAAGAGCCUGAGAAGGCAUUUGACAUAUAAGUAUAACAGUGCAUCUUGAGCGCUUGUUUUCCCUUUUACAUAGGCAUCUAAAGAUUGUACUUGGCUACUAACGUAUAACUACUUUUUAAGAUCAUGUUUUAAUGGCUAAUGCUAUGCUUUAUCCUUUCCUUUAAUAACUGAAACUAUUUGAUGUAGAACUCGGGUAUUGUGGUCAAAUCCUUAAUUUAUUAUGAUUAGGAUUAGGAUUAGUUUAUUUGAUUUAUUAGGAUUAGAAUUAGUUUCUUUUAUUAUUUAGGAUUAGGAUUAAGUUUCUUUUAUUAUUUAGGAUUAGGUAGGAUUAGUUGACUUCUGCUAAGUUUCAUUUAUUAAUUAGGAUAAGGAUUAGGAUUAGUUUGCUUUUGCUAUAAGUAGUGUAGUUGUCUUCUUGUAUUCACAACUUGAAAACAUUAAUAAAAUUCUCUCAUUUGAGUUACAUCACUAUUAUUCUUAACCUUCAGAGAAUCUUCUGUGGAUAUUGCCAAUGGCCACUCCAACAAAAUGUUCAAUAUACAGGUAGGUUGCUGAAGAGUGUAUAUUAGAUAUUGUUUCUCAGGUUUGCCCAUAACCCACAAAUUUAAAUUCUAACUUUAUUUGUUCUUCUAGGUGUCUCUGAGUGGCCAUUUGUUUGAUCAAUUUCUAAUAAAUGAGGCCUUAGAUAUUAUUGAAUCAGCUGGUGGCUCAUUUCACUUGGUUCACUGUCAAGUGGGCCAAAAUGCAAAUGCUAUGUCACACUCAGACCUUGAAGUAAGCAGGCUCCCAACCCAGUUUAGUGUGUCAUAUUUAAUUUUUUUUCCUUUCGAAAUCCUCAUUUGAGGUCAAGCAGUACUAAUGCCUGUAUCUCUUUUUUUUUUAACUAACUGUAUCUCAUUUCUUAGAGUUCUUUGAUUGAAUUGAACUGGAUGUUUUCUCCUUAUUUCGAUAAAAAGGGGUUUAUACUUGCUGGAAUCAAAUUCUUGUAAAGUAUGUAUCAAUUAAAGAUCCAGGAUAUGCUGCAUUUGGAUUAUAUUGGUGUCUCUGUUAGUAGUUCUUAAUGUUUUUUUCAGGUGCUCAGGGAAAAAACAUUGUUUUGAAAGUAUACAAUUGCAAUUUAUUCAUCAAUUUGUAUUCUUACUCUUAAAGCCCUCGUUUGCCAUUCAAAUUUAUUAUUUUGUGUGAUCUUCCAGUCUGAUAAACCAUUUUUCCCCUUUGGAACUGUAAUCAGUUGGAUAAGUUUCCUCCAUGCCUAUGCAGACGUUAAUUUGAUUCAUGUUUCCUUAAGUGAUCAUCCUACUUUUGGCAGAUUGGUGCUGAUGAUGUAGUGAUUUUGGAUAAUAUCAUUCAGUCUCUAAGUCGGAUGGCUAAUCCACAAGAAAAUCUUGAUCUCGUAAAUAAUGAGACAAACAAGAUUUUUCUUAAGGUUGGUAAGAUUCAAGAGAGUGGCUUUAAAAGUGAAGAUGUAAAAAGGAAGACUGCUGUUCUACUUCUUGGAGCUGGCCGGGUUUGUUAUCCAGCUGUUGACCUCCUAGCAUCAAGUGGGAAUUCAUGUUGUCAGUUCUGGCGAACUUUUCUUGAACAGUAUGCUGAAGACUGGAAUGAUAUUGAAGUAAUCGUUGCUUCUCUCUACCUAAAGGAUGCAAAAGAGGUAAAAACUUCUAUAAUUGCAUUUAACCAAUGUUACUACUAGAAUAUUAUGGCUUGACACUGCAUGGUAAGAGUAACAGGAUCGGACAAAUGGGCUUUGUGAAAAAUGUGCACGCUCCCCUACUUUGAUAGGGCACUGUUCAUUUCAUGCAUAUCAUACAAUUUAGCUUACGUGCAUUUGAUCUGUCUUUGAAUACUAUUCUAGAUAACUGAAGGCAUCGCUAAUGCAACAGCAGUUCAGCUUGAUAUUUCGGAUUCUGAGAAACUUUUUAUGUAUAUCUCACAGGUACGCACUUUCACAUUUUCUCUUAAAAAUAUGCUUUACCGUGAGAAAUAUUUUCAACGAAUAAAAAAUAAAAAAUAAAAAAUGCAUACAUGUUGAUUUAUGCUAUAAGCAGUGAGUUGCAGCAACUUGCCAUUCAUCAGUUUUUGUUUGUCUGACUCGUUUUCAGGUUGAAGUUGUUAUAAGUCUGCUUCCACCAAGUUGCCAUCUUACUGUAGCAAAUGCAUGUAUUGAGGUACUAUAUAGUGUUAAAGCAUAUGAUUUUUUAUAUAAUAUACUUCUUUCUUUUCAUCCAGGAACCUUUUUUUUGCUACAUAGCGUUAAAUGAUAUAGUUUUCAGCUCAUAUCUUUGAGUUUAUUAUAUUUGAUGAGCAUUGGAGAAGAAGGUUGAGUUCAACAAUAUCAUGUGGGUGGGGGGAUUUGAACUUGUCAUCUUUUGACCGAUAAUAUAUGUCUUAAUCAGUUAAGCUAUACAUGACAAUGUUUGAUGAAGUUAAGGAAUUAAAUUAUGUAAAAAUGUCAACCUAGAUUUUUUUUCUUUGAAUAUUUAUUUUAUUAUUUUGUUUUUUUUACGUAAUUUAAGAAAUUCAAAGAUGUUUCAAUCUUUUUGUGGAUAAUAAGUUCAGAUUUUUGUACUUUUGAAGUUUGCACCACAUGAAAUUAGAAAAAAUAAAAUUAUUUAAAAAUGUUUGUGCAAGACAUCAAUAAGGAAAGAGUAUAUCCUUUACAAGGAUCAUUGGCAGUAGGGAGUUGAACCCAAGGAAGGGAGAGUUUAUGUUACAAGAAACUACUAGAAAGUGUAAUGCAUACGACAACAAUUGUUGGAUUAAGGGUCAUGGAUUAAAUGCUUCAAUUGUAAGUGGGGGAUUUGGGUGUGGAAUUGUCUGGGAUUUUCUAACCUCUCUAUUUAAUCAAUGGAAAGCCUGAGGUUCUUUUUUUUUUUUUUUUUUUUAAAAUGAAUAGUGUCACUAGUGUAACUCAAAUGAGAGAAUUUUAUUAAUAUUUUGGAGUUGUGAAUACAAGAAGUAUUUAUAGCAAAAUUAAACUAAUCUUAAUCCUAAUUAAUAAAAGAAACUAAUCCUAAUCCUAAUUAAUAAAAAAAACUUAAUCCUAAUGCUAAAUAAUAAAAGAAACUAAUUCUAAUCCUAAUAAAUCAAAGAAAUUAUUCCUAAUCCUAAUCCUAAUAAAUUUUAGGAUUUUACCAUAAUACCAAUACCCUAUUCCUACUACAUCAGUCAUUCAGGCAAACAAUCCUUCUCUUCAACUCAUUUUAUUUUGUAAUGAUUGGUGUUUUUGAGAUGGAUAGAGGUUUUUGGGUUUUAGGGUGAGGAAGGAGAGAGUUCACAAUCACAUCAACUGUAAUUGGCUAUCUAUGCUGUUUUCUCGUGCUUCAGAGUCCAAGAAUCUGAAUAUUGGGUAAAAUGUCAAGAGAGUUCUAUUUGUAAGGAUAAUUGCUAGUUGUUAUUAUUUAACUUUAAAUUUGAUCUUGUCUUAUAAGGAAGAAUUGUGCUUUUGUUUCUGAUCUUAGACAUGAAGAAACUAUUCAUUGUACUCUUUUUUUUCUUUUUUUUUUUUUCUGUAUUCUAAUUUAGACAUAAUUUCUUUUGUUUGCAGCUUAGGAAGCAUCUAGUCACUGCUAGCUACAUUAAUGAUACCAUGACAUUGCUCGAUGAAAAGGCAAGGAAUGCUGGUAUAACAAUUCUUGGGGAGAUGGGUCUGGAUCCUGGAAUAGGUAGUCUAAACCUUUUCUUCUAGAUUAUCUUAACGGCCAAUGCUAUUGAAACAUGGCCUCGCCAUGUAAUCUUUGGAAUUGGACUAAGUUUUGCUGGCUAAUCUAGAUUUUAAAAUUACAUACUUCUAUGGUUAUAGAACAGUUAGAGUAGAUAGAAUUCUGGUACAAUAUCAUUCUUCUUUCAUUGACUGACAAUUUUCUUUCAUGUACCCUUUAACAUUUGGUUAUAGAAGAUUCUGCGGCAUAUGAAUCAUUAAACAUAGAUAACAAUACAUCCCUGACAACCAUGCUUACUUUUGCAGCAGCUCUUGACUUCUACCUUCCAAAGAGUAACAUCUCUUAGACUUUAAUGUGGAGGCCCUCCAAUAACAAUACUAUUUGUCCUACAAAGAACCGUGGAAAAUGGAUUUCCAAGAAAAUUAACUUUCAUUCAAAUUGCUUAUUACAUUACUUGUAUACCUUCUUCAUUAAUCUUUUCUUAUUGCAUUAAAUUUCUUUGAUAUGUAAACUUCUCUACUUGAUACACAUGAUGAUGUAAUCAGCAUGCAUCUGUUAAUUAACUAUAAUUUUUAUAAGUAGAACUUCAUAAUGCAGAUUAGAGAAGAUAAAAAAGAAAAGAAACAUCUAGUCUAAAUCAGUUAUUGCGUAAGCUGGGUACUAGUUUUUUUUUUAAAACGAAACCCCUCUUUUUUUCUUUUUCUUCUUUUUUUUAAAGAAAGACCAGAAAAACCAUGCAAGUGUUGACUUUUCAAAAGGUGAAGCGUGGAAAGGGAUAUGUCUCUGAUAAAAUCACAUCUGAAUCAUAGUUUGUGUAAAAUUAAGUAGGCAGACUACUAAGAUAGAAAAAGACUUCUAUUCUGUAGUUCACUAUGUCAGUAGUCCACAAGUUUAAAAAAAUCAGUGGGGCAGAGCUGCAAAAUGAGUAGCAGAUUUAUUAAUUUCUUAAAGGCCUUUGACUUCGUGAUAUGAGAUAAUAUUUUUAUGUAACUUUUUUUUUAAAUUUAUUUGUCCCUCACAAUUUGUGCUUUUAUGGACCGGGCUUCAGAUCAUAUGUUAGCAAUGAAGAUGAUCAAUGAGUCACAUCUCCAAAAUAGGAUAGUGAAGUCCUUUAUAUCAUACUGUGGGGGAAUUCCGUCUCCAGAAUCAGCAAACAAUCCAUUAGCAUAUAAAUUCAGGUACUUCUUUGAACGAUCUGUCCUAAUUAAUUAUGAACUUUGAUGACAUUUUUCCAGAAUUAAAUUUUAAACAGUGUUGAUAUUUUUAAGAAACUCUCCAAUACCAAAUAUUCUACGACUAAUCGUUGUGAAAAUGGGUCAUUUCUCAGUGUCACUUAUUUUAUAUCUAUUCAAUGCAUCAUCAAAUCUUAUGGAACUUCAGUAACAUAUCUUACUUUUUGAAAUAUGUCAGUUGGAAUCCUGCUGGGGCUAUUCGAGCUGGAAGCAAUCCAGCUACAUACAGAUACGAAGGAAAAACAGUAAAAGUUGAAGGUAAGCUGUCGACACUUCGCAAAAAUUGAGUCAACGAGCAUAUGUUGACUCUCACUGUAUUUAUCAUUUUCUUGCUUUCAAGAAAAUAUGCCUUGUGUUAAUGGAGUAUACAACUUACGAGCUUUGAAUACUUUAGUUUAGAUAUUUAACAGUCUAACUCGUGAAAUUUUUUGUAUUCUGUUCAAAGUUAUAGUGUUAAGAAGAUAUAUUAGCAGUAAACCUAACAUUUUUCUUAUUAAUACUUCUUGAUAAAAUAAUUUACUCGACCUUUUCAAACUGGCAGGAAAGGAUCUUUAUGACUCUGCUGUGAGACUACGCUUACCUGACCUUCCAGCUUUUGCUUUGGAGUGCAUUCCAAAUAGAAAUUCCUUAAUUUAUGGGGACGUAUAUGGCAUUGGGCAGGAGGCAUCAACCAUAUUUCGUGGAACCCUACGCUACGAAGGCAUGUUCUCUCAUAGCUUUUAAACAUGUUUUCUUGAAGAGACUAAAAACCUAGAUUGACAUAUCUUGAGGAAAUCUGGUUAACUAUGAAAGCUAAGCUGAGUGUAACCAUAAAUCUUGAGAAAAUCUGGUUAAGUAUGAGACACAGGUCUAUAUGAAAAACAGCUGUUACAUUUUCCAUGCUUUUGAGGACAGUGGAGGAGAAAGUUGCAAUCAGUAGCUUUACUUAGUUUUGUGUGAUAAGCUCUUUAUUAGCAAGUCACACUUAGGUUUUUCUUGUUUUCAACUUCAGAAAUUAUGUUUUUGUAACUCAUUUAUUGUUAAUAUGUAUAGGUUUUAGCAAAGUGAUGGGAACCCUGGCAAGAAUUGGAUUUCUAGACACGGAAGUUCAUUCCUUUCUUAGGAAUGGGAGACCACUGUUUCGAGAUUUCUUGCUUGAGCUUCUCAAAAUUAAGGGAGUCUCAAGUGGCUCCACGAUUGGAGAGAAGGCCAUCAGCGAGAGCAUUAUUUCUAGUGGACUGUGUAAGGAGCAAGAAACUGCUGUAAGAGUAGCCAAAACAAUCAUGUACGCAGCUCUUGUGAUUCCUUUUCUAUUCAGAUUCUAUUUUCUGCAUUAGGGGCUAACAAUGAAAAUGGAUCUACCCUUUGCAUGGAUCAGAUUCUUAGGAUUUCAUGAGCCAACAGAGAUUCCUUCAUCUUGCCAAAGUGCAUUUGAUGUUACCUGUUACAGAAUGGAAGAAAGGUUAGCCUACUCAAAAAAUGAGCAGGUACACUUUUCUCUUUUCCCUGUUAAUCUUCAUUUGUUACUAUGUGAAUUUUUCAUCACAAAGUAUAAUAACAACACAUUUACCAAUAUUUAGUUCAUUUCUUACGAUGAUCAGGAUAUGGUACUUCUACAUCAUGAAAUACAAGUAGCAACACCAGAUGGUCAACAUACUGAAAGUCGCAAGGCCACGUUACUAGAUUUCGGGACGACUAAGAAUGGAAAGAGCACCAGUGCAAUGGCUCUUACUGUUGGUAUUCCAGCAGCUAUUGGAGCUUUGGUAAUGAGACCUAUACUUGUUUUUGUACCACAAUCUUGAUUAAAGCUUCAACUUUGAUUAAUGUUGCUACAAUUUGUCAAUGCAGCUUUUACUGACAAACAAAAUCAAGACUCGUGGUGUUUUAAGGCCCAUUGAAUCUGAAGUUUAUAUUCCAGGUUAGAGCUACCAUAUCACUUUCUAAUAUUUUGGGUUUAAAUUUCUUAAAUCGUUAAUCAUGAAAUGCAUGGAAAAUAAGCAUUUUGAGUCUUUUACAAUGUAAAAUAUGGUUAGGUUGAUGCAACUUCAACAUAACACAAUACUAACGUCCCACUAUUUGGUUUUUAAAAGUUUGAUCCAUCUUCUUUCUACUAUAGAGUUAGAAUUCUUGUCAAACUCUAAAAAUAAAAACAAGUAUUUAAAAACUAUUUUUUUUCAAUUUUCAAAACACAGUUGACAUUUUAAAAUGUUGCUAAAAAGCAUAAAUACUUCAUAAGAAUUUAGAGGUGAAAGAUUUGUUUGUAAGCUUAACCUUCAAAAGCUAAAAGUACAAAAACCAAAUGAUUAUCAAACGAAAUAAGUAUUUAAUAGGAGAUUUUCCAAGGCCAAUAGGGCCAGUCAAGGUCAGCAACCCAUGAAGUUGACUAAGAAAUUCGCUUUUUGUCAAUCGAGCUGACUCGAUCUAUGGUGAAGGGUUGUAUCCAAAUUAUCCAAAUUAAGUUCCUUGUUCAAUUACUUUAAAUCAAACUUACAAUUCAUAGAAAUUAUUGAACUUUCUAACCUAUUUUUUCCUUUUUUUUUCUUUUGGUGUUGCUGCAGCCUUGGAUCUUUUACAAGCAUAUGGUUUCAAACUAACAGAGAAGGUUGAAUCCUAGCUUUGGUUCUUUCCCACAUUAAUAAAGGGUACAAUCAACUAGGAAAGUGAUAUAGUAAUAAAUAACUAAAGUUCUACUAUGGUAACAUGUAAAUCUAUAAUCAUCUUUAUCUAAUACUCAAAAAACAACCCUUAAAAAUUAUUUAUAUAUGGCCGUUACACUAGAAUCUCAUUGGAAAAUUUUGAUCUCUAGCAAUUGUAACGAUAAAAUCCAUUAAUAGAGUCCUCUGUAGUUGGAACUCAUUUCAUGUAAUCUCUUCAAACUAAAGCUUUAGAGGAAUUUCUAUGAUGGGGUUGGAGUUUUGGAGUCGUGGAUUUUCAUGACGAGGCAGAAUUUUACAUUCUAUAUAAAUUUAGCACAAAAAGAACAAUGAGUGGCAAGUAAUUAUCUCCUUUUCACUUUGCUUAUCCAGUUGAUUGACUCCUUUUAUUGCACUCGUGUUUCACAUUAAAAACUUGAAAAAUAAGUGUUAAAGGAUAUGCAAUCUUUUAAGAAAUAUCUGUGGGCAGUAGUUUCGAACCAUUAGAUCUUUGUACCGUAACUGAGUAUACUUUUUCGAUAUCUUUCAAAUUAUCAUUGAUGCAUUAUAUUUUCAAAUACACAUGAUGAUGCAUAAUAUAUUUAACCAACAAAAUUCCAAAGAGGAAAGGUUAAAUACCAUAUGAAAUCAAACUGCUGUAUUUUGGUAAAUACUUUUAAAAAUAACAAUAGUUUAAUUACUAAUCCGCUCAAAAUCCUAUAUACUUAAUUAACACAUCUAAUGAGCAACUUACUAUCUUUAUGAAGGCAUUAAGAAAACAUUGAUUCUUCUCUUUGCAAGUUGGGCAUGUGGGGAUCCCAUACUCCAACUUGAGGGGAAAAUGUCUAUUUUCAUUUUCUAUAUAUUCUCUUUAUUUAUCUUCGACUGUACUUCAGGUUUUCAAAAAUAAUAAGUUGUAUAUAUUUACAUAUCAUGCUUAAUGAUAAAUAAAAAGAUUUCUCCACCUCGUGAAUUUUAUAUAAUAGAAGACACUCAAACUGCUUAAUCUAAAUAUGAAUUACAUUUAUAUUACAUUAUAAAUUCAACCCUUUACGGGUCAUCAAACACUCCCCAAGUGUUUAAAGGUAUGUAAUGAUAUGUUCCAUAACUUUGGGUCCUAGCUCAAAAGAAGGAAUGAUUUCUUAUUUAUCAUAUUUUACUUGUCUCCACCCGUACAGUUUAUUUAUGUGAUAAGUUACUAUUUUACUAUAUUUAUAAAUAAAUAGCUUUGUACACAAAAUAAUAAUAACAAUCAUAAACUUUGAGCUGAUCGAGACAAAAUGAGAGAGAGAUUAUGUUAUUUUGUUAGAAAAUUAAGGAAAUUAAAUUAUGGGAUAAUGAAAGUUGGGUUUAAUGCUAACCCCAUAAACAAUUACAUCAAUAUUCCUACAACCUCCACCAACCACCAAAAUCCCACAUUUCAUGUUUUUAAAUAAAGCAGCCACUUGUUAAAAUAUAUAUUCAACUUCUAUUUGCUAAACCCUAAGAGGGAAGAACACAUGAGGCUAAUUGUUUCUCUACUUCUUCCCAAUUAUGAACUUUAGUUACCAAAGGAGGCAGAUCCCCACACUCAGUCUUGCACCAUGGAUAUGAAUUCUCAUAGUCAAAAAGUAGAACUCGAAUCCCCGCUUCAGCGCAUUCGAUUGCGUAUCUUGGGUUGUCGUCAAUUAGCACACUUGCUCCAAAGGACCUGCCGGUGUGAUCGUCCAUGACAACCAAAAAAAUUGAAAACCAACACAUCAGUGAAUGUUGUUUUACUUAAACAGAAUAUUCGAUUACAGCGUGUGCUUAAAUGAGAAAAUAAAUUAUAGAUGUGUAGGAUUCGUUGCCAUACUUGCAUAUUUCUGCCUUUGAUCUGGAUUCUCCAUCUAGAGCAAAGUGAUUUCCAAAGUGAAUCUCCUGAAACAGCCCUUGGUAGUGCUUCUCGAUCCACUCUAGCGUGUGUUCUUUAAUUGCAUUUUGUCGAGACCUAAAAUUAGUUCAAAUGAGAUCAGUUCAUCUAUUGGAAGGCAGCUUCUACCGUAUACAAUUGAUCCAAUGUAGUUAUACAUACGUUACAACUGAUAGGUGACAAAAUCUCGAUAACUUGAGGAGCGUGCUCUGUGCUCCGGGUAUAGGCCAGAUUCCUGUCUUGAAAUAUGGUGUCUUGAAGAACUCAUGAACUCGAAUAUUGGCUGGAAAGAAGAGAAACAAGAGCGUAAAGAUAAAUCAAUCCUGAGUUCUCCAAGCAUAAAAACCACAUAGCUUAUUUCAGAGACUAUAAGGUUUGCUCAAGAAGUGAAAAUCUACAAAAGAAGUAUCAGCUGGGAAAUACGUUAAAAUUAGAAGUGUACAAUUUGGAGGCUGAAAUUUUGUAGAUCCCAAGAUUAACUAACAAACAUAAGAUCAAAAACCUUUCCCAUCAACACACAAUGGGAGACUUCGUACCAUUGUUUUCAAAGAGCAAGGCGCACCCCAAGGCGGGUCCCUUGUAUCGCUUAAAAACAAAAGGCUUUGAGCUCCCCAUAACAAACAAAAUUCAUUUCCAUCAACCUUCGAAAGUGUAUCAUUUAAACAGUUUCAGAUUCCUUUUCGAACUGCAAAUCAUUCAUUUCAUACCUUCAGUCAAAGAGACCGCAAUAGAGAAAAUGUUUUGAGACAAUUUCUCAAAACAUUAGAUUGUAGUGUUUUCUAAAAGCACAAAUUCAAUAGACAAGAUUAGAAAAAAGAGCACUCAUACUUCGAACAUAAUGAUAACAUGAUCCCAAACCAUUUUGCUUUCAAAAUUGUUACUAAAAAAAUCAGUAAUUUUCCUAUGAAUGUUCUUUCAAGAUCAAGAACAAAUUACAAUAUAUUAUUUUGGAACACAUACGCGCACACACACAAAUUCUUAGUAAGAAAGUGCACACAAACUGGCCUUAAUACUCAAAUACAUUAUAAAAAUGCUGGAAUCAAGUAUUCAACUAAGAAAAGAUCAUAAAAUCGACCAUUUCACCAUUAUGCUUCCUAUUACAAAAUCUGGUGUCAGCAAACCUACAAUUUCAGACUCAUUCAACAUGCAAAGCUUGGAAAUAGUAAAAAGAAAUAUUUUUAAAAAGAGAAUAAAUAUCUCCACAUGCAACCAUCAAUGAGUCAACUCAGGAAAAAUAAUAUAUAACUAAAAAGCCAUCUUGAUUCUUAUCAAAAAGAAAAAAAGAAAGAAAAAAAGCCAUCUUGAUACAGAUGACAAGUGACUAAAAGUCAAUCCCAAAAAAUUGUACCUUCAUCACGAGAGCACUUCCAUAUCUGAAACAGAAACGAAAGUCUAAGUCAAACUGAUGCAAACUAGAUGUUUCCCAGACAUCAAUCUAUAAUCAAAAGGAAAUCCCAAAAAUUAAGACAAAGAAACAUAACCAUACCCUGAAGAAUUCAUAGACAUGAUACUCUGAAACUGAAUGAUUUGAAGAAUAACGAUCAGCAACAAACUUGUUAAGAGCCGAGACAAAGUUUCCCAAAACUACACAACAAAAAGAAACAAGCAUUCGAUCAGAGUACAAGAGACAAAACAUGAGCGACAGUUAAUUAGCAUAAACCAAAAUUUCAUCUCAAAUCAAGUACAGUCUAGAAAUAAGUAGCCAUUUUAUUCCUAGCACAUGGAAUGAUCAUGCAAAGUCAUUAGCUAAUGUUAGUGUUACUCAAAUCUAAUUAUCUAAGUCGUCAAUGAAUAAAUAUAUUAAUUAAUUAAUCUAAGUCAACAGUUCCCAUGGAUUUAGUAAUUAUAUAAGUUUCAGUUGGAUUUUUCCUCUCUGUCACAUGACAUCAAACCCACUUGUAAACAGAGAAUUCGGAGGACGAAGAAGGAGGAGGAGGAGGAGGAGAAGAAGAAACAGCUCUACAGUAGAGAAAGCCAGAGAAACAAGAAAUCAAAAUCCAAGGAAGGAGAUGAAAGAAAAGCACAAACCCUCAUCGAUGUCAACAGCAACAACAAGUUUAUCCCUGGAAGAUAUUUCAUGGAACGUUAAAGGAUUUCCCCAUUUGGGCUCCUCAUGAACAGAAGAAGAAAAUCUACGAUCAAUUCCAUCAACUAAAUUAUCAACACUGUUAAGCAGCUGUGGACGACGAGCAAGUGUUGGACCCUUAGCAUUGAACCCAAACGAGCCGUUACUGUAAUUAUCUUGGGGAGAUUGAGCACAAGCUUUAAGACUAAAUCCAGUGCAUCUAUUUCCUGAAAACCCACGAAGAACAAGCUCUCCAGUAAUGGGUAAUCCACAACAUCGUUCAAAUAGCAAUUGUUGAGGAGCACGAUGCGGUUGCAUAUCAAAAUGAGAUAAUCGAAGAUUUUGCGUCAUGGAGUAAGCUGCCAUUAAAGGAAAUCGAGCAUAGUACAGUAUUUGAUUGAAGGAGCGUCGACAAUUUAACAUAAAUUUCUUCAAUGACGAAUCGAAUGGAAUGGAAUCGAAUCUCACAUUUCUCCACCGCCACAAUAACAAUAAACAAUUAGAAACAUAUGGUAAACCCUAAAACAACAAAAACAAAAUAAUAAUAAUAAUUAACAAUUUAAACUAUAACAAAAAAAAUAAACGACAAAUCACCAAUGAAAUUAAACGACGACAAUCACUCAGCCUGGAAAUCACGCGCAGAAAUCCACAUACAGCUCAAUCAAAAUCAAGCAAAAGAAUCAAAACAAUAACUAAUGAUUCGAUAUGCAAAAGGUAAAAACGAACCUGAAUCGAGUAGCAAUGAAGCUGGAGAAAGUGUUGAAUGACAAUAAUCAAUCAAAAACUAAGAACCCCGAUUGGGGAAUGAAGCUGAAAUCGGAAAAAUCCGGGGUUGAGAUUGUUGAGCAGAAACAGUGAAUUGUUUCCCUUAUAUAAAAAAAGGUGGUGAAUGAAGAAACCGAAUAGGAAAAGGAAUAGAAUUUGAAGAAAUUCAAAAUCAAGGCGUGGGUUCAGUCCCCACAACCAAAAAGUUGAUGAAUUUAUUGAAAGUUCCAUUCGAAAAAUCGGGGAUUUUGAUCCUUUGUUCUUUCUGCUCAAUGAUUUGAAAUCUCAUUUUUCAUGAACAAAACGAAGGAAAUCCCAAAUAUAAAAAAUUAAAAAUAAAAAUAAAAAUAAAAUAAAAUGUAUAAAUUUAUACAAAAAGAAUGUAAGGUUUGUUUAUGUUUUCUAAAUUCUAACAAUAUCUAAAUUUCAAAUUGUCUAAUAUAUUAGUAGAUAAUACAAUAUGUUUUAGUUCAUCAACCUCGAUAUUUUAUUAUAGAUUUUGUAUCAUAAAACUAGUUUUCUCCUUUUUCAAAUUUUCCUAAAAUGUUAAAAUUUUCUCGAGUUUUGCCAUACACACAUUAAAUUUUCCUUAGUUAAAUUAAAUCUAAUUUUCCUUAGUUAAAUUAAAUCUAUACUAUCAAGUACUAAAAAUAUAAUUGGUAAACUAUGUAACUUUAUCGAACAUCAAUCAAAUGUUUUAAAAACCGCUAAUUCUACUCAAAUUUAAUUUGUAUUAUAGUCUUAUCAACUUAACUUAAUUAUGGAACAUAUAAAUUAGAAUGAAAUAUUAUAGAAGAAACAUUAAUUGAAAAAUAGGCGUAAAUCUCACUUUUCAAUUUUCUCAUAAAAAAGAUUAGUUACAAUCUAGUAGAUGUGGAUCUAAUAUUUACAAACAGAAAAAACCCAAAACAAUCCAUACCAUCUAUUUUUUUUUUUUUUUUAGUUUUUUUUUUUUAAAAAUUUUUUAAUUAAUUCAAUAAUUUUAGAAAAAUAUUGUUUUUAAUUUAUUUUAAAAAUUAAUUUUAAUUAAAUAUUAAUUGUGAUUAGAAAAAUAUUGUUUUUAAUUUAUUUUAAAUAUUAAUUCUUCUUUUAUUAGUUUUCACCUUUUCAAAUAUUUUAUUUUAAAACUAAUGUACCUAUAUCUAAAAUAUUUAUGAUAAAAUCGAGUUAAAUAAAUCUCUAAAAAAUCUAAUUUUAUUAAAUUUAUAAAAAAAAAUCAAAUCAAAUCAUUUAAUAUUAAAUUAAAUAAUUUUAAAUCUUUAAAUAACCUAAAAAAAAUGUAUAAUAUUUUUUUUAAGUAUUUAAUGUUUGAGUGUAUAAGAAUUUUCUUUAAAAAAAUCAAUUUAAUGACGAUAUUUAAUUUUUUCUCUUUUUCUUUUUUAUUUUUAUAUCUUUGAUUGAUCCAUUAUAAUUUUUAUCAUUUUUGUUGCUCUAUAAAACAACAAUUCUCUAAUUUAGAAAGAGGAAAAAAAAACAUAAUGUUUAAGAAAACUGAGAAUGUUGAUGAAAAACAGUAAUGUAUUUUUUGAAUUAUAUCAAUGAUAGUCUUCUAUUAUGAUGGUAGCAUAUAUUAAUGACUAUCAGAAUUUGUUAUAGGUUGUAAGUAUUUUGUAAAAUUUGUUAUUUUUAAAAAAUUUCCUACUCUAAAAACAAGCAUGAAAAUUUAUUGAGAUUUAUAAAUUUGAAAGUAUAAGGACUAAAGUAGAUACCAAAAAUUUAAAGACUAAAUAGUUACAAACUUGAAAGUACAAAAACUAAAUUGUUACAUCAAACAUCAUACUAAAUCUACUAAAUCGUUACAAAUAAAAAACUAAACUAAAUUGUUAUUUUAGAAAAGUUUAGGGACCAAAAAGUGUUGUUCAAAUUAAAAUUAAUUUUUAAAAUAUAUAUUAUUUAUUUUUAAAGUUUGCACUGUUUUCCUAUCUUGAUUUUGUUCCAAAAGUUCUAUCUAAAACCAUAUUUGAAUUAUUUAUAAAAGUUUAAGGUAUUAUGGUUACUUUUGAAAGUACGCGCAUGUUUUAAAAAUGUCCAACUAUAUAUUUUAUAAUUUAAUUAUAAAAUUUAGAGAAAAAUAUAACGAUCGAGAUGAAUAUAUUAUACAACUUAGUGUAGUUCAUCUAUUAACAUAAAUGUUAUUUAUCGAUAUGAAAUAUGUCUUUUUUAUUUCAAAAUUAAAAGUUGGAGUUUUCACCUAAAAGCAUCUACCCAUGAAAUGCUCCAGGAAAAGCACUCAAUUGUAAUAAUAUAAAACUAAAAAUUUGUUAUGUCAUUUCAAAUUGAUCACCAUAUAAAUAUUCUCCAUGUUUUUGUAGUGCAUGAAUUUGUUUUACAUUGUAAUAGCAUAUUACAUUGAUAACUCGCAUGAUGCCGAUUUGUAUUUGAUAAGACCUUAAAAAAAGCUCGCAAUCACUUAGAGGUUCAAAUUUCUAUAUGUUUCAAGAAAAUUGUAAUUUAUUCUAAAUUUUAAAAAAAAUUAUAAUUUCACUUGAGUGGUAAAUAGGAGUAUCUGAUUCUUUGGUUGAGAAUGUUAAGAUCUAUUUCGAUUGAUUAAUAAAAAAAUGUUUUUUAAUCAAACUAUUACAUAAGGGAAAUUAUAAAAAAUGGCAAAUUCAAUAAAAUAUUUUCAGGAGUAAAAUUUCAGAUUUUAUUAAUAAUAAACAUUAAUAGACACUGAUAUGCUUCUAUAAAUGGUAUUGAUAGAUAGUGGUAGAAGUCUCACAGUUUCUAUCACUAAUAAAAUCCAAAAUUUUACUAUAACUUGUAAAUAUUUUAAUUAUUUUUGCUAUUUUUAAAAAUGUUCAAAUUUAUAAUUUUUUUAAAAGUGUUUCAAAACAUAUUUUCGAGUGAUUGUCAAACAUUUUAAUAUUUUCGAAAAAUUAGAGCAAAUGUAUUAUUGCUAUAUGUCAAUUGGGGUAAGUUUCAACAAAUAACCUCACAUGAUUAAAGUAGUUGAACAUUGUGUGUGAUGUAAUGUUAUAUAUAUAUAGAUAUAUAUAUGAAAAUUCAACCCCAUGCAAUUUAACAUUGACCAUCCAAAAGAAAUGCUUUAGUUUAUGAGAAUUUAUUCUACGGUAACAAAUGGAUGAAGAUGAAAAGAGAGGGACAAUCGAAGUGGAUUACUCACACACCGACUUAGUUUUGAUGCACCAUCUACUUUGUAAUUGCCUUUGAAAGAUUGUUAGAGAAUAUUAGAAUGUGUUAUUUGAUUGUAUGUACAAAAAUAUUUUAUCUACUUUAUCAUUUUUAACUAUUCUCUCAAAAUUACCAAACACUAUUUUAUUUCAACUCUCGUAAUUACGACUACUUUUUUAUAAGAUAUUGUAACUAAAGUGUGGAAGGAGAAUUGAGUCUAUUUGGUCGAGAAGAUAGUACAAACACUACAUCAAUAUUAGUUGAACUACGAUCACGUCUGAUGGAUGGAUAAAUACAACUUGUUCAAAUUAUGAUCCAAUUUUUGAGUGUGGUACUAAGCACAUGGAAAGGUACAAAGUAAAACUAUGCUUCCAAUUUUGGAUACAAACCCAAAAACAACUUUAUAAGUGGUUAACCAAUGGGGGAAUUGGUGAGAGAUCAUGUCAACACAAAAAUGGGAAAAGUUACAACUUCUUUAAUUAGCAACAAUAUCCAUUGAAUCUGAGGAUAGAACUUUCAGCUUAUCUUUGCUUCAUUCAUUCAUUAAUUCAUUCAUUAUCAUUCCAUCAACAAACUUUUUAACUUUCAUGGGAAGUGCCAAAGUGUAAUCCAUUCAACUUCAUGAUUUCUUUCUUUCUUUUGGAUAAGAUGGUUUAGGUUUAUCUAUUCAAUUCAAUCCAUCUUUUUUUUAUUAGUAAUAUUUGAAAAUAUUGUUGUUGUUUUCUUUACGUGGAUAAGAAAUACGAGAAUGUCGAACUAAUAAAUUGUUGUACCAUGACGAACCACUAUCUAAAAGCAAUUACGACCGACCUUGAUGUUAAUUAACACAACUUCAUUAUUCUGACAUUCACUCGUCAGAACAAGGAAUAGGAAACAAAAAUGAAAGACUGAGGUUACCCAAACUUGUCCAACCAAUCAGAUGCGCAACGCAAGUGUAUGGUGAUAGAGUUAUGCUGUCACCACCAACAUAUUUUAUAUCUCACGCAUACAUUUCUUUGGUAUCUGUACUCACUCAUCUCUUCUAAAACUAUCAGUGUGGGACAAGGAAAAUUAACUUUGUUGAUGGGCCUUAAAGGACAGUUGCAAUGCAAGUAUAAAAUUUAGAUUGAAUGUAUUAGCAAAUAUAGCAACAUUUAAAAAAAAAAUUAUAACUAUAUAGCAAAAUUUGUCAAAGUCUAUCAAUGUUAUCAUAUUGAUCUAUAGUCAAUAUAACUCUUCAAUGAUCAAUAUAUAUGCACCUUUUUGUAAUUUUACUUUUGAUUAUUGUUAAUAGAAUUUUACUAGAUAAAAGUUUUAAAUCUAAAACCUAAUAAUAAUAAUAAAAAAAUGUGUAAAAAAGAGCAAAUUUGACCAAAUAUUUACAAGCUAUAGCAAGUGACAUUUUGUUAUUUUUAAUUUGCUAUCACUUAUAGAUAUUUUAAUUUAUUUUAUUCUCUAUAAAAAAAAGUUAUUCUUCAACUGUUAGAUUUUUUUUUACAAAUAUGAAAAUAGUCUUAUUUUUAUUUAAAAAAACGUGAAAUAUCUUCCUCAUCUUUAGAAUCAUUUAUCAAUAUCUUUUAAUAAGGAGUCAAAAGAUCUUUUUUAAAUAUCUCAUAUUUAGGAAUAUUUGAUUAUAAGUUUAUAAGUUCAUCUUUGACUCUUUAAAAAGAUGAAGUUCUAUGAAAGUAAAAUUAUUCUUCACAACUGUGUUCAACCGUUUAUAUUUUUGUAAAAGUUGUAUCAACACUCUCAUCACUUCCACUCCAUUCUUUCUCCCAUUCAAAUCCAAAUAUAUCCUCCCUUCUUCCACUCUCCACCCCACCUAUUUGUUGGGCUCCGCCAUCAUGAUGCACUUUGGCGAGACACUCUUCCUGGCCAUCCAUUUGCUUCUCUGAGUAGUAAACUUGGAUGAUUUUUAAGAAUAUGGUUUAAGAGUAGAUAACAAAACAAAGAAAAAGAAAGUCAAUCAUGUCAAGAACUCCACCAUCAAACCAAUGUUGCAGAAAGAUCAAAGAGCAAAAGCCCCGUCUCUGUGGUUACCUCAGAAACCCUUUUCUUAAUUAAGAACUUUGUUAACUCCCCAAAUGCAAGAAAAGUAGCUAAUGAUUGUGGAACUUCUUUUCCAAAUUGCUGAACAACCAUCCAUUUCAUAAUUGCUUGCUUGGUUGUGUGUGUGUUUCUUAUCAUCAGUCCUUUUAUGUUCUAUGUUCUUCUUGUGUGUAAACUGCUAUGUUUUCUGUUUGUGUUUUGUUGAAUAAUAAUAUGGUAGUCAUUCACGUGUAAAUUUAAAUUUGAGAAAAAGUGAACCUGCAAAGCAAAAAAAAGGGACUCCCAUGCCUAAGUCAGUAAGAGAAUUAUAGAAUAAAUUCGAAACUCUUAGCGACCUUAUGUAGAACCAUAAUGGUGUAUUUAUACCUGCAAAACAAGGAAAAAGGUUCUGAUGCCUAAGUCAGUACAAGAAUUAUAUAACAGAGAAUAGUUUAGAAGUUCUCAUGUACCUUGUAUGUAACGGGAAUGGUGUAUUUAUAAGAGAUUUAAUAUAAAAUUUAUGUUUGUCCAACUAGAAUAUAUGUGAACCAGCGAUGAUAGUGAUCUUGAUUCUUGUAGAGAUACAACCAGCGAUGGAAGCAUUGGCUACGAUUUAGGAAAAAAGUUUUACUUUUCUAGAGAACAGUGGGAUCAUCAACCAUUUAACUUGUGGAAACAUGCUGGAAAACGUCUUUAAUGGAUUAAUGUAAAAGAUUUUUCCUAAAUCAUAGUCAAUGCUUCCAUCACUGUGCUCACAAGUCAGCCUACCAAAUAAAAAGAAACAAAGAAUGAGCCAACUUCUGGGGAAAACCAAUGUUCUCGUACGUUAAGAAUGGUAGGAAAAGUUCUUGAUCAUCACAUCUAAAAAGAAACCCACAGUAGAGUAGAAGAUAAGUCUUGGUAAAAUGACUCUCACACUCACAGUUCAUUAAACACAUAUAUAUUCCACUCAACCUGGAAAUCACGCACAGAAAUCCACAUACAAAAAGAAUUCAUACUCAUGAGGGUUAACAUAUUCCACUCGAAGGUCAAGUACCUGCAUGGCGUGAGAAUCUGAUGUCAAUGUAGCAGCUUCCCCAUAUAUUUGGAUACCAGACAAAUAUGGAACGUAAUAUUGAACACAACAGUCACCUUCAUGAGUACCAAAGGAACUCCAGCGCCAUAUGCACUCCACUCCUUGAAAGAUUCCCACAGAUCAUGCAGAAUGAAAUAAAGUUGAAACUCGAUAUCACAAGUCCUCCUAUCCCUCAUAGUUCUCUGGAAACAAAGAAAAUAUCAUCGUCAAAAAUUAAGAUUUCCCAAGAAAAACAGAAACAAAUAACUCUCAGACGGGAUUAUUUACUUAGAGGUCAAAGACUUGUAGAUGCAGAAAAGGCCAUGCAGACCAUUAAAGGGCCACAAGAAACGGAACCAUUCAAGGUUGUACGUAAUCAACUUUCUUUGAUUCUAAGCAUUGACCUCAAAGAAGUACUGUGCUGGAACUGAAGGCCUUGUGUGUUCCAAGAAUCAACUUUACUCAAUGGGCUCUCGAUUUCAUCGGUCUUGGUAGGAUUCCUUGACGGGUUUUGGUGAUUAUAAUUCUUUGCCCCUUACCGGAAUAUAAAACCAGUCUUCACCUUUGAUUCCCCCAAACUGCAACGGAAUUCCCAACAUUUCUAUAUGCCAAAAGGAAGAACUCUCCGUUCAGUAUCAAUGGAAAAACAGAGAGGAAAGGAAAUCUCAAAGAUUAUAAAGGAAAACGGUAAAAAGAAUUCAAGAAGAUUACUCGGUGCAAUGCAGAGGAAAAUGGGGAUUUAAACAUAAUUUUUCUUUUUUUUUUAUAUCAAUAUAUAUUUGAAAUUUCUUAUUUUUAUUUUAUAUUUAUAUUAUAUAAUGGGAUAUAGAAUAUUUGGUUAAUGGUGUGACAUUGUAACGAACAAAAGUUUCUUUCUCGGUUCUAUAAGAAUUUUCUUUACGAGAGACUGAAGUGUAUCUUUUGAAACUUCGUAAACCAAAUAGACAUAACUUCAAAUCAUAAAGUGUAUUGUAGGCUUAAAUAAAUAUUCCAUAAAAAGUGAGUUGAGUUUAUAUUGAAUUGUUUAUAAGUUUUUAAUAAACAUUGAGAUAUAUCCCUUAAUCUUACGAACUUGUUUUGAUAUUUAGGUUUAAAAUUUCAAUGAUGUUAUUUAAAGUAUUUGGAAACAUUUCGCAAUUUCAUCACAUAUUUUAUGGAUUCGUUAAGUCGGUUUAAGGGAUAGUGGACAAUGUUUUUCGCUACCAAUUUUGUGUUAGGACGUUGUACAAAGGUCACGACUAUGUUUUAUAGAUCAAAGAGUUAUCAAUAAAUGAGUGUAGCUAUAUACUCUUUGGUAUAUUCACUAUAUUACACCGUGUAUAACUCACAUGUUAUUAUAGAUGUUAGUAUAUUUAAAUUGGAUGUUGCUAGUCUUAGUUUUUAUAUACUCAAUCGAAUACUAAGAUAUAUUUACAACAUUACAACAUAUUUUUAUUAUAUUACAAUUACAACAUAUAAUAUACGUGUAGUUUAAGUAUUAUUCUAUACUUUAUUUUUAUAUUCCAUAAUUUUCAAUAUAUGAAGUUUAGAUGUUAUUAUUCGUGUCAUUAUGUAUAUUUAAUAGAUACUACGGUAUAAUUUAUAAUAUAUGUAAUCAUACCUAGUAUAUAUUUAAACAAUGGUUUGUGAUUUUUCAACAUAUUUUAUGUAUAUUUUAAUAUUUAAGACAAUCUUACAUAAUCAUAAGUACAAAAUUUGAAAGGGACUGAUAUAUUUGGUUGAAUGUUCGUCGUUUAGGACAAAAAAUAGUUAUGAGAUUUUGGUGAAUAUUGUCUUCAAUAUCUUUCACGUCGUUUUAAUUAUCCUUCAAAAAAACAAAAAUUGGUCAAUCCAAUAUAGAGAUCCAUAUGACAUUUGGAUCAAACUUUUUAAAAAUAUUAGCUUAGUGGAAUUGGACCUAUUAAAAUAAGUUAAUAGGGUAACCUCCCUCCGAAAAACAAACCACUCUAAGUAUGAAGAAAUAAAAAUAAAAGAAGUCCAACAUGAUUAUAAUGAACAAUUUACAAUUUUAGGUGUGUUCAAAAAAAAUUGAUGGCUCCAAAAAUCUAAUCAACCCAACCAAACUCUUACAUUUUAGACGAGUUAUCAACUCAACUCCUUAUAAUUAUAUGUACAUAUAUUUGUUUUAAUUUCAUUCUCCAACUACCCUUAAAAACAAAAAAUUUCACCAUUUGGAAAGAGAGUCAAAAUUGGAUAAUUAAUCAUACAUAAAAAUAAUUAAAUAAAAUUUUACCUAUUAUUAACAUUUGUUAAAGAAAAUUGGGUUUAUUCUUAUUUAAUAUUUUCCAUAUUUGUAUGUUUCCAUUAUUAGUAUUUUUGUCUAUAUUUAUGUAGUUUAUUAUGUACAUUUUUUUAUAUUUAUUCAAUAUAGUAUAUAAAAUAACGAACAUUAAACUCAUUUUUAAAACAAAAGGUUAAAUAAACUACCCAAAUAACUUGAAUCAACCCAAUCGCUAUUCAAUAAAUUCGAAACUUACCAUUCGUCCGAUGUAAAAAGAUGUUCAACCCAACCACACUGGCACCCUAGACUAACCAACUCAAAGAUAAAAUAAAAUAAGAUCACAUAUCACAAACUUACACAGAUCAAACUUUGCAACUCAGUUCUCAAAAGUCAAAGGAAGCACAAAAACAAAUAUAAAAGCUAAAGAGACAAAGUGACAUUCAAAUAUCUCUCUGCCUAUUUUGUUUUAGAAAGUAAAUACAGCUUUUCAACUAAGCUUCCAUCCAGCCUCUCAAACACCGCUCACUACAGAGAGCAUCUAAAAGGAUAAAUUAAUUUAAAGAUUUAUGGUUUAUAUAAUUACUUAGAAGUAAAGCCACCAGUGCAGAGAUUAUGGAAGUAUUUACUGGAAAAAGAUGGUUAAGUCAUCUCUUCAUUUGUUCAUUGUCCUUCCAUCUUCUCUCGUAUUUUAUAUUGCAAAGAAGCUGGAGCACAAUCCAUUGGUGUCUCUCCUGUGGCAAUGGCAACAAUGAAUCAUUAUGCAAGGUGUAAGAAACCAAACUGAAUUGGUUCGAUUUUCUGUUAUAAUUCGAAUUGAUUCGAGCUGAACUAGGUUUUCUUAAAAACUAACCCUCACCCCUAGUCUCAGCUUUUUUUCUUAGGUAAUCACAAAAUGUUGUACCCUAAUUUAGUCCUCCUCUCUUGUACUUGUGUAAGUCUACAAAUCGCAAAAAACUCUAAAUAAGAGAGAUCCUCUCCUUUUCAUAGCUCUCUAAUUGUGCUCACUUCUAAGUGAAAGUCCACUGUUUGGUUUUGUAAGUUUUGAAAUUUGUGUUUGUUUUCUCACCGUUCUUUACACUGAAAUUUUCUUUCAUCUCUUUUAAGGUAAGAUUUGAUUUCUAGAUUCCAAAAAACAAAAAUAUGUUCUCAAAAACUACUUUUUCUCAGUUUUCAAACUUUGCAUGAAUUUAAAAAAAACAACCGAUAGAACAGAUAUUGUUGAAGGUUAUACAUGAUUUUAGAAGAAAAAUAUGGUUAGAAAGUGGAUAACAAAACAAAGAAACUCACAGACUAUUUGUAAGCUUAGUUUUUCAAAAGCCAAAGGGAAAAUAUAGGAGAGUUCUUAGAUAUUUCACAUCCCUAAACUUAAAAUUCUAGCAAACUUAUUGCCUGAUCUUAUCUUUAAGAAUCUUACAUCCAAGCUUUAACUCAGUCACAAACAUCGGCCAAAGGUUUUUUUUCUUUUUUUCAAGAUGGUGAAUGAAUAAUACCUUAGUAAUAUAAAAAGUUAAUCGUGAGUUAAGAUCUUUAAUUUCUAGAGAGAAGCUAACCAUAAUUUAACAGCUUUCACACACCACCAGAACAUUAUACUCACUGUAGUCACACGGAAACUAGCUAUGCUUAUUCCUAUUCUUUGGUUUUUAAUCGCCUAGCUUGAAGAAAGAGAAAAUGAUAACUGAUAACUGAUGAGCAAGGGUUGUUUGAAAUUUGUUUCUUGGAACAGCCUCUGCCUUUUAGAAUGAAACUUUGCAGAAGAAACAUUUGAAUAAUUGAAUGAGACAUUCCUUUUUUGAAAAAUAAAAACAGUAAUUUCAAUGCACAUAAUAAUAUUAUGAAGAAGAAAAACAAUAAAAUACAAAAACAAAAGCUGUUAUCAAGACAGUUUUUUUAAACACUCAAAAUUCUCAAAGACCCACCUUAAGUAUAAAUGGAUAGAAAAGUUAAAACACUCAGUUUAUGCUCGAUACUAUUAUCAAGAUCCAGUAACAUUGAUAAGUAGUUACCUUGAGCAUUUUUGUAGUCCAGGCUAGCCCCGCCUUCAAUGAGGGCAAAAACAAUAUCGGUCUGAUUAAAGACCGCCGCCUACAUCCAAAUAAAUAUUAAUCCUGAUGUUAUACCUCUAAACUGAAAUGAAUGCCAUGUUUUCCUGGGUGGGGUGAAGAAAGAGAGAUUUUAUACCACAUGCAGCAAAGACAGUCCUUGUUUAUCGUGAUAAUUUGCAUCUACACCCUGCCAACAUGAGAAGAGUCAAUAAUUCCAUUACAUAUUUUGAUUUUUAUAAAAGCAUUUAGUAAGUACCUCGCUCAAAAGUUUCUUAACAGCAAUCGUGUCACCAUUCUUGACUGCUUCCCUUAGCCCCUGCAAGAACAUGAAAUUCUAAAGAUGAAGCGGAACUUCAAAGCCUUUGACAGUCAUCAAAGGAAUAUUAAGAUGAUACAGACUAUAUACCUCGCCACUUGCUUCAUAAUUAAUUCUCGAUUCAUCAGCAAGAUUCCUGUUUAAUGAUAUGAGUUACAACUGCAGAUUAAAAUCGGACUUAUCCUUCAAAUUCAAUAAUACUAACAGUGAUAAAGAGGGUAAUAAAAUAUCUAAACAGGCUCAAUCCUAUCAGAAAAAAACAAACUCCAGAUAACAGACCGAAGCUUGCUGUUGGAGGUAGAUGCUCUAUUCCUUAGAUUGGAGUCAGUUUUCUUUGGUUUUGAAUUGUACUGAGUAGAGGUAGAAGCUGUUUUUUUCUGCCAUGAGAACAAUCAAGUUUCAUCAGGGGAGGGCUGAUGCAUGAGGAGCACUAGAAAUUACUGAAUAUUAAAACCUGCGAAGAUACUGCUUCUGUUUCCAUAGGCUGGGCUGGAGUUUCACAAAUGCAUAAUGGCAUUCCACACUUGCAAUCUGGAAUUCCCAACGCAGGUUGAUGCUCCACAGCUGGUUUAGGCUCAGAAGUUAGAUCCCCAUCAAGGUUCAAUUGAGAAACUGCAUCUCCUACUUGAUCAACUACAGCUAACGAUGGCGGUUGACCAACUCCUUUAGAUCUGUAAUAAAGUAGAUUCAAUAAAUUUACACUAGUUUUUGUUUAUAUGAUGAAGAUAAUUUUUACAUUAAAGUUUAAAUACUGAAAGAUAAUUUUUUAAAAAGCUGAACUCUAUAGAUGUAAUCCUAUAUGGCAUAGAUGCUAAAUACUAGGUUCAAUCUUUGCCUAAAAUUGAGAGCUCAAAAGGAUGCCUCAGAGACCAAGUAUUAGGAGGAAACAAGGGAAGGCAAGAGCUUCCAAAAUCUGUAUAUGAUUUUUUAUAAUUAAAUCCAAGAAGAAUGUGCUGAAAGCUGAUGUAAGAAAUUUAAUGCUUCAUCCCACACAAGCAUCAGCCUUCAGAUCACUCAUCAAUAUCCAACUACCUCAACAUUGGUGGUUUUGAAUGACGUUAAGCUUUAAAGACUGUUCAAAGAAGGUUUUAGAAUGUUGGUUCCAGUCACACUAAUUCACACAGGAGCAGAAAAUUCUCAUUGUCAAUGAGAUUGGAAACCCACUAAAAAUUUCAAUGGUUUCUUCACAUGAAAGCUAAAAAUAAGAAAUGGAAUAAAAAACAAAGGUGCAAACUUCAUGAACAAGCACGCACUAGUGUAAGCCCCUUCUUCAACAGAAACAAGGACCACAGAUUCUAACUUGUCCUGAAUAUCUAUUAACAAGCUCCAAAUUUUCAAAAGUUCGAAACUAUCUCGCUGAUGAUUCUAACCGUCUUCUUUCAAGUAUCUUUAUAGGAAAAAUAAUAUAGAACUUGAAACUAAUAACAUGAAAUUUCAUGUUCGAAGCUGCAAAAGACUUCGCAUAAGGAAAGAAAAAUGUGACAGAGCGUAUGAUCAAAUUUAAACAUGACUUACUGUGAGGAGUUAUUAAAACAGUCAGCACAAACUCUAACAGAGGAAUGAAUACCAAACUGCGGCAAGGCCUGAAUUUCACACAAACAAGAACACACAAUAUACCAAUCAGAUCACAAUAAAUUCCCCAUUAAACCAAUCAAUCAACGAGAAAGAGAAAGAGAAAAAGAAAAAGAAGAAUACCAUUUGAAAAGAAGAAUGCUCAUUACACAACGUCCUUCCACAGCAUCGGCAAUGAUGCUGCAAACAAAGAUUCCAACAAAAAAAAAAAAAAACGCAGAACAAAUCUAAUCUCAGCUCAAAAGUCAAAAGACUCAAAACAGAAUCAAAAUCGAUCAUAUACGCAGUAGCUCAAUCUGAAUCAUCUGAAAGAAGUUGAUUAUAUUAUAGAGGAAACAGAAAUUCGGUACCCGUCGCCGGAAGGUAUUGAAACUACAUUUGCAGACAUCGCAGCGUGCUGCUUCUUGGAAAGGAGGCGGGUCCACCGACAUUAUUGUGAAAAUCCGCCGAUUGCACGAUUGUCCGAUUGGUUUAAUUGAUGGUUUCAGAUAAUUUUGAGGGAGAGGAACCACCGUGGUGGGCAGAGGAGGUGCGGGGAUCUCCUCCGAGUUCCGAGCUGAGGAAGAAAGUGGCAGCGGAACUUGGGAACUCCGACUGCGAAAUAUUACAAUAAAUAAAAAGAAAAAGGAAAUAGACGUCUUAUCCAAAUUAACAAUAAUUCCAAAGGAUUCUUUUAUUAAAGAAGAAAAAAACUACCAUUCUAUCUAUAUCGAUACACUAUCUCAUACAAAUACACAUACUCUAUAUCGGUUAUGGUAUUUUAUUAUAUUUGUAAAAUUUGUCUUUCUUUUGCUAUAUACAUUGUGUACAUAUAUUUGUACUUUUUAAUUUAAAUUCUGAAUUUUGAGUUUGUAUUAAUUUAUUAAAUUAAUAAAUUUAUUGAUUUAAAUUGAUUUUUUUUAAUUUUUAUUUAAAAGUUUAAAUGGAUGAAUUUAUAAUUUAAGAGUCUAGUUAGUACUUGUAAAAAAAGAGUUUAAUUCAUAUAGAUUGGUACUCUUUGUGAAUAGUUUCAAAUUUAAAAAUAUUCAUUUAUCUAUGGAUAGGAUGAAGGAUGUCAAAAUUGUAGUGUUAGUUAAUCCAAUAAGUAUUGUUCAUAUUUUCUUUAUGAAAAAAAAGGAGAUUAUAUAUAUAUAUACUUACCAUCCCCCUCUUAUCUCAACAGAUAUUACGACCAUGUUUAGCUUCACCCUAUUUUGAAAAGCAACCAAAAUUUUAAAGAAAAAAUAGUGUUCAAAUUUCCCUAGAAUUUCAAAGAAAAAAUAGUGUUCAAAUUUCCCUAGAAUUUCAAGGAUUUAUUUAAUAAAUCAUGAUUAGAAAUUUGAAAAUAACAAAACAAAAUUAAAGUAUUUAUAAGAUUCUAUAGUUGAUAACUCAAUUAUAAAAAAAUAUUAGUGACAAAAUUUGUUGUGGCGUGUAAAUAUUUUGUCAAAUUUGCUAUUGUUGACAAUUAAUUUAUAAUUAAAAUAAAUUCUUCAUUGACUUAAAAUUUUGAAAACAUUUGUAAAAGUAAAUAAUAAAACAAAGAAAGUAGAGAUGCUUUUAAGAGUGAUUUUAAAAUCGUUAAUCUAUUUUACCAAAUAUAAAAUUACUUUAAAAAAAAACUUUCUAAUCACUCAAAAUCAAUUCAUGUUCUAAUAGUAUGUUUUUAUGUUUUUAAACAUGACUUUCGAUUUUUGAAUGAUUAAAGAAAACCUCCAAGACUACUAUCACCCACCAAAAAGAAAAUUUUCAAGGGCUAACACAAACCUUUUUAACAUUCAACAUCUAAUAAUCUACCCACCUGAAUAGUGAAGAACAAAGUUGAAGGUACACCUAAAACUCCAACCAAAAUACAAAAAGAGUUAUACAAAGACAAGAACAUAUCCGAAUGACUAUCACAAGAAAUGGCUCCAGUAAGCCGCCAACAGUUUUUCAAACAUCAUACAUUCUAAGAGUGAGGAGCCAAAAACGUUUAUUUUUAAAAACUUCAACGUAUUACAUUCAGUGUGAGCUUCGCAAAAUUCCAUGCAUGUAACCUCCAGUCAUUAUAAAGGACACGAGAGAUACGAUACCGGCUGGAAAUAUCUUGCCCGAAUUCUUGAAACGAGAUCCCAUUACUACCAAUAGUGAAGCAGAAAGGCCUGUAGAUUAAGAAUAUAAUCAAGCUUAUGUUUUGAUUAAAUUAGGAAACUAAUUUAACUGGCACUUCUUUUUCUCCCUAGAUUUGGACGGAUCAUAUGAUAUGCUCUUCUUGAGACUUCUUAAAACGAUGACCAUUCUAAUAUAUUAGUGUGCAAAAGGAAAUAUUAUAGCGAAACUAAACUUUUUUUUUUUUUUGUAUAAACUACGCUUUACAAAAAAAUUCCAUCCACUGCUUCGAUCCAAAAUCCUACAAAAUGGCUAAAAACUGAAAAGCAGAGCAAAAUGUAUAACCAAAGUCCUACUCCCAAAGAAUGUAAUCCGUAACCUCCGUCAUUCUCUUAUUCAAGAUACAACAUAAGGAAAGGAGCCCAUCAAUGGACCUCAAAAUGUUUAUAAGAUACAUGAGCUACUACUCUCAUUACCAUUUGAUUUAUUGAUGAACCUAAUGUUAUCUAAUUGAAUGUCAUAGCCCAUGAAGCCGAAACGGACAUUCAGUCCAAACACAUACAUUGGGAUUUGAUCCAAGAAUGAUUAACCCUCAAAUAGGGCACCAUCUUAAAGGGUAUGUUGAGGAUCCCACAUUAGAAAAAUCAAGAGAUCUUACAAUGUUUAUAAAAUACAUGAGCUACUCUCUCAUUUCCAAUUGGUUUGGAGAUGGAAUUUCAUGUUAUCUAAUAGUUAAACAAGAAAAAAUAAAACAAACUUAAAGAAAACCUUCAAAAUGAUGAGGACUCCAAAUAUAAAUAAUGCUUCUCCCUAGCCAACAUACCACAUACGAACUUCCAAAGCAUCAAUAGAAGAUUAAUAUAUUCAAUGUUUUCUAUCAAACAAACAACACUCAAACAAAGAGUACAGUUCACAACUCCUAUUUCCAUACUCCUCUUCCAAACUUAUUGGUGUUCCUUCGGGAACAUCCGGAUGUUAAAAUUGGAAUGAUACCUUGAAGGAAUAAGAAGAAGAUGAGUCUAUUCUCCCAGAAAAAUGCUCUCCCAUCUCCAAUGGGGCUACAAACAACAAAAGAAGAGAACAAAAACUACUUUGCAACACUUCCCAAGGGUUUCUGGAUGUGCCUUUGACUUGAGCUCCACUUAAAAUGGGAUAGCCCAAAUUUAUUUACUCCACAAGAAACUGGACCCCAUAUGGAACCACAACAACCGUUGGCCAACAGGGCCUUGUUGAGGAGUAACUUGGUUAUAAAAAAGAAAUGUUAGGGACACAAGGAAAAGAGGUACCAUAUUGGUGGAUUGUUCAAUCGGAGGGAGAGAUAUGGACCCUCAAAAGGCUAUUUAUACUGUAAUUUCUCAAUAUAAUGCAAUAUAUUUCUUUCUAUCUUUGUGAUACUUGUGUUUUCUUUAUCUUUGGUUUCCGUAUCCAAACAGUUCACUAAUUUGAGAGCCAAGCAAUUGUGUUUCUUCCCCAAAAAAAUGCCAACAGCACAACUUUUAAUAUAAAAACAGUAGAUAAGAAGAGUGAACUGCGAACACAAUCAGCAUCAAGUGUACGCUGAAAACCUCAGAAUUUAGAAAUAGCUUGGACCAUAUAUCCAUCAUGUAGAUCCACAUUCAAGACUUACAAAAGGAAGUUAGUGAGUAGUGCAAGGCUUUUUAAUGAAGAAAAAUUGAAAAAUAAUUAGAUUUCCAAGACAACUCUGCUAUAUCCAGCUUUGAUUAUGUCAGUUCUGGUUCCAAUCCCACUCGAUAAUAAAUUGAUGCCAAAAGAAAACACCAUAGUAUCCACUUGUGCAGUUAGUUUCCAAUAAUUAUUUUCUAAAUUCUGAAUCCCUUUUCAAGAAUGAAUGCUCUGCUACCAGUUUGCUGGGAAUCAGAGUAUUGUAUAGGAUAACUAAAAUAAGUUGAUACAAAAUGUCAGUACAAUCAGAUGUGACUCAAGAAAACUGGACUACAACCUAAGGGAAGACUAACACGGAUCUCUCAAUAUUCUCCUUAUGUUUCAAUGUUUCAUCCCCACUGCUUUCCCUUGGGUUCACAGUCACUGCCACUAACAAAUCCCACAACUAACGCUUAGAAAACUAUAGCAAAUGCAUAUAACUAGUCUUUAUACUUACUAACCUAGACGUUUAACCAAAUCUAAUCCAAAGGAGAGGGAAGAAAGUGCUAUUUCAUAGCUAGAAAUAGCGUAUACAUCCUAAAAUGAUGUGUAUCAUCCCAUUGUUCCUAAUCAGGAUUCAAAAUUUUGAAGUUCCAGAUAAGACGGUGUGUAUCUACUAAGUAACAACAAGAGUUAAUAGCAAUUCAACUAUAUGAUUAGGAAACCUAUGCUAAUUAAAGUAAUUGAAGUCCUUCGAUAUUCAUUUGGCUUUUGUUCUUGGAUUUUUAAAGUUAUGUUUGUUUUCUCGCAAUUUAUUACGUUAUUCUUCAUCUAACAUCUGAAUUUUUAGCCAAAUGUCAAAAUUCGUCAUGCAUUUUGAAAACAUGGCUAAAAGGUAGAUAACAAAGCAAAGAAACUCAAACAUGAAGCACUAUUUAUGAGCUUAAUUUUCCAAAUCCAAAUGGUUGUAAGACGAAACUAGUUAAAAAAUACACAGUCGAUUCCUUACCAAGACCCAAGGACGAUGCAAGAACGGGGUUGUUGGGGAGAAGUUUAAAGACAACAAGCAACAGUGAGGCUGAGACUCCCCCUGCCAUUAGUGACUUUUGGCUACCACCUUUCAAAUAUCCCAUUAAGCCACCAACUGCAAGUGAAAAAAAAAAAGGAUUGAAUCAACAUUGCAAUCAAAAACAUAAUUACAAUUACAUUUCGCAUAAACUAAUAAUUCGAAUCUUCGUUAAGGACCUCCUACUAGUGCAGCAUAUCCCAGAGUUAACUUCUGCGACAUUGACAAAGCUUUCUUCCGGCUGUCAGCAUUAGAUUCCUCUCCCUCCCCACUAUUCCCACCAUUAUCGCCUCUACCACCGUUACCUCCACCGCUACCACCUCCUCCAAUCCCUUUAUCGGAAGAAUCACCGCCAGUGGUGUCUGGAUAAAUGUCAAUGUCUUCAUUUUUGGAGUCGGUUGCACGGAUAGCAGAUACUACCGUCUUACAAUCAAAGGAAAUUCCUAUAGAAAACGUGAAAUAUAACAUUAAACCUAGAUUACUAUCCAAAAAGUAUAAAACGGGAAUCGAAUGAUGCUGUUAGAAACUCGAUUGUUUACCUCUACCGAUUGUGGAUUGAAAUUGAAGGCGUUUAACGGAAAAAUUGUUGGUCCUGAGAGCUCCACCAAGUCGUGGCCGGAAAACUAAAGACGCCUGAGAUACUCCGGCUAAAACCUCCGCCAUAUUGCUUCUUGCUCCCGAAUCCUUUUUGUAAACCUCCAAAUGGGUUAUUGAUUGUCGAAUGUGUAUUGUUGAGUCAAAAUUAAAAGUUCGUAUACCAUUUUAGAUAUUUUAAAUGUUAAAAAAAUAUACUUCUACCUUUACCUCUCAUUACUCGUUUCAAACGUCGAGUCAUCAAAUGUCAAGUUAUCGAGAGUGAGAUCGAGUAUAGAGACAAGCAAGAAACAUGUCGAGAUGAUGUAAUUAGAAGCUAAACUUCGAGGUUUAUAGUAGAAAUGGUGCUAUAAUCAUAUUGUAUUCAUACAUAUUCUAAUUAUUUUAAAUUUUAUAAUAGAUUCAUGUAAAUUAGGUAUGAGUGAUUUGUAUGGAUGGUCUUUAUUUGAAGAUCUAAAUGAAAAAUGACUCAUAUUUAAAGAGAAUGAAAAAUGACAUUUUUCUUGUGUAAGUAUUUUUCUUGUGCUUCUAGUUGAGAAGGCUAAUCGAUAGUUGAUGCACGACACUCGAUGUUGCUCAAUACUUGAUGUUCUAUUUUGUGUCUUAUGUUACAUGUUCUAUGUUAUAUACUAGAUUCUUGAACAUCGAUACUUAAGACUUGUUCCUUGUUACUCGAUACUCAAUACUAAAUACUAGGUACUAGAUAUUAGAUACACGUUGCUCGAUGUUCAAUGCUCAAGACUUGAUUCUCUACACUUUAUUUAUGUUACAUGCUUGAUCCUUGAUGCUCGAUACUUAGAGAAACACUAAGGAGAAAAAAAAGUAGAAAUGUAGAAGAGAAAAAAUGCAAACAACAAUCUAGAAAAGGGACCUAAAAGAGAAAAAAGAAGAAGAAGAAUACACUUAGAAGAAAAUGAAGAAAAAAAGUUGGAAAAUGAAGAAAAAAAAGAGGAAGAAUGCAUUUAAGGUUAAAAUUAUAAUUUUAUGCCGUGACGACAUAAGCAUAAAAUCAUCUUUUAUUGGUUUAAAAAAGUACAGUUUUAUUUUUUUCAUUUUGAACUUUUAUUUUAGAUCAUCGGUGCAAAUUUUCUCUUGUGGAUAUAAUUAUAUAAUUAGAGAGAUAUUCAUUUCAAUAAUUUCAAAUAUGAAAAAAUCACUUUUUUCAGUUAAACUAUUAUUAAGUAUGGAAUGAAACCGUGAACUUUUGAAUGUUAUUAAUGUCUUAUCUCAUGACUUAUGCUUAAAAUGAUACAAAGACUUACCUUAUUUCAAUCACCUUUUGCAAAGUGGUUGUAUUACUAUUUUAAGAUUCCAUGUUUGUUUACCAAUUGUGAUAUCGAAAAGAAUUUGAUCCUUAGACGUUUUCUCUCUAGUUUUCUAUUAAAGUACUUCCUUCCUUUUGUUUCUAUGUAAUAUGUGUGAGCUUUGGUUGUUCUCACAUUUGUUCUACACUCAUCAAAAGACUUGGGGUGUUAAGUCUAAUUAUCUUUAACAAAAAAAGUAGAGUUGAUUGAGGAAAAAAGACAACGAAAACCUCACGACUUAGUUUGUCGUUUUAAAGUUUUAGUUUUUUAUUAUAAUUUUAUUUAAUGUUAUACCUCGUGGCUUGCUUUUAUUAAAUGUAUUUCAAUUAUUAAUCUAGAUUGAUCAUCUAGAAUAUUAUAUGAAAGUUGAGUAUACCACCAAACAGUUUAAGUAGAAAUCGAUUUUCAUAAAAAAAAAACAAUCUAAUAAAUGUUAAAUGGAUUGUUUUUUAAUAUUUAAAAAUUAAUCUAUAACAAACAAAUUUUAUCACCAAACAAUAAUUUUAAAUUCGAUAUAAAAAUUGUGUUCUUAGUUCCCAUUGCAUGAAAGGUCACAUUUAACAUAUAAGCAUUUUUUAAUCUCUUUUUUUUUUAAUUAAAAACAAUCAUUUACGUUGUUACAUUCAAUUUUAUACUUGCAUUGAAGACUAAAAGUUUUUUUUUUUCACCUAUUCAUCAAUCAAUUCAAAAGUUCGAUUCUCCAUCUCAAUUUGAUCGCUCUAGUACAACAUCUUGUAUCUCUUUUUUUUUCUUUUGAGGGAGACUUGUGCAUGGUAGCAGCUUCAUCUAAAGAAGCAAAUAUUUGUGAAUUUAUAACCAAUAUAUAUUGUGAAAACACUCUUCAACUUGCAACCAAAAUAGAUAUACCAUAACAAUUUCAACAACUCAUACAAUCAAUGACAAACACUUUACUAACAUAACUAAAUAAGACAUACAUACCCAUACGAAAGGUAAGUGGUUCGAAGUUUCAUCUCCAUAAAUUGUUGAACUCAAUCCAAAAAUAAUUAUUGGGAUGAAAGCAGAAAGGCUGGAAAUGGAAGUGAAAAUCGUUAGUAACUACAGGAAAUGAAAUGAACAAAACACACCUGAACUCACCAUUAUUAUAAAGUGACAAUUACAAGCCAUAUCUCUCUUUCCCCUCUAUCUUUUUAUAUCUUGUUAUUCAUGGAAGAAGAAUAAUUAAGCUUCUCAAGCAUUUUCCAUACCCUCUGCUAAUCUCUAGCAGGAUGGAUUAUUCAGACUUGAACUAGAAAAUCAAGACAGGAAAAUAUCAAACAACCACACUGACCACAAAUUUGAACCCUACUUGAACACCUGCGUGCGUGUAGCUCUGCACAAACACUAAAAGGAAUAAACACAAACCCCUGGAGCCCAUAUCGUUCAUCUCUGAGGUGGAUCCACAGUUCGGACAUUCACACCUGUCAUUCCUUCAAUCCUGUCUUUGGUGAUCUCCACAAAAUGUCCUACUAUUUCAUAGAACUGCUUAAGACCUGACAAUGGGAGAAUGAUUGAAGAACGAUCUGCCCCUGCAACCUGUAACCAAUAUCGUUCGGGUGAAUUUCAUACCAAGAAAUUGAAGAAAUGAACCAUGGGGUUCAAGACAGACAAACAGAUUAAAUAGGGAUAAAAAAAUCCAUGGCUCUUAAGAUUAGUUUUCUUGAUCGAUACCUCAGAAAUCCUCAAGAAAUGACCCCGGUUGUUACUUCCAAGAUCGAAAAAGAAUCUCUUUUGAUCAGCUCGGAUAACCUUUGAAACACCCAGAUUCCCCAUUUCAUCUUGAGCUGACAAGUCUACUUGUCUAUCUACAUUCAAGUCAGAGGUUGGCCCAGAUUGACUACUAUGACCUGAUAUGAAGCCUGCUCCUACAUCAUCCGAAAGUCCGGCGAGACGUUCUGAAUGUUCAGAAUUUUCCUGGUUUGGGCAAAUAGAAAACGGUGUGAAUUGUGUUAAAAGAAAAUCAAUGGAAGUAAGCCUACGAAAGGCGUGAUUGAGAAGCUAGACAUAAGCAGCAGAAACCUGAUUGGGCAGUAUGAAAAGCCUAGAUGCUUCAUUGAUCUCUGCCAAGAUGUUUCUAAAUGCAGACCAUCCCUCAUCCCGGUUGCUUCCGGCAGGAACAAUAAUGGUGCUGCGGUUUCUACUAACUGAAGCUUCAGAUACCUGCCCAGUUGACACAAUUUGAAAUUCCAAAAGCCAGCUCUAUUUAGAACUCAAGGACACAGAUGUACAACCUAUAGAACAGAUCCUGUUGAAGUAAGGUCGUAAAAGCCAGCUCUAUUUACAACCUCACAAACCAGAUUUUUUUUAUAUAAAAAAAAUUGAGGCACCAGAAGAAAAGGGGGAAAAGAGUUCAGCCAAAACACCAAUAUUUGUUAAACGAAAGAAGAAGAAUAAGAGUAGAGGAAAGAGUUCCCUAAUUCACAAAAUCCUAAUCUUAAGCCUUACAAUCGAGAAGAUGGCAAAAGUACACACAAUAGUGUCUAUAGCUGAAGAGAUCAAAUUACCAACCCUCAAAUCCCAGAAUUAAUGGUAUUUACUGGUAACAGAAUUUUAAGUUGGGAAUGAAUAAGAAUAAAUGAGAGCUGAUAUAAGGUCAAAGUAGUCAAUGGUUGACGGUUCAGAUCCACACUGGUAUUUAAAAGAAAAAAAAUGAAAUCAGUUACAAACUUGACGAUAAUAUGCAGCCAUUUAUAAGCAUCAUAUGAAAAAUACAGAGAGUUGAUUUAUACUCAUAAAACUACACAACACAUUCACAUCUCUGAUUAAAGACACUUCAAACAAAUUAAAAAGCUAAAGUAGAAAGAAAAACGGGAGCCUUGGAGAUCUGUAGUACACGUGGAAGCUUAUUGUAGAUUUAACAAGCAAUAGUCAAGGGACAGAACAUGAGUAGACUGGGAAUAAGUGAACUGCAGAUUUGGCUUAUGUGAACUGAUGCACAAUGGCAGCCUGGUAUGGAACCGAAGGCGGAUGGGAUCUACUGCCACACAAUGGCAGCCUGUGCGGUAUUUUGCAAAGUAAGUCAACUCCUUUACAGGGGAGAAAAUGGUAAUGGCUGGCUAAAGACGGUGGUGGAAAAAAUGAACAACUAUAAAGCUGGUCACAGCAGACAUAGAGAGAAUAAACUAUUCUACUUCAGCACUUCCUUCUUUCUUCACUUCCAACACUCAAUAGUCAAUACAAGCCUUGCCCUAAUGUAGUAGCACGUCCAGUUUCAAGGUCUGAUCCUCAGAAUUGGAAAAUACUUUUGAUAACUAGGGCCAAAUGAAGGGUCAGCCAUGUCUAUAGUUUCAGUGUCUGGUCACAUUACUUUGUUCCAGUAAUCCAUUCCAAGAACAAUUGUUAUAAACAAAAAUUAGGGAGUUAUGAGCAAGAGGGAGAACUUAAAGUGUGCAGAAAAUGCAUACAUCCUCCAUACAAAAAAUAAUUAAUGACUAGAGUGGAAAAUAAAUUUAUCAUCAGAUUCAGAGUGAAAAGCUAAACAAGGUGGCUCAACCUCGAUUUAUGCAAUUUCCUAGUUGCAAGUUCUAAAGUUUACCUUUAAACCACUUUGCUCAAGACUACGCUAAUGCCUGACAUGCAUCAUCUAGUCUCAAACCAAAUAAUCAAGGAGAAGGCGCACUAGACUACUAGCUUAAAUCAAGUUGCAGAGAACCACACAUGACUGAACAAUUAAUAAUAUAUUAAUGGCACAAAGUUGGCUCUAGAGGAAGCACAAGAACCAUGGAUGACAUACUUCUUGGGUAAUAUAUCUACAUCUAUAACCUUUAAUGCAUCCAACAUCCAGACGGGAAAAACCAUUAGUGGUAGUUGCAAUUACACCCUCAAACUUUCAAUAAUAACAAUUGAGCCCCUGAACUUCUAAAAGUGUUAAAAUUGAACCCUCAAACUUAUAAUAAUUGUAAAAAUCGAACCCACAAAUAUAAGAAUUGAAUCCUCAAACUUAUAUAGUCAAUAAAAUUUAUACAACUAAGUAAGUUUGAGGAUCAAAUUUUAAAAUUUGGAUAAGUUUGAGAACUCAAUUUUUUAUUUUGAAAGCUUAAGGGUAUAAUUGCAACUACCACCAUACACUAGGUGGUUUUGCAAUUAUCCUUAUAUUAUAUUAAAAUAUAUACACUAAGAAGACAUUUCCUACAUUCUAUGUCCUUCACAUGUCCAUGCUGAUGAUUAGAAAAGUCAUGUGCCAACAUAUUAGUGUCUUUUCUUUUUUACUAGGCUCUUCCGGUUUCAUAAACCUAAUUAUUUUGCAAAGAACUUUUGGCUUGCCAUAAAUCUUCAUACUACGGCAGAUGACUAAGUGAAAGAGAAAGAUGAAUGAAAAACAUUUUUUAGGGAAAAAAAUAAGAACAAAGAAAAAAGUAAAGAACAAAGGAAAAGUCAAGUCAAACUGUUAGGGAAUCUCCAUAAAUCAUAGUAUAAUUCAUAUUUGGAAAGAUGCAUUUGGAAGUAUUGUCAAACGGAGGCUAUAAAAGUCAUCAAGAAAAUAAAGAGUGGUCUUUUUCUUUAAAAGGACACAGGACAUGGAAUAUGACUGGAUAACAAACUCAAAGUUCAAGUAAUUUCAUUACUUUUCUUCUCUCUCUGAUAAGAGCUAAUUUCUUGGGCAACAGAAGCUGAAAGAACUUAGCAGAAGUAGAACUUCAACAAAAGAAAAUUUUCAGAAAAAAAUCAUCAACAGAAAAAACAUGAGGAUACGUCAGCUUUUUCUAAAGCACUGUGCAAAUUUUAAGCGAAACUCUAGAUCAACAAGACCAAUCCCGUUCUCAAAUCUAUGCAGAUCCAUCCAACACUAAUUUGGCAGAAUCAAACAAAUGAACUGCAGAGCGUAAUUUCAAGGAAAAAAUGGAUAUUCCAGAAAGUUGGAAUCUAGAGAAAAAAAAACAAACAACAAUAGGGGUAGCAGGAAAAGCAAUUUACCUUCAAGAAACGACCCCUCCUAUUCUCGCCAAUGUCAAAGUAAAACACCUGAAAGGCACGAUGAGUACACAAAAAAGGCAAAAGUUGACCAACAAGAACAAAGAGAUAAACUAAAAGGCAAAAGAGAAAGAAGAGAAACAAAGAUGCCUUUGUGUCCAGCUGCAAUUCCUUGCUAAAAACUUCCGGAUCAUCAGAAUUGAUAUAGUAAUUGAAGAGAUCUAAGAACCAUGGAAUCCCAGAGAAAGGAACAAUGAUCGUUGACCUUGUAGCCGAUGUUUUCUCUGAAAUCUUCAGAUAUCGACCUCUGGGAUUCUCCUUCAGAUCGAAGUAAAACAGCUUGUGUUCCACCUGCAGUGUUUUGCACAUCAACUCCACGUCAUUCCCUCCGCCACCACCAGCCCCUCCUCCCGCCGCCACGCCACCCGCCGUCGUUCCCCCAAUUCCCACUCCACCCCCGCCGGAAUUUCCCUCCAUCUUCCACUCCCAGCUCUGACUCGGUUUCUACUUAUAAUUCCCCACGAUUUAAGCGAUUAUCUAAAUUUGUACAAGAAUCUCAAUUCAAUAAAUCAGCAUCUUUUUCCUCCAAUUGGGUUUACAAAAAAAAGACAAAAUUACACAGAAAUUAAAACGAACAAGCCCCGAUUCGAAUAGAAAUCGAUGCAAAAAGCCAAAAACCCGCCAAAUGCCUUGAAUACAAAAAAAUCCAAGAAAAAUAAUCAGAAACCUAGAAAUGGGAGAUCUAAUAAGUGACCCCCAUGAGAUAAAAAUUUAAAAACAAAAAAAAAAAAAAAACGAACGGGAUUUUGACAAAAGAGUUCUGGAAAAUUAGGGUUAGAAAUUACAUGGACGAUUUAUGAUGGGGUUUUGAAGAGUUGGAAAAUGACAAUGAAAUAUGAUGAAGAAGAAGAAACAUAUUUCGAAGAUGAUUUUCAUAGAGUACCUGUGAAACCCACUGUAGGGUAAUAUUUGACAAAUCUUCCAAAGUCAACUUGGGUCAAAAGCUGAGCUUUUUGAUAACAAUGGCCAAUGCCCAGUGGCACCAUCCUAUCAAUCUCUUCCUUCUAAGAAGAUGAACCACAAUAUUAUUUUUUUCUUUUUCUUUUUCAUUUCUAUUUAUAUUUUUUAAAAAUUCCUUUCAAUCAAUUUGAUUUUUACAACAAACAUGUGACUUCCAAAUUAGUUUCCCUUUCUUUAUUUUAUUCUUCUUCGUUUAAUUCUCAUAAAAACUCAUUUUAAACCUCAGUAUAACAAACGAUUCAAUCUCUUAUUAAGAAACGUCAAGGUUUCUUUUGAUCAUGUCAAUUCUCAUAAAAUUACACAAUUACCUUCAAUAUUGAUUCUACAUAUUCUUCUUAGUUACGCAAUUUUUUCCCAUCUUCGACUAUCUUAUUUUCUUACGACUUCUUCUUCUUUGAGACAUGCACUUUUUCACAUUGCCUCUCAAGUCUCAAUUUCUAUGAAACUUGAGUCUUGUGUGGGCCAACCCUCGACAAUAUCCAUGUCUAGUUUUGUGGGUUUGUUAUACAUUGUUGUAACAACCAUGGUCGAGUUUUUCUUUGAAUUAAGAUAUACAUUGUAAUUUAUUUAUGAGAUAAAAGUUUCACGGUGCAUAUUUAUGUACCGGAUGAUAUUUCACUUGUAUGACGCCCUAGUUGCUUAAAGGUACAGUUAAUUUCUUAUUGACCAAAUAAAUAUAGAAUACUCUACGUAAUAAGAGCUCAACCUGGACAAUAAUUUGAUCAAUAUAAUUCUCAAAUGAUAAUUUAAAGCAUUGCUACAUUCUUGGUGGAUUAAGCUAACAUCCAAUUAGUUGUACGCUUAAACAUACAUCAAGUUUGAAUUGGAAUUUUGACUUUCUCACCUUGCCCAUCUUAGAAAAUGAAUUUAUUAUCUUGAUCCUUUCAUCUUCAACUAUUAUCCAUGAAUUAUAAUCAUUGUGAGUUGUUAUGUAAAUGAGUAUAUGAUCGAACCAAACUUUAUUUAGAGUCAUGUAGAGAUUUGAUAUUUGUUUUGAGCGUAAAUCUUGAAACUUGAAAAAUAAGAUUAGUAUUUUAAAGAGACGUUUUUAAAAAUAGCAAAAUAAAUUAAAAUAUUUACAAGUUUUAGCAAAAUUUUGGAUUCGAUUAAUGAUAGAAACCGAUAAACUUUUAUCCCUAUCUAUCAAUAUUUUCAUUUUGUUUAUCAAUGUCUAGUAUUGAUAAAAUUUAAAAAAUCUACUAUGUGUUGUAAAUAAUCAAUCAAAUUUGCUAUUUUUUUUAUAAUUCUCAUAUUAUAUUAGAAAUUAGACUUAAAAAUGCCAAAAAAAAAAAGUAACUUUCUCAAUUAUGAUUACUAUUUUAGAUAACCAUUAAAAAACUUGUUUUAAAUUACGAAACUAUUGAAAAUAUUUACAAAUAUAACAACAUUUCAUAACCUAUCAACGUAGAUAUUGCUAAAUUACAUAGUUUACUAGUGUUUAUCGACAUCUGUCCGUAAUAUUAUGUUAUAUUUGUAAAUAGUUUAAUUUAUUUUGUUAUAUUUGAAAAUAAUAAUAAUUUUAAUAUUUGAAAGGAGCAGUAAAAAAUAACAAAUUUGAUAAAAAAAAAUAUUUACAAAAAAAUUUCAAAUUAGAGACCAAUGAUAGAAUCCAAAAUUUUGGUAUAUAUUUUAAUUUAAUUUUUUAUUUUAAAAAAUAUGUAAUAAUUAAUAAACCUUAAAUCAAAUAUUAAAAUGAAUAUUUAGUUUUUUUAAAAAAAAUCAAACUGAAAACAAACUCAAAUGAAAUAAUAAUUCGAAGAAGAGAGCAUUUUGGUGAACAUAGCAAUGGAGUUCACUCUCCAAUGGAGAUUUUGAAAUGUGUUGGUCUUUCUCCCUCCUCUCCAAAUCGUCUUCUUCCUUUUUCAAACCCGCUAUUUUCACAUCCUCUCUUCAGUUCACUUCCCUUCUUAGCAACUGCCGCCACCAUCUUCACCUUUAUCAAAUCCAUGGCUUCAUGUUGCACAGAGCUCUUGAUCAAGACAAUCUCUUUCUCUCCCAAUUCAUCGACGCUUGUACCUCGCUUGGCCUCUCUUCAUAUGCCUUUUCCAUCUUCUCAAACAAAACCCACCCCGAUCUUCGUCUCUACAACACCGCCAUUAAAGCUCUUUCUAAGACAUCUUCUCCCAUUAACGCCAUUUGGCUUUACACCAGGAUUCGGAUUGAUGGGCUUCGUCCGGAUUCCUACUCUAUUCCAUCUGUUUUGAAGGCUGUUGUUAAGUUAUCCGCUGUUGAAGUUGGGCGGCAGAUUCAUACCCAGACGGUUUCUUCAGCUUUGGAUAUGGAUGUGAAUGUUGCCACUUCUUUGAUUCAAAUGUAUUCUUCUUGUGGGUUUGUUUCUGAUGCUCGUAAGCUAUUUGAUUUUGUUGGUUUUAAGGAUGUGGCUUUGUGGAAUGCUAUGGUUGCUGGGUAUGUUAAAGUUGGUGAACUAAAGAGUGCACGUAAGGUGUUCAAUGAAAUGCCUCAAAGGAAUGUGAUAUCUUGGACUACUUUGAUUGCUGGAUAUGCACAGACCAAUAGGCCCCAUGAAGCGAUUGAGCUGUUUAGGAAGAUGCAGCUUGAGGAAGUGGAGCCUGAUGAAAUUGCAAUGUUGGCUGUGCUCUCUGCUUGUGCUGAUCUAGGGGCUCUUGAACUUGGGGAGUGGAUCCAUAACUAUAUUGAAAAGCAUGGUUUGUGUAGGAUUGUUUCACUGUACAAUGCUCUUAUAGAUAUGUAUGCAAAGUCAGGCAAUAUAAGAAGAGCACUGGAAGUUUUUGAGAAUAUGAAGCAGAAAAGUGUCAUAACUUGGUCCACCGUGAUUGCUGCCUUGGCUCUUCACGGGCUUGGAGGAGAAGCUAUUGAUAUGUUUCUUAGAAUGGAGAAGGCAAAAGUUAGACCGAAUGAAGUAACUUUCGUUGCAAUUCUAUCUGCCUGCAGCCAUGUUGGGAUGGUCGAUGUGGGUCGUUAUUAUUUUGAUCAAAUGCAAUCAAUGUACAAAAUUGAGCCAAAAAUUGAGCACUAUGGCUGUAUGAUUGAUCUGUUGGCUCGUGCUGGUUAUCUACAAGAAGCACAGAAACUGCUUCAUGAUAUGCCAUUUGAAGCAAAUGCCAUGAUAUGGGGGUCUCUUCUUGCUGCUUCCAAUACACAUAGAGAUGCCGAGCUUGCACAGCUGGCUUUGAAGCAUCUUGCUAAGCUGGAGCCUGGAAAUAGUGGGAAUUAUGUGCUUUUGUCUAAUACAUAUGCUGCUCUUGGUAAGUGGAAUGAAUCUGGUACGGUGAGGAAGCUGAUGAGAAAUGCAGGUGUAAAGAAGGCUCCAGGUGGAAGCGUUAUCGAAAUCAAUAACAUAGUGUAUGAAUUCCUCGCUGGAGAUAUGUCAGAUUCCCAGGUACAUGAGAUUUAUCAUGUAUUAUGCAAGAUAAUUCUGCAGUUAAAAAUGGCUGGAUCGUAUCAGGAGGAAUGGAGUAAGUUUCUUGACUACCAUGAAUGAUAUGAAUUGGCUUCAAUAUUAUUCUUCUUUAAAGAUAUGAAAGAAUUUUCACCUUUCGUCUAUUUAGACUUCUUGGACUUUUUGAAAAACUCAAGAUUUUAACAGUAACUUUUGAAUCAAAAUUGAAAAUUCAGGCUUUAAGAUAUAAUUUUUAUUCAAAAUACUUUGGAUGGGGAAUUCAGAGAAAAUGACCUCGUACGAAGAGUCAACAUGGCAAUACUGCCCAAGUUGGAGAAGGGCAAGCAAGAUUGAAGCUUCAUAAUCCAGCCAUGGUAAUCAAACUUCUUGAUCCGACCCAAGUUUUCCCGCAUUGUCAAACGAAGCAGUAACUAUUUUAUCUAUAUGUUAUUUGUUAGACUAGCUUAGCCGAAAUAAUUUGGUAUCAACAAUUAUCAUUUCAAAAGUUGAUGGUUCAAUUCUACCCCUAAUUGUUAUAAAAAAAUUCAAAAGAUCCCAUGUUUUAGACACUUGCGGGGUCAAGGAUCUCUUUUGUCAAUGCAUUAUGCAAAGGAUAUGUCGUGUGUGAGCGAGAGACUUCGUUCAUCAUUUCAUAUUUGGACAAAAUUCUUCAACCUUAAGGUACAAGUUAUAGUUCAAGAUCCAACCAGUGUGCUAAUGUGGAAGUUAAAGUCAGAUGGUUAGGGGAAUUGGGAUGUUAGUAAACUAAUUUUGAUUCGAAAUUUAACCUAAUAGAAAUAUUCAAAUUGCUAAAAGAAAAAAUGACUCCAAAUUUAUUCAUUUAAAUAAAAACUUCGUCAUUAUAUACAAAUAAAGAAAAUUUGUGGUAAAAAAUAGGUUCGAAUGUCAUUUUAAUUCUGAUCAAAGUUUAAUUUUAAUCUAUAUAUUUCAAAUGGCCUGAUUUUAGUUUAUAUAUUUGUAAUAAAUCUUAAAAUUUAAAAAAAUUACAUUGAUAACAUGAACAUUUUAAAAAAAGUAGUUCAUGACAUCAUAGAGUUACGAGAGAGUCAUCUUUUCUAAAUUUGCUACUUUUACAAAUUUAAAAAUGUUAUGAUAUGGGUUCUAUUAUCAUAAUUUUUUUUAUUAUUUUUGGUAAAGCCCAUGAAUUUAGUAUCUCAAAGCUAAUUUUUAAUUACAAAAACGGAAAGUAUGAUAUGUCGAAAAAAAUUGAAUUGACCAAAUAAACCAAAGUUGUAAAAGUACGAGAGAGAUGAAUCAAUUAAACCUACUAAUUGAUUGACUCUUAUUCGUGGAUAUUGAUUCAAACAUGUACUAAUAUUAAAAAUAUAGGAACAAAAUUCACAUUAUUAACCUCCAUAAAAUAACAACAAAACAGCAACUUAGUGUUUGUUUUGGUGCUUUUUCAAAUCUUUUUUUAAAAAACACUUAUUUUUGUAUUUUGUAUAAAUAAUUUAUCAAUUUUUCUAUUUUAAAAAAUAUAUACUUUUUUCUCUUAAUUAUUUAAAAACGAUUGUUCUCUUAAAAAAGAAAAAAACUAUUUCUUAAAUGGGCCUGAUCCUCCGUCAUUUUUUUUCACAAUUUUUAGGGUUAGGGUUCCUUCUCACCACUCUAUAAAAACCUCCAUAUCCAACAGUUUUCAUAUUCUAAUCUUCGGCAAACUCUUCAAACCUUCUCUCCUCGAUUUUCAUUAUUCUUAUGUUUAUUUCUUUUCUCAGUGUUAGAUCUCUUAUGCUUUGAACAUUUGUCUCUUGAUUUGAUUUUUUGUUUGUUGGAUUUUCGUAACGGAGAAACAAGCCUAAUAUUGCAAUUCUCUGAUCUGCCGAUAUGGAAAUCGAUCAGAGAAUCUAUCAUUAGGCGAUACGGAAGGUCGGUAUGCAUACAUCUUCUAUGUAUAUUUCUCCCUUUAGCUCCGAAUCUCCUCGUUCCUCUUCUUGGAACAGUAGGAUGUUUUGGUGACAAGGUAGAUACAUUCUGUUAUUCCUUCUGAUUUCUUCGUUCUGAUUUCCGAUUUUGUUCAUUUUUCUAUCAAUAGUUUCGUUGAUGCAUUCCAUUUUUCUUUUGAAUCUUCCGUGCUUGAUAUUGAUUUCUGAUUUUAUUAAUAUUUCUAAAAUUAGUUUCGUAUGCCUUCCAUUUUUUUAAAAAUCUUUCGUGACUGGUAUUGAUAUUGUCAUUCCUUCUCAUUUCUUUGUUUUCCUUGCUUAAUUGGAACUGGUUUUUGCUGUUGAGGUUUAUGAUGUGAAAUGAUGAAAAAAAUCAGACGGAUUCCCAAUGAUAAUUCAUGAUAUUACAACCAGCUACUUCUGAUCACAUCAAAACUAUUUUCUAGUUUCUCUUUGUUUCACUUUUGAUUUUCCGCCCUUUUUAUUUGAAUGUAGGAAGGAUUUGCUUGUUUUUUUCCCCACUUUAGUUUGGAAUGACAAGGCCGGUGAUGUGAUUAUAAAUAUUUGCUACUCUUGAUGGAUUUAUCCUGUAUGAUGAUCAUCUAACCACCAAGAUCUCUGAGGCCUUUCUAAUUGAUCUCCAUUUUCCUCAGAUGUUUCUUAUAAAAUUUUCUUCAAUUUAUUCUCAAGUCUUUGUAAAACUGAAUUCAGUUCGUAAGAUUUAUGUUUGAAAUCUUUUUCAUAUUUAACGCAAAAUUUCAAAUCAGGUUCCAUUAGUCAUUGCGACCAUAGAAGUUAAAGAAAUCAGAGAGAAACAUAAUAAUAAACUCAAGCCCAAUGACUAUCAUCACCUUUACACCUUUGAACUCAAAUGAAACCAUAGUCCAUUGUUAUGUUGAGAAUAGAAGUUUGAAAAUGUGUGUAGUUAAUGUUCUUUAAGCUGAGAGCUAGAAGAUUAUGGGCAUUGAGGAUAUCUUUGAAUAGUAUAGAAGAUUAGGGACAUUUUUGAUGUGAAGAAAGUUUCAGUACGAAUAGGGAACGACGGGGCCAACCCUUGAAAGGAGGGUAGAAGUGAAAGUGCCUCUUGGAGCAUCAAUAAACCUUAAGACAUUUCAAAUUGAAAAAACGUAAUUGUAGAUAUUAGAAAUUGGCUAGAAAUUCCUGCCAAUAAUGAAAAAACGUAAUUGCCAAUAUUAGAAAUUGGUGGAAAAAUGGGUUAGUUUUUGAAAAAUGAGGACAAACGUAUUUUUUUAAAAUUAUUUGAAUGAAAAUGGUGAAAAUUUUGGUAUUUUAUUAGAAUGUCACUAAUUCAUCUCUCGUUAUUUAUCAACAAUAGUUUUGAAAGCACUUGUUUUUACAAUCUUUUUUAAACUUACUCAUUUUUUGAAAUCAACUCAAUAAAUGUAUUCAAAUAAAUGUUAGGAGUUGUUUGGCAUAGUAUUCAAAAUUCAAAUUACGGAUCUUAUUAAUAUAUUUCUUUUACUAAAUUAAAUUAAAUAAAAAAAUGAAUUAAUAAGAAAAAUUAGAUAUGCAGAUAUUUAAUAUUUAUAUAUUUUAAUUUUUUUUAUUCAAUGUAACGAUUUAUUAUUAUUAUUAUUUUUAUUUUACUAAAUUAUUAUUAUUAAUAUUUUUAUUUGUUUAAUAUAUUUUUUAGUAACAUAUUUUGUUAAUAUAUAGAUUUUUUUAAAAUAUAGAAAAAAUGCAUAAUUUUGAUUAAGUAAUAAUUAAAUUGAAUUAGAGAAAAGUAUUUAAAUAAAAAAUUGAAGAUUGUUAUAUUUAAAUAUAUAUAUAAAAGAAAGAAUAAAAUAAUUUAAUAAAGAAAGGUAUUUUUACCAUUUGAAUGUUUAAUAUAUAUAUUGUAUUAUAUGUGGAUAUGUAUAUAUAUAAAGAAAUAGUUAAAUGUGGGAUCUAUAUAUAUAAAUAAUGAAAAAAUAUAAAAAUGUGAGACCUAUAUAAAAAUAAGAAAAAUGAGAAGUGGAAUUCAUCAACUUACCUAUUUUUAGAAAUACUUUUACACUCAACCUAUUUUUAAUAUAUCUUUUAAAUUUUACAUUAUUUUUAAAAAAGAUUAUUACGAAGGAUUGAUUUAUUUUUCCGACUCUUUUUUCACUAUUUAUUACUCUUCCUCUCCACUAUUUCUCACUCUGAUUAUGUCAUAAUAUAAUAAUUCAGUAAUAAUCAGUAUCUCAUACACUAAGUAUAAGUACUUUUAAGUACUGUCGUACACUGAAGAACCAUCAAAUAAUAUAUUUUCAAUUUUGAAUUUUUUAAAAAAUCUCCAUUUUAAGAAUAUUUUUUUGUUAUUUGGUAUUUUUGCUUUGUUUUUUGUUUACCAUUCAACUAUGUAUGUAUAAACCAAUUUCGUGUAUAUACUAAAAGCAUUGUUAUAGUGAUAUUGUUAAGAAACAAUCAAUUUUAUGAAUAUUUAUGAUAAACAAAUCUAUAAAAAUGACCUAACCAUCCUUAGCCAACUUCUCAAUAUUAAAUUACUAUAAAAUACGACUAUUAAACAUUAUAAAUUAGUAAUUUUAAUUUUGUAUUUAGCACUUUUGUCAACAAAGUUAUUUUUCUAGUACAUAAAAGCACUUACCAUUUGUAGUGUUGUCAAAGAUGGUUUAUUGUAAAGAGGUAGUUGUUGGAGUUCAAAGUUAAAGGUGAUUGUUGAAGUUGAUUACCAAAUGUGAUUUUUGCCAAAAGUUUUGUCAUUGUAGGUUGGUGUCGGAGACAUAAGCUUAACUUCAUCGAGCGAAUGUGCUCAUCGAAGAUAGAUCGUCAGUGUUAGAUGUGAGAAUUGUGGAGUUGGUAUAAUAACACUCAAACUACCAUGUAAAGUCAGCAGAAAUUAAUAUAUUAUACAAGCUUAACUCAUCUCACAUUGGUGUGCCAAACAUCUCCAUCAAAUAUUAUUAUUUGUUUAAAACUCAAAAGACGUGAAAAGAUGAAUUCAAGGCAUAUGAAGAGAGGCAAAGAGUUGUCAAUCCAAACACAUCCUCUAAAUUUAAACGUUCAAAUGAAGAAAAUUGUGCAAAAUAUUCUUUAUUGUUAUUGAAAUAGGAUAACAAAUCAUUCAUGAAAUCUUUUGCCACAAUAUAAAUUCAUAUAACAUAACAGAUUGUUUUAGUAUUGAGAGUUUGUGCUCAAAAAACAUAUAUCAAUCAUUCUUGUUGCAAUACUUUUGAAUAACUUACCCACUUUUUUUUUGUAAAAAUCAUGGUGGUGGUGGUAGCCUCUUGAUAACUACCACUCUAGUUAUAUAUUUAUUUAUGUGCAACAUUAUAGACUUAGAUAAUUGAUUGCUUUUAUGUAGCUCAAAACAUGAAGCUUUCUUAAUUCAAAUAGUUAUGUUGUGCACGUUGAAUGGAGAAUAACGUAAUCUAAAAUGUUACAUCUAUACAAAGUCGGUGAAACAAUUUUUUUCUCAAAAAUAUUAUAUUUAAGGUACUAAUAGUUGUAUAAUAAUAUAAUACAAAACCAAAAAACCCUAAAUCAAUAAAGCAUUCCUAUGUUAAACAAAUCAACAAUACAAAUGUAUAAACUCUAACGUGGGUUAAAAUAAUUUAUACCCUAAACACGAAAAAGUUUUUGUACCCAAAUUGAAUUAUAGUAUACACUCCCAAAACAUACUAAAAGCUUUUGAAUAGGUUCAAGCGGUUCGAGAAAAUCUAAAAUAGAUUUUUUGUACCAAGUGUUUUUCCCCUUAAAAUCUAGUUCGAAAGAAAUGUCAAAGGCAUUCUAAACCUAACUCUACCACGUACAAUUUAAGGGUGGGGGUGUGCUGUGUACAUUGAUAUCUUUUAACCACAACAUAACAAAAGGGUUUUUGAGUCACAUGAACAAAUCAUAUUCAGUCAAAGUAAUCCAACAGUACAAAACACAGAUAAAUGAAAUGUAAAUGUAAAAUUUUUCCAAGUAAAAAAGGAUUUUCCAACAGGGAUUUCAUCACUCUAGUGUUACUGUUAGACUUAAUCCAGAUGGAAGGGAAAGCCCCAAAUUUGGAAAUUAUUUAAGAUCAAAAUUGCCAGAAUAGGCAUCCGCUAGCAGGGAAUAAGUUACAUACUCCAUACCCCAAUCUCCAGUUUAUCAUAGAGGAAUCCCCAUG